RNAcentral lists this long non-coding RNA (145120 nucleotides) under Citrus sinensis (sweet orange). Its description in RNAcentral is "long non-coding RNA (CSIN_LNC000762)". Lineage: Eukaryota; Viridiplantae; Streptophyta; Magnoliopsida; Sapindales; Rutaceae. The record is from RNAcentral.
UGAAAUCAUGUGGCUGAAUCUAUUAAUUUCUUGUUUGAUGGGCUAUUUUUUUAAAAAAUGAAGAUUAAAGAGUUGUUAUGGGGGGUGGUUGAAUCAUGUUGCUUCUGUGGAUCUAGCAAUCAUAUUGCCUUUUCGGAUGUAACACAUGAAUUUCAUGAUUUUUCUUUUUGAAUUGGCUUCUUUUACUUUUCGUAACUGAACUCUUUUAAGCUUAAUUUGUUCCUGUCAUUUUUCGUAAUUAAUCUGCUGUACGGCCAAGGCGGAUGUACGGUACAGCAGAAACUUGAAAUCAAAUGAACUUUAAACUGAGGAAAAUUAACAUGAAACUUGGGAUCAUUUACAUGCAACCUUGAAAAUCAUGCAGUUAAAUGGUCGAGCUCGAGUAGACAAAAAACAAAAAACUUUGUCUUACCAACCAGUGAAAAUUGGAGAGCCAUGUAGUCUUGUAUCAACGACCUAUAGUGUUGAGGCUUGUAGGGAAGCAAUUGCUAAGUUUAUUAUAAAAGAUGAGAUGUCAUUUAAAGUUGUAGAGGGUGAAGGGUUUAAGGAAAUGUUGGGAGUUUUUGAAAAUAGAUUUAAAGUACCAUCUCGCACUACUAUUGCUCGUGAUAUUUUGCAACUUUACAAAAAAACAAAGAAAGAUUUGACUGAUUUUUUUGUUAGUAAUCAUCAAAGAGUUUGCCUCACUACAGACACAUGGACUUCAGCUCAAAAUCUUUGUUAUAUGUGUCUUACAGCUCACUUUAUUGAUGAUAAUUGGACAUUGCANNNNNNNNNNNNNNNNNNNNNNNNNNNNNNNNNNNNNNNNNNNNNNNNNNNNNNNNNNNNNNNNNNNNNNNNNNNNNNNNNNNNNNNNNNNNNNNNUGUUUUUUAUUUGUCAAAAGUUGUGAACAAUUGGAAUGGUGUAAGAUAACUUUAUACUUUUUAGUGUAAUAUAAUUACAUCGUCCUAAAAAUGAAACCAUCGGUAAUUCAAAAUCAGAUAUUUUUAAAAAUUCUCUUAUUAUUAUUCAGAAACGCACAUCCAUUACUAAAAUUAUUCUCAUUGUUGUAGAGGGGUUAAAAGAGUAUCAUCAGUCGAUUUCUAAAAUUCGUAAUGUUAUAAGAUUUGUUAGAUCUUCACCUUCUAGGACACAAAAGUUUAAGGCAUAUGCAGAGCAAGAGAAAAUUUCUUCAAAUAAGUUGUUGUGUCUAGAUGUCGUAACUAGAUGGAAUUCCACUUUUUUCAUGUUAGAGGCUGCUGAAAAGUAUGAAAAAGUAUUUGAUCGGUUAGAGCUUCAUGAUGCACAAUACAUUCGUGAGUUUUGUUUGAGCGAGCAAAAAACGUGUCCUUCGUCAAUUGAUUGGGAAUAUGCUCGUUAUUUCAUUAAAUUCUUGAAGGUUUUUCAUGAUGCCACUUUGACAUUUUCGGGUUCUUUAUAUGUGACAUCCAAUACUUUUUUGUGCCAAUUAUGUUUGAUUCAUACACAAUUGCAAGCUUGGAGGGAUAGUAAUACUAUUAAGUGAUUUAAUAGAUAUUGUAUUUCACAUUUUCGCUAGUUUUUUAAGGGUAAUAUUUAUGCAAGUGAAUCAAGUGAUAAAUAUUUGAAAUGUUUUGGGCCCUACUAUAAUUUAUGAAUAUUUUAGACUAAAGUGAAAGAUUUUGAGAACUUUGAAAAAUAUGGGUAUUAUGUUGAAAAUGAUCUUUUUGUGAAAGAAUAAUAUUUUUGGGGCCAUAUCAUAAUUUUAGAAAGUUUUGGGAAGACAAUUAUUAUUUAGAAAUUCUGAAAUUUGACCUAUUUGUAAAGUUGUAUGACGUCUUGGGCCAUAGUAUAAUUAUUGAAAGAUUUGGACCUAAGUGUAAUUUUAGUGAACAGUGUUACUGUAGCAAAAAUGAAAAAUAAUGGUAAUAUCACUGUUCAUGAGCGGCUAGCCGGAUAAAUCAAGCGGCUAACUGCUUGGGCGCGAGAAUUUGUCUAUAACGGCUAGUUUUCAGGCUUUAACUAUAAAAACUCAACUCCAACUUCAUUUUAAGGAUUAAUAUAAGGAAAAAUAAGAUCAUAUAACAUUUAUUGAGCUUCCAUUUUGUAAAUCAUCAUUGAGAUAUAAUUUGUUAUCUACUCUUAAAGAGAGUUUCAUUGUUGUGAUUUUCAUUUCUCAUCAAAUUAUGAGUGUACAAGUGUGAGAAACACUUGGGGUGAAGAGAUUGAGGAGAUAAUCUCUUGUUGUAAAGGUCAUUAACACUUUAGAAGUCAAUUGUAAACAUUUGAAGCAUUGAGAGGCUUGGAUAGUGAAAUCCUCAAGCCGGGUGUGCUUGGAGGCGUGGACGUAAGCGGGAAUAGCCGAACCACGUAAAAAUCCUUGUGUUUGUUUUCUCUUUCCUUACUCUUUUAAUAUUGUUCUUAAUUGAAUUUGUUGUUUUUGAUUUGAUAAAGGCAAUAGAUUAAAUUGUUGUGCGAAUUGUAUUGUAUAAUUUUAAAAUCCCAAUUCACCCCCCUCUUGGGUUGCAUAACUUGCAUUUCACACUGAACAAACUAUUGUUGGAUCAUCCAAAUUAAAAGCUGUCGAAUAAAGCUUGGCAUAAUAGGAAACUAGAUUGUUAGAGAUCUCCACAUGAUUAGAGUUUACAACACCAUCAAUGUGUAAACUAUUAAUGGAAGAGUGGGCCACCUUCGUUCUACAAUAAGUAUGGAAAAACUUUGUGCCUUGAUCACCAUCAGCUAGCCAUAUAACUCUAACCUUCUCUAGGCUAUUAAUAGGAAAACAUAAACAAGCAAAGCACUCUGAUAUGAGCAUGAGCGAGGCAAAAUAAGGCUUUUAUUAUUUGGCCAAGCAUAAUAGAAAGCAAGGUUGCAUAGUGCCCUAUCUAAUCUUUCUUCAAUCUGACCCGUGUUUGAACUAUUACACCAAGUAAAGAGAUUCCUUCAAUUGAGAGAUGGGUUAGACAACAUGCAUCAAUCAUAUUAGAAAAAUCUAAGCAAGAAAUAGUGGGAGGAGAAUUACCACCAGCCUUUUCGUGAGUCCCCAUAAUCACAUUAAAGUCUCCAAUAACCAUCCAAGGUUGGUCAUAAGAAGCAGUAAAGGAAAUAAGAGCAUCCCAUAAAACCCGUCUGUCAAUGUAAUUUAUGGCAACAUACAUAACAGAUAGAGCACAGGGUGAAUUAUCAAGACAAACUUGUAUCGAUAUUAAUUAUUUUGAACAGUGGACUACUUAAAGGUAAAUGAGCAACACUAAAAACCCACAUAUAACUCACCUCUGUCAUUAGAGCAUACAAAUUUCAUUUGAAUAAAAUUCUAAAAGGUAGAAGGAAUAAAAAACAAAGAAACCAUAGGCUCAGAAAUGCAAAGAUAAUCAAGAUUAUAAGUAAAGCAUAAAUUAGCCAAUUCUGACUGAAUGCUAAGGUUGGCUACACCCCUCACAUUCCAAUAUAAGAUCUUCAUUUUGCCAUAUUCUGAUAACUCCCUUUUGCGAAGUACGGCUUAGACAGAAGAGAGCGAGCACACACUUUAUAUCUUUUAUGCUUAUGUAUUGUUUAGAAACCAUCCUCAUCAAUUGGUGAUGUAUUUUUAGUAAAAGACAUGGUCAUGGUCAUUUGGUCGGUAGUAAUAAGCUGCUUAAUAAAUGGCCCAAGCUGAUUUGUAAAAUGAAUCAUAGAUAAGGGGUUAGUCAUCUAGUGGUUUUACACUGAAACAUCAUUGGUCAUCCUGUGAAAAGUCAUCAUCAUCAGGGCGAUAGGUUUCUAAGGUAAGUAAAUCAAUUUCAAAUUGUCUAAGUGUAGUGUCCAUAAGUAAGGGUGCUUUAUGAACCACAAUUGCAAGAUUUGUAGAAGAUUGUAGUGAGGAAGCCUUGUUGCAACCAAGAGCUUUCUCAAUAACCUCAUCUGAAGAUUGGUUUUGCACGACCUCUGUAUUUGGAACUGGUCGAUAAACACGUUUGAAGGGUUCUUACUAGGCUCGUGGGUGGCAGCGGCUGUUUCACAGUUUCGGCAACAAUUAGAGGCAUUAUGACCAAGAAAACCACAAACAAGACACUAAGAGGGAAGGUUUUUGUAAUAUACGAUUAUCUCAAAUGAAUACUCUUCGCGUUCAACCAAUAUUCGUGAUGGCGGGUUUUCUGAGACGUCCAUAUCAACCAGAACUCGGGCAAAAUGUCCAAAAAUUCCUUCCUUGGUUUAUUUAUCAAGUUGCAACAGAGCCCCUAUACCAUAUGCAAUUUUCCAAUAGAAUCUUGAUUCCCAAUAUUCUUGACUCAAAUCAUAUAAACACACCCAAACUUGAGCAUGUGUGUGUAAUGUACGGUCGUAGAGAUCAAAGUCCUUUUUCCAUUGAUAAAGAUGAAAACACUCAUGAAACAAGUACCACCACUUUAAGCCAUUCGCAAGCCUACUUUACUGGAAAAAUGUACAUCAAAGUAGCCACGAGUCAAAGGGACCAAAGUUCAAAUAGCUUCAGGCUUCCACACAACUUGAAGCAAGUUACGAAGCUCAUGAGUUUUAAGAGGUGUAGAUCCUAAACGUAGUAGUAAUUGACCAAUUAAAUUAGUGCGACACUUCUACAAUCGAUGUUGGUAAAUGGAUUAUGUGAUUUUGAUACAAGUCAAGUCACACUACUUAAGAAGUUUUAGCAAUUAAGGCAUGGAAACAGGUGGAGUUGAACUUGUACCAACAACCUGAGCAAAGGAUUUGGAGGUAGAAGUAGGGGAAGGAGAAAGGGAAGAGAUAGAAAUGUUCGCCAUUGAUUUUAGUCUGUGGGACCUUUUAUCAAACACUUAGCGGGCAAGUUUGUAGCAAACACUCAUGAAAAUUAUAACUUAUACUAUAUAAUUAUAAUAAUUUUUUAUUGUUAUUAGGCUAUCCAAUGAUAGUUGUUACUGAAUGUAACACUUAUCUGUUCGAGUCUUAUAAGAUCUUUUAUUAGGAAUGUAGAAAAAUUUAACUAAAUCUCAACCUAAGUGGUUCAGAUGCACGACUCCUAAACAUUAAGGUCGGGCGCAUGCCUCACCUAAAAAGUUGAGACUAGCUUGAAAAUUUUAGAAAUACUUAACAUAUAUUUAACACACUCGUAAUUAAUAUUUAAAGUUUUAGUUUCGUUUAAGCCCAACUUUUAAAGCCUAAUCUAACAAAAAAUAAAUUUUUAUAAACCAUGAAUUUGUAAAUCAUAAUUAAAAAUAGGUAUAUAUGUAUGUACAAUGUAAAAUUUGGGUUUUUGGACAUGAUCCGAAAAAAUACAUGCUAGGGGGUGGGGCUCGAGCUUUACUAAGCCGGUUGAGCACAACAUACUACCAUCUCUCUUUUUCACAACUCAUUUUUUUUUUCAAAAAUAGAUAUAAUAGUAACAUACUCUCUAAAAAUGAGAGGAAAUAACUUUAGGUGGUUGCAUGGCUUCCUAAUAUGUAUAUCAAAUUAUUGAAAUUACCAUAGAUCAAAUAGAUAUAUUAAGAAUAUAUCUAUUUCAUUUAAUUAUGUAACCAGGAGGAUAACAUAGUGUAAAUAUACAUUGAGACUUUGAACUUUUACCUUAAAAUUUUAAGAAUAUGAUAGUAAAAAAAGCUCAAAUUCAAUUUUUAAUCCCCUAAUUCUUCCAAAAUUCGAAUUUACAUAUUUACAGAGCGAGAAAAUCUAAAUAUAAUUUUUAGUCUCUUAAUUCCCUAAAAAUUUAAGUUUACAUAAUCAGUUAAAUAAAAUUACAUGAGAACCACUUAUCUGCCUCGUGGAACUGUCAUAAAAUUUAUAUGAAAAUGAAAUGAAUAAAUUAAAAAAGACCUGGGUAAAUAAGUUGUAAUCAGGGUUUCUAAAAGUAAUUGAAAAAAGAAAAAAAGAAAAAAGAAAAAAAAUUGGUAUAUCGUCCUUGAACCUUGAUUAAAGCAGCGCUCACUAACAUUCGUCUUCCUCCUCUGAGCCAUGCGGGCGCUCACACGUGCGUCCUCACACGUGCUCAAUGCCAGAACCAGACCCAUGCCCACGCGCCGCUUCUCCUCACAAACGCAGCUCACCGAACAAGAAGCCACAGUACGACAAAUCACUAGCAUCCUUACGCAAAACGACUGGCAGCGACUUUUGACAUCCUCAAACGUACCCAAGAAGCUAAACCCAGAUGUGAUCCGAUCCGUUAUCCAUCUAAACCGGGCCCACAAUUUGACCCGCUUGCUCAGCUUCUUCCACUGGUCCGAACGCCAAAUGGGUACCUGCCAAAACGACUUAAAAGUCUUGUCUUUGCUUUUUGUUGUUUUAUGCAAUUGUAAAAUGUACGGGCCCGCUAGUGCUAUUGUUAAACGAAUGAUAAGUGAUGGAAAUAAUUCGGGUUUUGAGAUUUUGAGUGCCGUUGAUGGCUGCUUUAGAGAAUCUGAUGAGUUUGCGUGCAAAGGUUUGGUUUUUAAUAUGUUGAUUGAUGGGUAUAGUAAGAUUGGGUUGUUGGAUGAAGCUGUUGAUUUGUUUUCGUGUGACACGGGAUGUGAAUUUGUGCCCAGCUUGUUCAGUUGUAAUGCAUUGUUGAGGGAUUUGUUGAAGGGUAAGAAAAUGGAGUUGUUUUGGAAGGUUUGGGCGAAAAUGAAUAAAAUGAAUGCAGGGGGUUUUGAAUUUGAUGUUUAUAGUUAUACUACUGUGAUAGAUGCUUACUUUAAGGUGAGGAAUGCUGAGGAAGGAAAGAGAGUGUUUUCGGAAAUGGGGGAGAAAGGGUGUCGUCCAAAUGUUGCUACUUAUAAUGUGGUUAUUGGUGGCUUGUGUAGAGUGGGAUUUGUAGAUGAAGCAGUUGAGUUGAAGAAUUCGAUGGUUGAGAAGGGGUUGGUUCCUGAUAGUUAUACUUAUGUGAAUCUUAUUUAUGGGUUUUCUGCAGCAAAAAGGUUGGGAGAUGUGAGAUUGGUUUUAUCGGAGUUGAUUGGAAAGGGUCUGAAACUUGAUACUGUUGCAUACUAUGCACUGAUUGAUGGAUUUGUGAAGCAAGGUGAUGUGGAAGAAGCUUUCAGAGUAAAGGAUGAGUUGGUUGCUUCUGGUAAUCAGAUUGACUUGGUCAUUUAUAACACACUGCUUAAAGGGUUUUGUAAGAGUGGUAAAAUGGAAAAAGCAAGGGAAGUGUUAAAUGAGAUAAUUAGAAUGGGUAUUGAACCUAAUUCAAGAACUUAUACUUCGUUAAUACAGGGUUACUGCAGGAUGCGGAAAAUGGUUAGUGCUUUUGAGUUGCUUGAUGAGAUGAAGAAAAAGAACUUGGUCCCCUCUGUAUUUACUUACGGUGUGAUUAUUGAUGGACUCUGCCAUUGUGGAGAUCUACGGCAAAUCAAUGCUAUUUUGGGAGAAAUGAUUACGAGGGGAUUGAAACCAAAUGCCAUUAUCUACACAAAUCUUGUUUCGACUUACUUCAAGAAAAAUAAACUUCAAGAAGCAGGAAAGUUGGUUGAGAGGAUGAGAAGAGAAGGAAUAACACCAGAUGUGUCCUGCUUCAAUUCUCUAAUAAUUGGUCUUUGCAAAGCCAAGAGGAUGGAUGAAGCAAGGAUCUAUUUGGUCGAGAUGUUAAGGAGAGGAUUGAAGCCUAAUAUUCAUUCGUUCAGAGCUUUUAUCCUUGGAUACUGUAUGGCAGGGGAGAUGCAGACAGCAGGCAGGUUUUUCAAUGAGAUGCUAAAUUCUGGUCUAGUGCCUAAUGAUGUAAUUUACACAUCCAUUGUUGAUGGGUACUGCAAAGAGGGAAACAUAGCAGAAGCUAUCUCCAAAUUUAGAUGCAUGCUUGCCCGGGGUAUUCUUCCAGAAGUUCAAACUUACAGCGUGCUCAUCAAUGGCCUUUCGAAGAAAUUAGAACUAAGAGAAGCUCUUGGAAUCUUCUUAGAACUCCUAGAGAAGGGGUUGGUGCCUGAUGUUGACACUUACAAUUCCCUUAUCACCAGCUUUUGCAAAAUAUGUGAUGUAGAUAAGGCUUUUCAACUGUAUGAGGAGAUGUGUGAAAAAGGAGUUGAACCGAACACCCUUACUUACAAUGUAUUAAUAGAUGGCUUCUGCAAAGCUGGAGAUUUGACUGAGCCAUUUCAGUUAUUUGAUGAGAUGACAAAGAGGGGUGUUCCUCUCGAUGGUUCAGUCUACAAUGCCCUUCUCUCUGGAUGCUGCAAGGAAGAAAAGUUGGAACAAGCUCUGGAGCUGUUUCGAGAUAUGCUGGAGAAGGGCUUGGCUUCUACCCUUUCCUUCAACACUUUAAUUGAGUUUUUGUGCAUAAGUAACAAGCUUCAAGAAGCACACCAAUUGUUGGAUGCAAUGCUAGAAGAGCAGGUUAAUCCCAAUCAUGACACCUACACUACACUUAUCAAUCAGUAUUGCAAGGUGCAAAACAUGGAGAAAGCAAAACAACUCUUCUUAGAGAUGCAGCAAAGGAAUCUGAAGCCGGCAACAAUCACUUACAGAUCACUUUUAAAUGGUUACAAUAGAAUGGGGAAUAGAUCUGAGGUUUUUGUUGUGUUUGAAGAAAUGUUAGGAAAGGGAAUUGAGCCUGAUAAUUUCACCUAUUAUGUUAUGAUUGAUGCUCAUUGUAAAGAAGGUAACGUGAUGGAAGCUUUGAAGUUGAAGGAUUUGAUUUUUGAUAAGCGUAUGCCAAUUAGUGCAGAAGCAUAUAAAGCCAUCAUAAAAGCUUUAUGCAAAAGAGAGGAAUAUUCUGAAGCGUUGAGGUUGCUUAAUGAAAUGGGAGAGAGUGGCUUUAGGCUUGGUUUUGCCUCAUGUAGGACUGUAGCUAAUGAUUUUCUCAGAGAAGGCGUUAUGGACUAUGCUGCAAAGGUUCUGGAGUGUAUGGCAUCGUUUGGAUGGGUUUCAAACUCCAUUAGCUUGGCUGACAUUGUUAAAGGAGAGAAUAGUGGUGUAGAUCUUGAUGAGUCCAAGGAUCUUAUGAAGCAAACAGCUUAGAAAGUUGACAAAUAUUGGUGAAUCAUUAUUGCUCAGUUUCGUCCUUGAGUUGACUCUUUGGAGUCCUGAGCAGACUCUGCACAGGAAUCAGCGUGCUAGCUGCCUAGCUCCCUACUAAAAUGGCUACUGGCUAUUUUCUGUUGUUUUAAAAAGUCUUAAGAGGUUGAUGCUUCAGACUGAAUUGCUUGUUCAGUCACCUGUUGAGGUAAAUAUAAAUUAUCUACUUUUCGAUUAUGUAUUCCAUGCAUUGCUAUUAUUGCCCUGAUUAAUUUAUUUACUAGAAACUUAUUUCAUUGCAGGUGACCGGUUCCGAUUCAGUGGUUAUACACAGGUUAUUGCACUGAAAGAGGAUACUCUUCCUGUAAUUUUGAUUCUUGCCUGAGCUUAUCUGCACAUCUUAUGCCUUUAAUGAGGUGCUUCAAUCCCGCAAGUGCUAUGCAAAUUAUUAGCCUGUGAGUAAGUUGAAGAGGUGUCUAAUCGUUUGGGGGUUUUUUUUCCUGCUACUUGACAUAUUACUCUUUACAAUGCCCUGAAAGCUGAUGAUUCAUUUAUUCUGUUGAGUAUGUAUGUAAUUCAAUCAAAGUGUUUGUAUGAAUGAAAGAAAGAAACGCAUGUUUCUAUGAAAAAGAACACUGUUUUGAAGUAACCAAGCUGAUUGUAUUUAUAUUUCUUUUAAUUUUCUUUAACAAAGCAGUUACAUUGUACAAUGUAUACAGCUCCCAAUUUACCAACAGAGAUCAAUUUAUUUCCAUCCAUGUUGCGUAUACUAAUACAAAGAAUAGACCCUCCAGCUUACAGAGAUUCCUAGUGUUGUAUAAAAAUGAGAAUCAAGAUUUAUACGCUUACAAAGAAAAUCGAUGUGAUGGGUUAAAUUCAUAUCAUUUUCUCAAAUUUGUCAAGCUUCUUCACCCUCUGCAUUGAUCUUAAAAGUAGUGUAAAGAAAACUCCUGCAUUUUUAUAAAUUUAAGACUGUCAGUAAUAGAACCUUGAUGAAUAUGAACUUAGGUUUCAAUUGAGAAAUAUUAGCAUCUGAGGGAUCACCUGCACCAAUGAAUGAUCCAUUUGCAAUAAUUUGACUGCCUUGACCAGUGAAUGUGACCCCCAGAUUCAGCAGGGUACCCCCACAAACUGUAUACAUAGUUGCCAUUUGCAGUAUUGUUGCUUUUCGAGCUGCUCUUUCAGACUGGUACACAUAGUUAUAGCCAUUCAAAAUCAAUGCAGUCAAAUUAUAUACAAAGAGAGAUUUCAAAUGCUGAAUCACAGUCCAUUUUCUCCAUUUCUGUUUGUGAGUUCUGGAACUAUUAAGACAUGAUUACCUCAAGCACCCGUACUCGGAGUUUCAAAUCUCCUGCUUCAAGUUGUUUCACAAACUCUUCUAUUCGUUGAACCCUGGAUGGCAUGGACAUGGUCGAAGAUCUGGCCUGAAAAUAGAUGGAAAUGUUCUUGAUACUAACAGUGAUGGAAAUUCAGCCUUCUCAUUUAUAACAUAAUUAUCAGAAGAAUAACAGGUAUUUAUUUGUUUAUUUUUUAAAAAAAGAUUUUUGUUCAGUGUUAUCCGUUGGGAAAAAAAAAUAUGGCAACAGUAGAAAGAAUGCAAAAAGCAAUACAUCAUCAGCUUGUUUCCUGAUUUGCUCCACUAGCUGUGUUCCAGACUGCUGCUGCUGUUUUAAAUCCAAUAGCUCCUGCAGGCAGAGUAGAAACAAUGAAUACCAAGCUAUUCAAGUUUCAACCAUAGAAAUGAUUACCAAAACGUGCAUGAAAAUUCCAAGGGAAGUGAAUUUAACCUGUGCAUAAGGUGCAGCAACCUUCACAAAGGAAAAAUCUGGGUCAAGAAUGUUGCCGAUACCUGUAACAGGACAAUGAUACUCAGAAUAAAGCAGUAAAAUGGCAAUGGACUAGCUGCGGUUAUCAAAUUUUCUGGGUUUAAUGAAAAAGUUCAAAUAUUACAUCGCAUAAACUUGAUAUAUGGUCUAAUGUGAUUCAGAAGUGAAUUUUUUAAGGCAAUGUGAGAGUGAGAGGACCUUCAAGUGUGGAGAAUGCCCUUAUAACGAAAGUAAAGGUGGAUGGAAACCGAAAUGGUUGAUCUUGAGCUAUUGCAAACAAAUCCUACAAAAGCAUAACAAACAAACAAACAAACAAAUAACCUUAACUUACUGAUACCACAUAAGGGUAUUCAGAAACUACAUAAAUUAAAAAAUUAAUAGAACCUCUCCAAUUGCAGCCAAAGUCUGCUGCUGAUCUGGACUCUGGCUUAGCAAAUUGUCCAAGAAAAAUUGCACGGAUCUCCUUACCUAGGAGUAGAAUGAACAAUUAGUACUACUGUAAGAUGGAUACUACAGAAUAACCACAGAAUACACAUUUCCUUUUCAAUAACCAUGCAAGUACACAUUUCCAUUUCAAAUGUUGACACUUGGAUGGUGUGGCAUGAUGACCUACCGAUGACAUAUCUCCUGUGGGUUGAAGUGCUUCGAGAUCAAUCAACCUUUGGAUAACCUGCAUAAUAGCUGCUCAGUUUCGGCUAACAAGCAAGGAGAAAAAAAAUUUGAUUUACUUUCAUUAUAAACAAAUUACCCAUCCAAUUUCAGUAGAUGGGUACCAAACUCUUAUCAACCUAAAUUCACAAAAGAAAAAUCAAAGGGAGCAGUUGAUAGAUCGAAAGUACACCUUUUUGGCAUCUUUCUCAUAAACUGCAUAGAAAAGAUCAAGCAAUCUUUCACGGGUAAAGGAUUUAAUCUCCCCCAUCAUACCAAAAUCAUAAUAGAUGAGUGCUUCAUCUAAAUCGACAGCAAGAUUUCCAGGAUGAGGAUCAGCAUGAAAGAAACCAGUUUUGAGUAUCUGCACUUUUAGAAAGAUACUGUAAACGACUACAUUAUAAGCGGGGUAACUAACAUUACAAUUUCACCGUUGUACAACAAAUGGAGGUACUUAAUAGUCAUCAACUCAUCAUAUUGUCAAAACUUAAUAUCAAUUACCUGAUUCAAGUACGCUUCAAUUGCACGCGAUGCAAUUUGAGAACGAUUAUAACCCUGCAAAUCUAGUGCUUUCAACUCAUUGAUCUUAACUCCUGAUACAAAAGUAAAAAUCUCAAUCCAUUAAAUUUCAGUUUCACAAAAUUUAUGUGGAACUAUACAAUGCAAAUUCUUGCUAUCAUUUUGAAUUAAUACACACACAUGCGCGCGCACAGAGGUUUAGGCUAAAACCUGGUACAUACUCCAAUGUCAACACCUUUGUAGCAGUAUAAUCCCAAAACACCAGCUACAGAGGGGAACAAAAUUCCAGUUAGGAAUCCACAAGAGACUCUAAACUUAAAAGACUAGAUCUAUGCUCACUAGAAAUUGCAAAAUUAAUAAGUUUAUAGUCAUAAUUGAUGAGAAUUUUGAGAAAAUUUUUGCACAACUAUUUGAUUAUGUGCCACUUAAUAUUUGUAGUCUUGAAGCUAGAAACAUACAGGUACCCGGACCCACUUUAUAUUCCGAAAAUCUCGACGGAAUCUAUCAGCAUUUUUUCCUUCAUUUAUGUAAUCGAUUUCUUGAUACAAAAUCCUGAAAUCAAUAAGAUAAGCAUAGCACAAGUUAACUGUGUCACACUUCAUUGAGACAAUUCUAGAACCAUCAUGUUUCAUCAGAUCCAUUAUAACAAAGAUCAAUAACGCAUAAAUAUAUUAUAUCAAGUUUCAUCAGAUCCAUUACAACUCAAUAAUGCAUAAAUAUAUUAUAUCAAAAUAAAAAAAUAAUCAACUCAACACAACAUGUUAUUUACACACAUUGAUCCUACUUAGUGUUUCAUGAUCCUAGAAAAAUAUCUAACAAAAAAGUGACAAUACUUAAUACUUACGUGGCGCAUUCGUCAUAUAUACCAAUCCAGUCUCUUGUUGGACCACCAAAUGUUUCACUUCUCUGAAAGUAUUCUGCAAUUAGCUUUAAAUUUCCUGUAUGGAAAAAGCAGGAAUAACGGAUAAUAAAAAUUUACUUCUUCAAGUACAAUUAAGAACUAAAAACAUUGUUUCAGUUGAUGAAAUCACAUAAUAAGGGAAAUGAGAAAUAAAGCAAUUAAAUACAAUUAAAAGAAACUACAAUAUCACUACCGUCAAAUUGACAGAGCAAGUGCAUUACUUACGUAAAUCAAUGUCAAACAGCCUCUUCAGACCAGGUCUUUGAACCUUCACAACAACUUUCUCUCCAUUAUGCAGGAUUGCACGAUGUACCUAUAGAUGGUAUCCUUUGAAAUUCAAAUUAGCGAAUAGGAAUCACCUCAAGUAAAACUUAAAUAAAAUGUCAAGAAUUUUAACAAUGACAACACUAUUCAAGCUUCUUAAGUGAAGUUAAACGGACAAACCAGCUUUAAUGUACGAUGUUCAAUAAGAAAAAGAGGAAUGUAACAAGAAUCAAACACCUGACCAAGACUAGCUGCAGCAAUUGGCCGGUCCUCAAACGUUUUGAAAAAUUGCUCAAUAGGAGCUCCAAGUUCAUUCUUGAUGAAGUGUCUUGCUUUCUCUGGAGAGAAGGCAGGAACCCUAUCCUGAAUUAUAUUGAAUAUGAACAUAAAAUUUAUAUGAAAAGUAAAAAGUAAUACUAGUUAUAUGGAUUACAGGAUAUCAGCACCUAAAAUCAAAUGAUGUCGGGGAAAUUCAAUGCUAAAUUGUAAAGACAGUAAAAGCAGUACCUGUAACUUGGCAAGCUCAUCCACAAACUCACGUGGAAAAAGAUCUGACCUUGUUGAAGAUAACUGCCCAAGUUUAAUAAAAGUUGGACCAAGCUGCAGCACACUCUCCCUUAGCCAUGAGGCAGUCUUUCGUCUUCUGUUUUUCUGAAUGGAAGAUAAUUAUUAACAAAAAAGCCAGAAGCCCCCCAAAAAAAAAAAAGAUUUAAGUCGAAGAGACCAAGAAAUGAUGAGAAACUUGGCCAAAUAUGAAAUCAGUAAUGAUAAUGACUGAUCAAAGUUUGAAGCCAAUCUGGCAGCAUCAUAUACCUGUUUAUCUUCUGAGAAGCCUCCCAAAUAGGCCCAUUUGGCAUUGUCAAACAGAAUACGGAUUUGUAAUGAAAGGACAAAUGACCAAACAUCUAUAAUCCUUUGCCAGGAAUUAUAAUUCUCAUUAGCCCAACUGAAACUUUCAUCCGAGGGCAGAACCUUCAGCUCCUCCACUGGUGGAAGUUCAUUUGAACCCUUGCCUUUCAGUGCCUUAACGAGGGCCGAAGUAGAAUUUUUCUUAGCUAAACCUGCAACAUUAAUGACCUGCUUUGUCCCAUUGACCAUCUUAUUAACCUUACCAUUGGGUGGAUUAUUCCUUUUCACCACCUCACUAGCAGGUACCAUCUUAACCGAUCGUCCAUUAGUCCCAACUCUUGAGGGAGAUUCAGUUUGCCGCGCUUCAACAUGAAACUGAAAUGCUUUAUUAGUCAAAGUUGGAUUACAUGUUUUCCUCUCAAAGCUUGAUAUGGAACUCGAGAAACUAAGAUUGUCCAUAUCUCUUCCUUGGUUUAUCAAAUCAAUAUUGUGGCAAUAACAGCCUUGUGAAGCCAGUAUUGCCGCCAUUCAAUCGACAAACACCUAUGGAUUGAUAUCAAUACAGAAAUUAGACUGAUGCUAAACCAAAUAACAAUACUAAGAAUUAAAGCGAGCAAAUGUCAGUUAUAAUGGGAAACACGAAAAUUAAACCAUUAACACGACAAAUCUGAAGCCAGAACACUCAAUGAAAUAAAAAAAUAAAAAAAAAAACUCAACUGAAAGCAAGAUAAUGAAACAAAAGAAGAAAACAAAUGAGCAAUGAAUAUUCACCCACCAAGUCAAUGACUCUUAAGUAUUAAUUCUAAUUAUCUAAACAUGAAUGAACAUAUAUACUAAGUUAGUUAAGAGAACAGAAGAGUUUAAACUUAAAAGACAUUAAUACAUGCAAAUUGAAUAAUGUUUGUUUGAAACUAAAGAGAGCCCAGAUGAAGAUACUCACAAGAGAAGAAGAAAGAGUAACUAUCAAGUCUUAGAAAUGAAUCUCGAAGCUGAGAGAUUUAUUGGGUUUUAAGAAAAAUGACCAAAAAAUUGAUUUUUUUUUUAUAAGAAAAUAAAUUGACUAAAUAAGUGUUAUGAACAAAAUGUGGACGAGCAAAAAGAACGUGGACAGCACAGUGGCAGCGUGUCUCCCUUGCCAAUUCUAGUUGAUUAAGUUACUCAACAUAUUGUUCGGUCUGAUUUUUCUUUCUCUUUUUGUUUGGGUAUAUUUGUAAUUUCAUUUUAACGACAAAACUGAAAGUUGAAUCUUCACGACAACCAUUCAGUUGCGUGGCGGGUUUUAUUUUCUUGUCAAGAAUGGGUAAAAUUAUAUAUGAGUCCCUGAUGUUUCUUUAAGCGAUGACUUAUUUAUCCGUAUCAACAGGUCCAGGAUUAUCGCCAUUAAAAAUUUGAAAUGAUCAUCUUAACCUUGCAAUUUUGGACUUCCAAGAGUAUAUGUAAUAUAACUUAACUCUAAAGGGUAUUUCAGUUAUUGCGAUUGAAAUUAUCAAAUUGGGGACAUAUUUGAUAUAAAUGGAAGAACUAUUUAUUAUUAUUGGGAAAUAAUAAACUAUUAACCAAUAGCGUGGAUGUUAAAAUAAGAUCUAUAAUAACAAUUUAGUGAUUUUUUUUUUUAAAAAUUUUUGAGAAGAUCAAUUUAGUGAUCUUAAAUUAUUAACAAAAAAGCCAGAAGCCCCCCAAAAAAAAAAAAGAUUUAAGUCGAAGAGACCAAGAAAUGAUGAGAAACUUGGCCAAAUAUGAAAUCAGUAAUGAUAAUGACUGAUCAAAGUUUGAAGCCAAUCUGGCAGCAUCAUAUACCUGUUUAUCUUCUGAGAAGCCUCCCAAAUAGGCCCAUUUGGCAUUGUCAAACAGAAUACGGAUUUGUAAUGAAAGGACAAAUGACCAAACAUCUAUAAUCCUUUGCCAGGAAUUAUAAUUCUCAUUAGCCCAACUGAAACUUUCAUCCGAGGGCAGAACCUUCAGCUCCUCCACUGGUGGAAGUUCAUUUGAACCCUUGCCUUUCAGUGCCUUAACGAGGGCCGAAGUAGAAUUUUUCUUAGCUAAACCUGCAACAUUAAUGACCUGCUUUGUCCCAUUGACCAUCUUAUUAACCUUACCAUUGGGUGGAUUAUUCCUUUUCACCACCUCACUAGCAGGUACCAUCUUAACCGAUCGUCCAUUAGUCCCAACUCUUGAGGGAGAUUCAGUUUGCCGCGCUUCAACAUGAAACUGAAAUGCUUUAUUAGUCAAAGUUGGAUUACAUGUUUUCCUCUCAAAGCUUGAUAUGGAACUCGAGAAACUAAGAUUGUCCAUAUCUCUUCCUUGGUUUAUCAAAUCAAUAUUGUGGCAAUAACAGCCUUGUGAAGCCAGUAUUGCCGCCAUUCAAUCGACAAACACCUAUGGAUUGAUAUCAAUACAGAAAUUAGACUGAUGCUAAACCAAAUAACAAUACUAAGAAUUAAAGCGAGCAAAUGUCAGUUAUAAUGGGAAACACGAAAAUUAAACCAUUAACACGACAAAUCUGAAGCCAGAACACUCAAUGAAAUAAAAAAAUAAAAAAAAAAACUCAACUGAAAGCAAGAUAAUGAAACAAAAGAAGAAAACAAAUGAGCAAUGAAUAUUCACCCACCAAGUCAAUGACUCUUAAGUAUUAAUUCUAAUUAUCUAAACAUGAAUGAACAUAUAUACUAAGUUAGUUAAGAGAACAGAAGAGUUUAAACUUAAAAGACAUUAAUACAUGCAAAUUGAAUAAUGUUUGUUUGAAACUAAAGAGAGCCCAGAUGAAGAUACUCACAAGAGAAGAAGAAAGAGUAACUAUCAAGUCUUAGAAAUGAAUCUCGAAGCUGAGAGAUUUAUUGGGUUUUAAGAAAAAUGACCAAAAAAUUGAUUUUUUUUUUAUAAGAAAAUAAAUUGACUAAAUAAGUGUUAUGAACAAAAUGUGGACGAGCAAAAAGAACGUGGACAGCACAGUGGCAGCGUGUCUCCCUUGCCAAUUCUAGUUGAUUAAGUUACUCAACAUAUUGUUCGGUCUGAUUUUUCUUUCUCUUUUUGUUUGGGUAUAUUUGUAAUUUCAUUUUAACGACAAAACUGAAAGUUGAAUCUUCACGACAACCAUUCAGUUGCGUGGCGGGUUUUAUUUUCUUGUCAAGAAUGGGUAAAAUUAUAUAUGAGUCCCUGAUGUUUCUUUAAGCGAUGACUUAUUUAUCCGUAUCAACAGGUCCAGGAUUAUCGCCAUUAAAAAUUUGAAAUGAUCAUCUUAACCUUGCAAUUUUGGACUUCCAAGAGUAUAUGUAAUAUAACUUAACUCUAAAGGGUAUUUCAGUUAUUGCGAUUGAAAUUAUCAAAUUGGGGACAUAUUUGAUAUAAAUGGAAGAACUAUUUAUUAUUAUUGGGAAAUAAUAAACUAUUAACCAAUAGCGUGGAUGUUAAAAUAAGAUCUAUAAUAACAAUUUAGUGAUUUUUUUUUUUAAAAAUUUUUGAGAAGAUCAAUUUAGUGAUCUUAAAAUAAUUUUUUAAUUUGGUGCUUUGUGGUUUAGAUAGGUUUAUGGUGACAGGCAAGUAGGUUGCUUUGCUGAGAAUUGUGACAUGUUCUAACUUGUAGUUGAUAUUCACGGUCUAUUUGGAAUUGAGGUUGGACAAUUGUAUCUUUUAAGAUACAGCUUUCAAGUGUUUGGUAAACACUAACUACUGUAACUUUGAAGUUAGAUUGAUUUGAAUUUACAUUUCUGUGAUGAAAAAUAUAUUAUAUCUUUAUUAAUUUAUCAAAAUUAUUAUUUUAAAAUUAUUAUUUAUUAUAUAAUAUUAACUUUUAUUUCAUCGUUAUUGCUUUUUUCUAUAGAAGCUGUAACUUAAAAGAUGUAGUACAUCAAUCCCAAACAUAACCUUAAUUAAAUGGUCAACCUAGCUGUUCAAGGAGUUGACUUGGGUUUAACAAGUUUAUGUGGCUGCUUUUCAACUAUUUAUUUAUUUUAAUGUUUGCUAAAUAGAUCAUGUUAGCUAAUUGGUAGGGCUAAUCUUUGUUAACUAAAAGGGAAUAUCAAUAACAAUUAAUAAUAUCGACUUGUUUUACACCAUUUAGAUUAAGUUAAAUGAUCAUGAACAAUAUCAUAUUUUUUUACUUUUUUGUUUAUCUACAAUUAGCUGAUAAUUAAACUUAUUUCAAAAUCUAACUUUUGUAUAUGUCCCUAUAAUUAUACAGGAAUUAUGUGAAAAGGUCAAUUUUUUAUGAAAAAAGAAAAGGAAGAUUCUCUAUAAUCAUUUUCAACGUGAUAUUGAUUUCUUUUUAGGGAAAAAAAAAUGAGUGUUGGACCUUUAUAACAAAAAAAUAAUGAAAAAAUAACUACCUACCAUUUGGUUUUUUUAAUUUGUAAAAAGUACUUCAAUUUUUUUCUUUUGAAAGGAUCUAUCAAAAAUAUAGUGCAUCACUUUUUCACUUUUCUAUUAAUGCCGAUAGAGGAUUUAACAGAAUAUUAAUAAGAUGAUUGUUUUACACGUGAAUGUAAAAAGAUUAUUUAAUCCUAUCAAAAUGAGGAAAAAAAAGGAAGUAGUUGGGACUAAUAAGGGCUACAAAAUUAACUAUAUAGACUUAUCAAUUACCUAAUUUAAAAAUAUAAAAUCAUCAAAAUAAGUAACCUGGUUAAUUUGUAGCUCAUUUAUAACAUAAAUUAGGAACCCUUGUUCAUAUAAGCCAUCCUAAAUAACAUAACUUCAUCAAAAAUAAUAAAUCUUUAAUAAACAAUAAAUAGAAAUAGGCAUAGUUAUUUAAAAUACAUUCAAAAUAAUCAUAAAAUCAAUUAUGAGAAACUUUGAACAUUAUAAUUUGCUUCCAUCAAUAGAAAAUAAUAACAUUAAAUCAGUUUUGGGAAACUUGGAGUUUAUAGUUAUUUCUUGUCAAUCCAAAAUAAUAGUAUAAUUCAAAAAAUCCAAACUAACAACCAAUAAAUAUAUAUUUUUUUUCACAUUUAGGGAUCGAAUAGUCAUUCUUUGAUAUUUUGUUACAUCCUUUAAUGACGACGGUAAUAGAAAAGUAAAUACAUAAUACAUUAUAUAAACUUCAUAUGGAAAACUACAAAACAUAAAAAGUUUAGUAAAUCAUUAGUGGUGUUGGAUAUUUAUCCAAAAAUAGUUGAUGCAUUUUGGCCAACUUUUCAUCAGUUUGUUAGAUGCUAGCUUGGGCCUUGGAUAUACAAUGAGUUUGCCUUGGUGUAAGUGUACCUAAAAGUGUGAGAAAAUUGAAUAUUUCAACUGAUGCAUAUGCCUUGUUUGCUUCAAAUACAUGAUUUUCGUAUCACAAGGUUCGGAACUAGACGAAAGAAAAGGUUGACCUCCCCAUUAAUAUAUUGAAUGAAAAAAGAAGGCUUCUUGUAUGAUCACCAUCAAUAUCUAGUUAGGUGUCAUACUUCUUUUGACCGUGUUGGCUUUAAUAUCUGUAUGGCUAGGUUCUAGAGAGAAUUUGCUAGGUACAUGGAAAAGAUCAGGAACCUAUCAUGGAGGUUUCUGAUAACUGUCUUCUGAUCUUUUUCCACCCGUUUGACAUUUUGACAAACCUCAAAACGGUACCAGAGAAAAGAGCCCUUUAGAAGUCGGAAUCCUCGGUUGCUUGACUAGAUGUAGAAUUAAAGUCGAAGAAAGAAACACAGUAAUUUAAAGCAACCUAUCUAGUUGAUGAUCUAUUUUUCUUUUCCUUUUUGCUUUCACAAGUGAUUUUAAGUGUGCAAUCUACAAUGCUCCCUGGGAGCCAUUUCUUUACUUAACAAUGUUGCGUAUAUGUUGAUACAAAGAGCAGAAUCUAAAGGAAUAGAAUGAAAAUCAUAAGUGUAAUGUUUAUAUCAUUUUCUCAAUUUUGUUAAGCUCCUUCACUCUUUGCAUCGACCAAAGAAACAGUAUAAAGAAAACUCCUGCAUUUUAGGAAAUAAUAAGACAUUCAAGCUACUAGAGCAUUGAUGAAUAUGAAAUUGGAACUUAAUGGAGAGUAAUGGCAUUGUUUUGUGAAAGGCAUAAGCGCACCUGCACCAAUGAAUGAUCCGGUUGCCAGAACUUUAUGGGCUUGACCACUAAGGGUGACCCCGAGAUUGAGCAGGCUACCUCCAAAUACAGCACGAAUGGUUGCUAUUUGCAGUAUUGUUGCUUUUUUAGCUGCUCUUUCUGACUGGUAAAUGUAAAAUUUUCAAUUUAGGAGAUUUAAAGGCUGAAUGAAGGAUCUGGUUUGAUAAUAUGAGAAAUAAUGGAUAAUGUAUUGAAAAAUGAAAUAAAACCAACGUUGCAUCACCAUUAAAAGAUGAUUAAGUACCUCAAGCACCCGGACUCUGAGUUUUAGAUCUCCCGCUUCAAGUUGAUUUACAACCUCCUCUAUUCGUUGAACUCUGUAUGGCAUGGAUACGGUAGAGGAUCGGGCCUGAGAAACAUACAAAGGUGAUCUCAAUACUAGUAAUUAUUGAAAAAUUAUCUUAAACUAGAGAAGAAGCAAUAAGCAUUUACAUGAUCAAUUUGUUUCCUUAUAUUUUCCACAGGCUGCGUCUUAGCGAUCAUCUGCUUUUGUCUCAUCUCUAGCAGCUCCUGUAAGAAGGAAUAAUAAGUAGUCUACUCCCAACUAUAGAAAUGAUCACCAAAACGUCAUGAAAUCCUUUUUUAUUUGCAAAGGAGUUAAUCAUAGAUGCCCAGAGAAGUGGAUAUAACCUGCAAAUAAGGUGCAGCAACCUUCAUAAAGGAAAAAUCUGGGUCAAGCAUAUAGCCAUUACCUGUAAAGAAAAAUGAACAGUAAAAUUGAAGAUUUAAAGAUCGAUUUGAUAUAUUAUUAUACUGCGAUUUGGGGAUGACGUAUAUGGGGAUAAGAAUAGAGGACCUUCAAGUGUUGAGAAUGCCCUUACAACAAAAGCAAAGAUUGAUGGAAACUGAAAAGGUUGAUCGUGAGCUAUAGCAAAUAAAUCCUGCAGAAAAACGAACAAACAGACAAAAAGCCUUAACAACACAUGUGUCGUUAACUUCUGUUUAGUGUUCUUAUGCAGGAAGGUACUGCCUUUUCUUUAAGCUUCUAUAUCACAUGAGAAAAUUUUCAGUGUCCAGGUUUACACACCUCACCGACAGCAGCAAGCGUCUGUUCCUUAUCUGGUCUGCUGAAUAAAUUGUCCAAGAAAAACUGCACAAAUCUCUUCACCUAAGGAUAGAAUAAACGACUAUUAAUCUACGAGAUGGAUCUACUGAAGGAUUUGGCAAUCCAUAAUGAAUAGAAGGCCACAUCAAUGUGUAACAAUGCCUUUUCUAAUGUUUAAUAUGAAAAAAUAUGGCAUGAUGGCCUACCGAAGACAAAUCUCCUGUGGGCUGAAGUGCUUCAAGAUCAAUUAGGCUCUGGAUAACCUGCAUAAUGACUGCUCAGUCUUGGGCCAGCAAGCAAGGGGAGCAAAAUUUGAUCUACUCGAGUUUUUCUAAUCACUUCAAUUGCAUUUCUGAAAUGGGUUAUUAUUCAAAUUAUCUAAGCAAGAAAGAAAUGAUGAUCCUUAAAACAUAACUGACAGUAAAAAGAUUCUGCAGAUGGAUGUGUGGGGCCCAAUGUUCAUAACAUUCUCAGAUAAACAUCCAGUUUAAGAAUAAAUUCUUUCGUGUCUUAUGUACUGGCAGAGGGUAGACAAGAGGGUAGACAACUAUGAUUUCGAAUUUGUAUAGAGAAAAUAUCAGUAUAAAGUCUGGUAUGUUUAGAACUUUACUGUCUAAACUUUAAUGGUCAACAUCAACUUACAGCAAAAAGAACAGUGACUCAAUAUAUAGAAAGUAGACCUUUUUGGCAUUUCUCUCAUAAACUGCAAAGAAAAGUUCAAGCAAUCUGUCACGAGUAAGAGGUGUGAUCUCUCCCAUCAUACCGAAAUCAUAAUAGAUCAGUGCUUCAUCUACAUCGACUGCAAGAUUUCCAGGAUGAGGAUCAGCAUGAAAGAAACCGGUUUUGAGCAUCUGCAAUUUUGGCAAACUUCAGUAAAUUACUAUAUUAUAAUUGGGUCAACAAACCUUACUUAAUCAUGGGGGAACAUAAUGAAUAAGGUCCUGAGGGACUUCGAUAUUUACAUGGUUCAUAACAGUCAUCAUUUCAGAAUUAAGAACAAGAAGAUUAAUCAAUUCAGACAGGGUUAAACUUAAUAACCUGAAUCAAGAAUGCUUCAACUGCACGGGAGGAGAUCUGAGAUCGGCUAUAACCAUGGAAAUCUAGUGCUUCCAACUCAUUGAUAUUAAUUCCUGAUAUAGAAGUAACAAUCUAACAUCAAUUAUCACCAACAUAAGAAAUCUGCGUUUGGUCCCCAAACAUACAUUGUGAAACCUCCAUGGCUUCUUGAACCAAAAACUUUUGUAUUGGUUUAGGGUAAAACCUGGUACAUACUCCAUGGUUAAUACCAUCGAGGCAGUAUAGUCCCAAAACACAAGCUACAAAGGGAGAAAAAGUUAAUUUAAGAACUCAUAAUAUGUCUGAAAUUCCAGAAAAAAAAAUGUGUUAGUGACAAUAAAAUUGAAGAACUAAUGAAAGAAGUGGCAGGAAGGGAGUAUUCUUGAGCAAGAAACAUACAGGCACUCGGACCCACUUUAUAUUCCGGAAAUCUCGACGGAAUCUGUCAGCAUUUUUGCCUUCGUUUAUGUAAUUUAAUUCUUGAUACAAAAUCCUGGAAUCAAUAGGAGGGUGAGCUGUGAGUUUUAAAAAAGGUAGAAGAUUACUGCAUUUUAAAAUAAUUGGAAUAGAAGAUUACUGCAUAAACACAUUAUAAUAAUUGGAAAAGAAUUGUCAUCCCUAAGGUGCCUAGUUGAUUAGUCUCUUGCUCCAGAAGUAAGACCAAGGGUUCAAUCCAUGUUUAAUUCAAGGGCUGGGUGCAUGAAAAAGAGGACGGAAACAAAUUGUCCAACCAAAAAAAUUUGUAAUAAUCCUGUAUUGAAAAGUACAAUUUGUGGAUGCUGAGUAAAUUUUGUGUUUUAGUAUGGAUGUUGAGGUGUCAAUAUGAAACUAUAAGGACCCAGAUAUAUGUUAUCAUACUUAUAGUUUCAUCCUUUGAAGUCUUUGAAGAACAAAGCUGGGAUAACAAUUAAUUCAACUUACUACUUACGUGGAACAUUCUCUAUAUAUACCAUUCCAAUCUGCUACUGGACCACCAAAUAAUCCUCCUUUCUUAUAAUAUUUUGCAACUAGCUUUAAGUUUCCUGUAUGCAAGAAGCAGGGACAUGAAAGAUCAAUGCAGCAAACACCAAAAGGACAAAGCCAAGGUUGAUUUACUAUUUCAGAAUACAAAGAAAACUGCAAAUCAAAUUAACCUCUAUAUUAAUGUGUACAUAGAGAGAUGCAUGGAUACACGUACAGGUAACACAAGUACAUGAGUAAUAUUGGUAUAUUAUAAUGAAACAAUGUAUUACCAUUGUUGCGCAAAUGUUAAAGUAAAUGUAACAGGGAUUGCUUGCUACCCGACACUUCCUAAAUAAAUGUACUGAACUGGACGUAACUCUCGCAUGGAUCAAAUAUAUAGUUACGGAAAAGAAGAAGAAGAACAGUAAAGAUUGUCCUAAUGGAUCCAACCAAGAAUAUUAAAAAGAAAGGGCAGCUAGUAUUUUAUAGUGAUAAGAAUCCAAAGUAUCAAUUUGGUUGAACUGAGAGAAACAAUGCUCUACUCACCUAAAUCAAUAUCAAAAAGCUUCUUGAGACCAGGCCUUUGAACUUUUACAACUACUUUCUCUCCAUUAUGCAGGAUAGCUCGAUGUACCUGUUGAUAUUGUAUCCAAAUUUGUAAACUUUCUCAAGAUGCACUAAGAUGUGCUUCUAAAUGCUGAUAGUGGAACUGUAUCUCAUUUUUUUCUGAUACUAUGAUAAAGGAAAAAAAAAAAGCUUAAACAAUUGGGUGGAAGAGCUAAAGAGAAUCAACACCUGACCAAUACUAGCAGCAGAAAUUGGCUGGUCCUCGAACUUUUUAAACAAUUGGUCAAUGGGAGCCCCCAGUUCACUCUCAAUUAAGCUUCUUGCUUUCUCUGGUGAGAAUGCAGGGGCCCUAUCCUGAAUAAUGUUAAUUAAGAACUUAAUAUUUAGAUGAAAGUUAAGAAGUUGAGAUUACAUUUCAGUUUAAAAUGAAGUGAGAUUACAUGAAUGAUUGGAUGUGUGCACUAAAAAGCCUAAUCAUGUUGGGAAAAUUUGUAUUAGAAAAUAUAUAAAGACAGAAAUCAAGAAGUACCUGCAACUUAGCAAGCUCAUCCACAUACUCACGUGGAAAUAGAUCGGACCUUGUUGAAGAUAACUGCCCAAGUUUCAUAAAAGUUGGUCCCAGCUGCAGUAUACGCUCCCGUAGCCACGAGGCAGUCCUUUUUCUUCUUUUUUUCUGAAAGAGAUACAUUUUAUAAACACCAAAGUGUGAAAACAAAAGAGUGAAAGACUGAAGUAUAAGAAAUAAAGAAACGGUCAGAAACUGGGACAAGUAGGAAAUAAGUAGUGAAGACAAUUGAGUAGGACUUAGAAUAUCCAAUGUUCAGCAUUGUAUAACACUCUAAAUGUCAGCCAAAUUCACCUGCUUUUCUUCCAUGAAGCCUCCAAAAUAUGUCCAUUUGGUAUCAUCCAACUGAAUACGGAUAUAGAAUGAAAUAACAAAUAACCAAAUAUCUAUACUUCUUUGCAAGGAAUUAUAAUUCUCGUUAGACCAACUGAAGUUUUGAUGUGAAAGUGUAUCCUUCAACUCCCCUAUCGGUGGAAGUUCUUUCAAACCUUUACCUUUUGGUGUUCUAACCAGGGCUGAAGAAGAUUUUCUCUUAACUACACUUCCAUUAACGGACUGCUUUGAGCCAUUGACUGUAUCUAUAUUAUGACUGAGCUGGGGGUGUCUUCCCAAUACCUCGCCAAUGGGUACCAUUUUAACAGGUCUUCCAUUGAUUCCCAAUGUUGAAGGUGACCCAGUAUGUUUCAUUUGCACUAGAAACUGGAAUAAUCCAUUGGUAAUUGUUGGUUUGCAUGUUAACCUCUCUAACGUUGAUACCGAGCUUGAAAAACUCAGAUUUUCCAUUGUUUUUUGUUGAUUAAUCAAAUGAUUACUGUGGCAACAGCAGCCUUGUGAAGCCAGUAUUCCCACCAUUUAAUCAACAAAAACCUAUGUAUUGAUAACCAAUAUCAAAAUUAGAUUGAUGCAGAGCUAAGUAAUGAAAUGCGAAAUGCAAGCUAACCAAAUUUGGUUUGAUCCAAAACAAGUGAAAAGAAUUAAAAGAACAAUGCACCUUCAAUCUAACAUCAACUAGCAGAUUAUAUUAUGCAGAUUUCAUUUGCUAUAAUUAGGAUAAAAGAAACCAAUGUAGCAUUCAUAAGAUAAGUCAAGCAUAUAAACUGGAGAGAAGAAGUGAAGGGUUUCAAUGGAAACUUAUUGACUAACAAACUGAAAGCAAGAUAAUUAAACAAAAGAAAGAAAUUACAUUCCAAACCAGAUCAAGUCAACAUAUUUAACAAAUGUCCAACAAGAGACCAAACCCAAAAUCAUUCACCCACGAACUCAAAAUCAGUUGCUAAUCAACAGAACAGAUGUUGCGGUUGAGGGUCAGCAUCAAAAAAAAAAAAAAAAGUUCAGAAGCUCCAUUAAAAUUAUGUGAAAGUAAAAGAACCCAGACUAUGAUACUCACGAAACAGAAGAGUCAGCAACAAGCUUAGAUAUGAAUCUUAAGAUUUGAAAAUUUCAUUGGAUGUAUAGGAAAAACAAACUAAGGGUUUGUCCAACAACUAACUUAUUUUUAUAGAGGAAAGAUAUUGACUAUACUAGAAAUGUAAUCAAAAAUAGAAAGACGGGGGAAAGUGAGAAAAUGGGACGCCAGCAAAUGGGCAAUUGUCAUUUGCAAUUCUAUAAUAUUUUUAAAUCAUUAAUUUGUUCAACUCGGAGUUCGGACAAAUGGUUGUGCCUUUGUGUUAUAAAUUCUCUAACAACGACAAAAACCGAAAACAACUCCAAUAUUUGGGUGGGUAAAAUAGCCUUUUUGUUUUGGCUUGCAUUAGUUAAAUAAAAAUAAUAUGAUGUUACAGGCUCACAGCUUUGAAGUUCACGAUCACACUUAAAAGAACACCAACAUGAAGUUGAUGACACAGCCGAAUGUGAUGCACAUGGACUGCAUUGCCUCUAAAUACAUAAAUAUAUGAACUCAGAUGUGCAAAAAAGACGCAAGUCAAAAAUGGAUGGCAUUGAUUUUUCUAUAUCCAAUAGUCAUCUUUCUUUUCUGAACUGUCAAAAUAUUGACCAAAGUGCCAUCCCAUAAUCAUAGUACUUACCCAGUACUUAGUAUUUACAUUGAUAAAUAAAAAUAUACAUGUUGCUUUAAAAGCAACAGUACAUGUAAGCGUCCACUGUGAAUCAGUUUUUUGUUAUUAGCGUGACAGCUUUUCAAAAAUAUUUACUCCCGAAAAGCCAGUACACUUAAGUCAGUAGCAUUUCAAUUUUUUUGGCGGCAUUUCGGUAUGGCUCACACUAUCAUUGUGCCUGCUCACCAAGUGAUCAUUGUUCUUUGGUAUGUCUUCAGGGAAUCUGGAGCCUUCUGGAAAAUUGCAGUACCAGACGAUGUUAGUUGCAAUGGCACCGACAAAAAUAUCAGUCCUCGGAGUUAGACGAAUUUUUCUUUCAACUAGUGAAACCUGCCCACAGCAUUGACUUUGGAUUGCUGCAUUCCUCAGCUUCCGAACAACGGUGUCCUUAUCAUGGCUGAUGUUAUCUGCUUCCUCCUGCAUUACAUACACAGACGGGAAUUAAGUCGAUGGUUUUCUGUGACCUUUCCUUGAGAGUGUAAUUUCUUCAAAAAGACUAAUAGAGCAUGUUUACAGAUAUUACAUCCUAAUUAAUGUUACCAUGGACAAAUUACUGAUUUAAAAAGUUGAACUGAUAACGUAGUUUCAAUUAUGAUUUCUUAAAUUACUGCAUAAGUUUUUCUAGUGACAAGGAGAAAUUCCAAGAGGCUAAAAGGAUUCAUACAGCAUUAGUUUGACGUUAUACCAAAGAUAAAGGAAAAAAGAUGAACGGGCAUUUGAGGGAGAAGUAUAUAAGGGAAGUCAACAUUGGCGCACCGACAACCACAACCAUCACUAAAAUUGAGUUUUAGGGCUAUGAUAAAUGGUCUUGUUUUAAGUGUUUCCCUAGUGUGUUCAUGCACAUGAAGGGGUAAAACAAUUAGAAUCCCCCUCACAAAACUCAUUGGCGAAAGCAGCAGCUAAAAUCAAAGAAUAUGUACAGUAAAUUUAUUGUGUAACAGUAAUAUAAUAUGAAGACAACCAAAUUUUAUGUCCAAUGUGCACAAAAUGUGCUAUUUCACACCAGUGAUUGCAGCACUAUUUCUGAUGGAUGAUACCUUUUCAGCUUGAAUGGUUGUUUAUUCAAAAUGGCUGUUUUAAGAUCUGGCCUGUCUGAGAAAGAAACCUAUAUUUCAAAUACAGGAGAAUUAAAUACAGAUUCAAUCAGAAUAUGAGCAAGGGAAAAGCAAGCAAAAAGGUAAAGAGUCUUAAAACAUAACAGGAAGUGAUUGAGAGGGAUAACUGGUGCCUUUGUUUGAAGGUUAAACUGUAUUCGCAGCAACUGCAAAAAAGAAAAUCAUCCCUCUAAAGAUAUUAAUAUCUAAGGUGAAAAGGAAAUACCUCGACUGAUUGGACGAAGGGCGAUGGAGCUUUGGGUCUGUGAACACUGCCUACCCUGAGAGCCCAUUUCACAUACUUGUCUGUAUUGCUCCCAAAAAUCACAAAUACAAUUAGGCACUCCAUUUUAUUUUUGAUUUAUAUCACUCACCACACAUGGGAGCAAUAAUAACUAAAAGAUAGUCUAAAUAAGUAUUUUUCCAGCCUUUGCAGCACAGCAGUCAUUAUUCACUCAGAAAGAAGGUAAAAUGCAAGCUUAAGUCACUCACGAAUUGUGACAAAACUUCGUAACUUUGAAUAAAAAAGCUUGGGAUCCCAAAUGAUGUCUUCCAUCAGCAAACCUAUUACAUAUCGAUAUAUGAAAAUAAGCAAAAAGCUGGAAAGAUACCUGAUCGUGAUGGCCUAGAGUACUGAUCAAGAUUAAUCUGAAAAAGAUCUACUCGAACAUAAGGAGGAAUCCACAGAUUAAGAUGAUGCAUAACCCCUGCAAUCACCUGUCGUUUUUCAAGUUACACUUUUGUUGAUCAAAAGAAUCAAGCCAGUUCGAAGAUGUCUGAUAUGCUUGAUGAUCUAGCAUGUUAAGAUAAAAAAGGCACUGAAAAUAUACUAAUGCAACUGAUUAAUAAGCACUACAUACUUUACAUAUUUCUUUUAUAAUAUACAGACAAAGUUUGGUUCUUUGAAAUGUAUAAUAAAUAAUACUGCCCUUUGGUUCUAUAAAAAAAACCCUUAUGCAUCCCAUAGUAAAAUGCAAGGAAUGGAAAAAAAAUUCAAUAUGAGCAGGGUCCCAUCCUGUAGUUUAUUGGUUUAUACCAGGAGCUUCUUAUGUAUUGGUCAUGGUACGAAUAGGACAGCCACCCUGAGUUACAAUGCAGCACUGCAAUGAUGUUUCAAUAUGUGCUUCAAAAAAGCCAUCCUCUUAUUGCAUAACAAAUGAAUUGUCAGAACUUAAAACUAUUAUGGUGGAAUUGACAACGAUGAGAGAAAAACAUGGAAGCACAAAAUAUGCAGUAACACAAAAAAUUGUUAAGCAUUCUAUGCUUAGUAAUUCAGAAUAAGAUAACUAUACCUUGUCAACAGGAGCAUGAACAACCAAACUUGCUUUCUUGUCCUUUGGCGUUUGCUGGACAUAUAAGUUGAAAAGUAAAGAGAGCAGUCAAAAAUGAUGCUGACUAAUCAUAUGCAUAAAAUACUUGCUCUGGAUGAGAAGAGAAAGUUAAGUCAAUUGAUACAAAAUUAUUUUAAUGAUCAUGAGACACAAGUCUCCCAAGAGACUUAUACCAGUAAAGGUCUUUGUCAUAGUUUAUAAUGUGAAAGAAAAGCCCAAUAAUGUCAUGGCCUUAGUACAACCUUGAAGUAGUGAUCAGUUACACAUAAAGAUUUCAGCCUGUACUAAAAAAUAGCAUAGCAGAUUCAUGAGUGAAGGAAAAAGAAAUAAAGAAAUACCUGUAGGUUUACAAUUACGAUCUUACCCCCACCACGAAGUGAUUUUAAAGGAAGGUUGCAAGCUGGAGUAAUCUGCAAACUGCACAACAGCAAUCUGAAUGAAGUACUAAAAGAGACAAAAGAAAAGGAAAAUUGCACACAAGAAAAUGUUGUUCACAUAAAAAGAUGACUACUUCUAAGAACCUCGGCUUCAAACAGUCUAAAACCACAUGCUGAUGGAACCUUAGACAUAAAGUUUUAAACUGCUAAAAUUCGAGCAUCUAUAUACAAUUUUUACUAGGCUGACUAGUAAGUUGUUCCAAAUUUACUUGAUGACAUGUCAAAGAGUUUUGUGUGUAAUUACUCCACCACUCUGAAGCAUAGCAUGUGAACACUUCCUGAGCUGAACUAUCAGGUAAAGUUGAAAAAAAAAAGGGGCACAAGAAAUGAAUAAUCCAAAGAAUAGCAAAAUACUCUUAUCAGAAAAAGAGGACGGCUAAAUGUGAUUUUUAAUUACCAGACGAUUGCAACAGAUAAAUGCGGGCUAAUGGGGGCAUUAAUUCAUUUAUUUUUAAAAUAUCAACUCCAAAGCGUAGGUAAGAGAUUGAAGGGGGAAUUAAACUUCCAUCUCCACUGCAUGAUCUAAAGCAAAAAAUUACAGCUUUAAUGAAGAUAACAAUGGUGCAGCACAGACAUAUAUUAAGGAAACACACCUGGUACCCAAGCAUAGAACAACAUCUGCCAUCCUACAGUUUUCCUCUGCUGGAUUCAUCUCUACUGGUGGCAAUGCAUCCUGAAAUAAAAGCAAUAAGACUAUCAGCAGCAUUAACUUUGUUAAGAUAACUAAAACAAUCUGAUUUGUCUUUGUAUCAAGUGACUAAAUAAUACACAAGAAGCAGCAAAGCAGAUGGCAAAGCAUGAAAUCAAGUAUUACAUUAACAGUGCAGUGUAGAAAAGCAGUAGAAAGUUACCUCCCAAUCAAGAACAGUGUCCUUAAGUCUUGACCCACAUUUAACGUCAGAACAACGGCGUGGUGUUUUCUUCAUACCAAUGGUUUCUAUCUCAAAAUCACGCAUAUACCUGUACAUGUCAAAUAAAAUUGAAUUUCUAUACCAACUGAAAUCCUAAAGAGAAAGUGAGACAGGGAGAAAGGUUCUUCCAAAUGAUUAAACCAAAAUACUGAAGCACAUUGUGAACAGGAAAAAUAAGUAAAAGUACUCUACUCCACAAGAUGGGCAAAUUUCUCGAAAAGAAUUGCCGUGCAACUCAGCAAGUUUCUCCCUUGGUAUUCCAGAACACAGAUGCAGGCUAUCGACAUUCUGAAAAUUGAAAAUGAAACAAAUAUCAAAAGCAUCAGAGCAUGAAGUGUCUAGACAUAUGGAAUGGUAGGUAAGAAAAAGUAACCAUCUCAGGCUAAUAUCUCUUGCAGGUUAAUGAUCAUAAGGUUCAAUUUGUGCCACAUAUCUAUGCGUUAACUUCAGUCAAUAGAAGACCUUUAAUUGAGAAGCCACAAAAUUAAACCAAUUACCAAAAACUUUAACUCAAGCUUUUCUAUCAGACUGUUAGAAACAAUUAAGUAGAGAUUUAAUCUAUAUCCUUCGGUCAGCACUAAUAUUUAGCCAUUGACCCAAAUGUCUAAGAAGUUUAUGUAAAAAGACACAAAGGAUUAAAAGAAAUAGUCAACAUGUAAGUUCAUAUUAAAAUUUUCAGAGUACAAUAAAAUGGAAAAUUGAACAAUAUAUUGAUGGGAAGAUGCAUGAAUCAAACCUGGCUUAUAACAAACUUUAAGAUGCCGGCUUUCUCAAGUUCAACCAAGGCCAUAUGGGUAAUACUUGGCAUUGCACGAUCAAAUGGUAGUGAUGCUUCAGGCACACCUUUGCCUUCACGCUGCAAUUCAACAUGUAACAGUCAUUGUAACUGCCAAAAUGCACCAUGUUUAUGUGUUUGUGUGUGUGCAACUGAAAGAAAAACCAACUACUAAAAAUAAAAAACAGUGAUUCUCACUUGAAGCGUCCAAACUCCUUUGGGACCUCUAAAAUCAGGAAUCCCACAAGAAGUUGAUAUCCCUGCACCUGUAAAUGCCACCAGAUGCUUACUCUGCAAGUGCAGGAAAAGAAAACUUAAAAAAGGCUUUGGUUAUUAAUCCUGCAAGUCAACAAUAUGAUAGGAUUCUUAAGGAGUUCCGCAGCUUCUUUAUCAUUACUGCAAGCUCUGCAAUCUACCAUUAAACAGAAAAAGAUACUGAUGUCAGCCAAAUCAUGUCAAAAUCUACAAUCUCCUGGUGCUCAAAAGAACUCCUCAUGCAAACAAAACAUUGGAAGCUUACGUGUUUUGUUUUGAACAAGACAAGCAACGAAACAAAAUUUUCAGAAAAUAGCCAGCGCACAUGGAAUUGUGAUCCAGAAGUUCCAUACAUCACAAAACACACACGCCUUCCUUCGCAAUCAAAAUAAAAUGACUUAGAAUCCUAAAUAUAAGACUCAAAAUUUUCAUUACCAAGAAAACCAUGUUGUAUGUUAAGGAUUACUUGCUAGAGAUUAUCUAGCUAGAGAUCAUCAAAGGUUUUCAUCACCCUUACUAGAAUUACUUGCUCCCCUGCUCCAUCCCUAACAUCUAAUAAUCUUGUAAAACAAGAAUUUCAAAGCACACACUUCUUUAAAACCCUAACUUCCUUUAUCAGAUAUCAACAGAUGCACUACCCAAUUUUUUUAUUAAUUUUUUUUAAAUAAAACCACUUCUUGCACCACAAUCAUCGCCAUAUAAUAAACAAACACAAAAAUGCAAACAAACCCACGAAUACAAAUCACACACAACCCAUUACAGCAUGCAUGCCACAUUCAAAUUUGAGCACAUUUUUACAUGAGUUUUAAAUUCAAGAAUUUCAAGAAACACAAGAAAGUACAAAACUUUAAAGCAAGAACAAAAAAUGAACAUGCAAAGAAGUAACAAGAAGUUUGAACGAAAAAAGAGUACACUUUUUGUUGUAACAGGUGAGGUGGGUCGAAAAUUUCGGACAUUCCAACACUGCCCACAUCUUCUCUGUAAGAAAGCUUCUCUGCAUAACCCAAAGACAUGUCUUUAAUUUUUUCUGAAACAAGCAAUUUUUGUUCUGCUGGGUUUGUUUUUCUCUGUGAGAUUCACUUGCUUUUGCUUUUGCUUUUGCUUUGCUUACAUGGCACCAGAGCUAUUAAGAAUGUGCUUUUGCGUUUUGAUUUCUUUAAAAGUUUGUUCAACAUUUUCAAGAACUAGACAACAAAGCAAUAAUCGCUUUCUAAUUCUUUACGAUGCGUUUGUGUUUCUGUUUGGCAUUUGCUAACUAUAAGAAGUUACGUAUUUACCCCUUCAUUUCCCGGGAAAAGUGCGACAACAGUGUAGCGGGGGGCGCGUGCCGUGUGUGCGAUUCGUGUUUCGUUUUGUUCCGUGUGAAAAGUGCCGAUUGCGCCCGGUACACCUUCAUACUUCAAAAAUUAUCUCAAUACCCUAAAAUUUAUUUUUGCCAAAAAUUUCAUCGAUACUCUUUAAAAAUUAAUAGGAAAUUACUAAGCUAUCCUCAUUUUAAAACAUUUCAACUCAACGGACAACGCCUCUCCCUUCUCUACUGAAGCAAACAAACACUCAUUUGCUGCAAUUCCCUCCAUUAUCAAACUCAAACAAACAAACACUGCAAUUCCCUCACCGGCAUCACCUCUACCGAAACAAACAUUCAUUCUCCAUACAUGAUAAAUCGAACUUCAACACGAGCAAACUAAGCCUGAGAAGGGGAAGCUGCCACAACUGAGAAAGUGAAGCAUAGUUCGUCACUACAUAAUCGCCGGAGAGAAUUGAUCAUUUACUGUAAAAUUGUCAGAAUAUAACUAGUUGAGACAAGUAAUUCCAUGUAAUUAGUUUUCUUGUUAAUAUUCAAGGGGAAAAAACAAAAAGUUAGGGUUUUAUAUUGAAAAAACAGAUUAAUUAGUUGUGGGUCUCUCAUAACAUGUUCGAAAACAAAUUUCUAGUUGUUUUGCUGCAUGCAAAUUGUGAAAAAUUAAUGGAUUGUGCUGAUUAUAAUUUUGUUAUGUAACACAAGAUUUGGUCGUGUAAGAUUAUGUAAGAUUCAAGGUUGUGUAUUACACGACCUUCAUGUAUUGCAUGAUUACACGACCUUCAUGUAUUGCACAAUUAUACGACCUUCAUGUAUUGCACAUUUACACGACCUUCAUGUAUUACAUGUUUAUACGACCUUCAUGUAUUAUACAAUUACACGAUCUUCUUGUAUUACACAAUUACACGACCUUCAAUUCCACAUUUUGUUUCUUGUCAAUAGAAUCUACACAUUACAUUUAGUUUAAUUAGGCUCACAAUAAAUUGGAAUGGUGCAUAUACCUUUACCUUGUGAAAUGUCAUUAGUUAGAGAGAUUCUUAAUUUCCAAUUAUAAGCCAUGGUAAGUCAUGAUAUGUCUAGUUAUGAGUGGAAAUAUUUUAUCACUGCGAAUGGUGUUCUUAUGUGUAUAACAUUACAUUAAUUUCCUAUAGUUGAUAUUUUUUUUUCUUAAUUGAUUUCAUGGAUUAAUUAUAUGCAGGCAUUCCUCAUGUAUGCUUGUAUGCUUGGCCAGAGGAAGAAAGCACUUUGAAGAUUAAAAAAAAAAAAAAUUAAAUGGCUGUAAUAUGUUUAAUUGUGACUUUAAAAUUACACGAAUUUUUCCAUUAAUCAUUAGAUUAAUUUAGUUCUUUAAAGACUUAAUUUGUGCUAAUAAUUUAUAUUUGCUGCUAGACACAAAAUGUCAACGAAAAUUAUUAAAAAAAAGAAGUGAAAUUAAAUUGGAAUCUAAAAAAAUUUCACAUCAUCAUUGGUUUGAAUUGUAACUGGUGGCAUAAGAUCAGAUGUCUUAAGUUUGAAUUUCAUUGUGAUUUCGAAUUCCGAAGUAUUUAUAUCAAUAACUUCAGCUAUCUUCUCCACCAAUUCGGCAUAUGUUGUCGAUCGUGGUAUCAUUAUCCCUUUAGCCUUUGAACCUUUGAACUUAUACUCGUCAUUUUGCUCAAUCCAAUAAUAUUAAAUUUCAUAUACAAGUAACUACACGACCUACAUGACCUACACGACUAUAUUACAUACACGACUUACACGACUAUAUUUCUUACAUGAUUUACACGACUAUAUUUCUUACAUGAUUUACACGACUAUAUUUCUUACAUGACCUACACGACUAUAUUUCUUACAUGACCUACACGACUUACACGACUAUAUUACUUACACAACCUACAUGACUAACUAUAUAACGUACACGGUAUCAAAAGAAUGCACGACUUGAAACAUUUUCGCCAUAAAUAAGUUAUAUUGCUGAAAAAAAUAAUUAAACAACCUACAUUGCAUAUAUUUCUAUGUAUAAGAAAAAAUGGUGAAAAUAAAACAUUGUAAUGUGAGGAAAAUUUCUAAAUUUUCCUAAAAAUUAAAAAAUUUAAAACCCAACAACAUUAACAUACCUUAUUGGGUUGUUUAAUAAGCAAUGCACCUUUAAAGAAAGAGUGGGUGUUAAAGAAAUGAAUACAUAAUUGUAUUUGUGUAAGAAAUUAUGAGAGAUUCUAAGAGAUUUUGAAAGAAUCGGCAGCAAAAAUAAAUUUGGGUGAAAGAAAUGAGGAAAGAAAUAUGAAGACAAUUCAUUGAGUGAAUUUGAUGCAUUCAUUAAGAGUAUUUCCGACUUUGCUCACAUUUGUUAGAGUAUCCAUGAAAACCAAAAAGGGAGGGUAUUUGAAUAAUUUUGAAACUAUUAAAGGGUAUUUAAUUAAAAACCCCGUGUGAAAAUAUCUUUUUCCAUUUUUUUCUUAUUAUCAUUUAUUGCGAUUUUAUUUCAUCAUUAAAAUGUUUUCCAAAGAUUGCAAGAGCAAUGCUUUUCAUUCAAAGUACAAUUCGUUACAAAAUCAAAUAAGUGAGGGCAACAAUGUUAGGUAUCCCAAGGGAAAUUCUAUAAUGUCGUCAUUAAAAGUCCGGUAUCAAUGUCAUGAUAAAGAUAAAUUUUAUAAAUUACAUAUAAUAUUAUUAAAUGAAAAUAAAAUAAAUGUUAUGAAUUACAUAUACUAUUAUUAAACGAAAAUAAAAUAAGUAAAUUAAUAUAAGAGUGGUAAAUUAGUGUUUUAAAAUUAUAAACAAAACAAACACUUAUAAAAAUAAUAUAAAAAAUAUAAAUUAGCAUUAAACUUUAAUAAGAAAAUAAUUUAUUAAUUUAAUUUAUUUGAGUAAAGUAAAAAAAAAUCAUCAAUUGAAUUGGAAACAAUUGGAAUAAGUUUUAUUAAAUUGGUUUAACCAUAAAUUCAAUAUUUAUACUAAGACAUUUAUAAACUUUUUUUUCUAUCAUAGUGUUUGUUUACUAUACAAGAUAAUUGAGCAAAAUUAUUUUUCUUGUGGAUCAAGUCAAAACAAAACAAAAAUACAUUCUUAUAUUACUAGACAUAUAUGAAAUAUCAAUAAAAUUAGAUCUAAUUUUUAGUUUUAUACAUAUUUUAUGUAGUUUUAAAUUUUACUUCUUACUUAUACUAAAAGAUGUUAGGAAAUUGAACUUCCUCCCAAGAUCACUCCAAGAAAUUUGUCAAGCAACAAAUUAAUAGAAAAAUUGAAUGAAGAAAAUACAAAUCACACAAUACAAAUUUACGUGGAAAACUUUAAAUCUGAAGAAAAAUCACGAUCGUUGUCAAAAGACAACUAGAGAAAAAUAUUCAUUAUGUGGAAAAUUUUUACAGUCACAUUCUCAUAAAUAAUUUUUUCUUACCUAAGCCUCAAAAAGAUGAUUCCUAGAAAUAUCCCUUAACAAAGCAAACACGUAAUACCCAUAUUGAAGAGUCAAAUACUCCUACAAUAUAUCUACAUGUUUAAGAGUAUUUUUCUCCUCUCAAUUUGAAUUACGUCUCUAGGAUCAUAAAAGCUUAUGAAAGGCUCUCCUAUUUAUAACCAAACCGAUAACACUGUUCAAAUCGCAUUACUGUUCAUGUCGCAUUAUUGUUCAAGCCGCAUGGUCAAACCGUGUUACUUUUCAUAGCGUGGUUAAAUUGUGUUACUGUUCAUCAACCUUUUUUCUUUUUUUUUAAUCAAUUUUCAAUAAUCUCUACGUUAAUUUUUUUAAAAAAAAAUCAUAAUUACUGCUAUAAAGCACUGUCUUCACCAACAAUCAUAAUUCUCAACAUAGAGAAUUACCAUACUCCACCACAAAAAGAGAAUAUCACUUAGAAUAAACAAUUUUAAGAUUUUUCUCGUCACCUGUCGAAACAUCCCGUUGAAAUUUAUGGUACAACUUCCAUAUUGGCUUUCUUGGAAGUCGUCAGCCAUCGACAUAAAUUCCACCACACAGCCUACAUCAAUGACAACCAUACCUUGUGUGCAAAUUUUGUAGGCCCCACUAACAGUAACAUGUUCUCUUUCAUGACAACUUGGAGAUCUACAUGCCAAAAUAACUAACCCAAUCUUUUAAAAAGAAACUCACCAUUUGCGAGAAUAUUAGUAUUUCCUUUACUGAUUCUAGAGCAAUUUGCCAAGCUCACUCCACCUUUUUAACAAUUUCCUUAAGGUGUCAAAUUUGUCCACACCUUCAAAUUUUACCAGAUUGGAUACACCUUUAACUUGAAUUUUCCACAAGCCAAAACAAAAUCAUUCUCCCAUUAAUUUUUCAACAACAUCAAACUCCACCAAGUUUGAAAAACAUCAACUGCUAACAUAUAUGCUUUACAAAUUAGUCUUUGCUCUUUACCACGGACUAUUUGGAUUGGCUCCACUGCUUCAUGUAAACAAUAUUGUAUAUAUGAACAAUAUUGUUCAUGCCGCGUGGUCAAACCGUGUUACUAUUCACCGCGUGGUAACUGUGUUAUUGUUCACUGCGUGGUCAAACAAUGUUACUGUUCACCGCGUGGUCAAACAAUGUUACUGUUCACCACGUGGUCAAACCGUGUUACUGUUCAUCGACUUUUUUUUCUUUUUUUAACUCAAUUUUCAACAAAAGAUCAUUUGGGGUUGUUGUUAAGUAGGUUUAGAAGAAUGCAAAAUCAAUUAUCUUACAAAUAAUUUUGAAAAAUAUAAAAAAAAAUUUCUAAAAUUUAAUUUUGAGAAUAAGUUUUAUCCUUAAUAAAAUUUCACAUAUAUUAUCACAUGUAGUACAUAAGACUGAAAUUAUUAUUAUUCAAUUUAGAAAUAAAAACAGUAAAUAUAUAAGGUAACAAUUAUUACAAUGAGUUUUUAUUUUAUAUUUGAAGUUUUUAUUUUUUUUUCAAUAACUCUUAGAAUAUUUACUUGUUUUAUAUUAUAUUUCAUUUACAAGUCUUCUAUUUCAUUUAUAUAAUUUAUAUGAUAUUUAUACUUAAUGUUGAUUUAUAAGCUAUAUGUUACAUCUAUAAAUUUAUGUUUUGUUUACCAAGAAUAUAUCAUUUUAUUAUUCUUAUGUUAAUUUACUUGUUUUACUUUCCAUUUACAGGUCUUAUGUUUUAUUUACUUAAUUUAUUUUUUAUUUUACACUUAUCGUUGAUUUACAAGUUUUAUGUUACAUUUGUAAUUUUAUGUUUUGUUUACCAAUUAUACAUCAUUCUACCACUCUUAUGCCAAUUUACUUAUUUUACAUUCUAUUUACACAUGUUAUGUUUUAUUUUAUAUUUUAUUUUACACUUAAUGUUGAUUUACAAGUUUUAUAUUAUAUUCAUAAGUUUUUGCUUUAUUUACCAAUAAUAUAUCAAUUUAUAACUCCUUAAUUUACUUAUUUUGCCUUAACUCCUAUGUUAAUUUAUUUAUUUUACCUUUUUUUUACAAGUCUUAUGUUCCAUUUAUUUUAUAUUUAUUGUUGAUUUACAAGUUUUAUAUUAUAUUUGUAGAUUUUUAUUUUAUUUACCAAUAAUAUAUCAAUUUACCACUCUGAUGUUGAUUUAGUUGUUUUACCUUUCAUUUACAAGUCUUAUGUUUUAUUUGUUUUAUCCUUAAUAAAAUUUCACAUAUAUUAUCACAUGUAGUACAUAAGACUGAAAUUAUUAUUAUUCAAUUUAGAAAUAAAAACAGUAAAUAUAUAAGGUAACAAUUAUUACAAUGAGUUUUUAUUUUAUAUUUGAAGUUUUUAUUUUUUUUUCAAUAACUCUUAGAAUAUUUACUUGUUUUAUAUUAUAUUUCAUUUACAAGUCUUCUAUUUCAUUUAUAUAAUUUAUAUGAUAUUUAUACUUAAUGUUGAUUUAUAAGCUAUAUGUUACAUCUAUAAAUUUAUGUUUUGUUUACCAAGAAUAUAUCAUUUUAUUAUUCUUAUGUUAAUUUACUUGUUUUACUUUCCAUUUACAGGUCUUAUGUUUUAUUUACUUAAUUUAUUUUUUAUUUUACACUUAUCGUUGAUUUACAAGUUUUAUGUUACAUUUGUAAUUUUAUGUUUUGUUUACCAAUUAUACAUCAUUCUACCACUCUUAUGCCAAUUUACUUAUUUUACAUUCUAUUUACACAUGUUAUGUUUUAUUUUAUAUUUUAUUUUACACUUAAUGUUGAUUUACAAGUUUUAUAUUAUAUUCAUAAGUUUUUGCUUUAUUUACCAAUAAUAUAUCAAUUUAUAACUCCUUAAUUUACUUAUUUUGCCUUAACUCCUAUGUUAAUUUAUUUAUUUUACCUUUUUUUUACAAGUCUUAUGUUCCAUUUAUUUUAUAUUUAUUGUUGAUUUACAAGUUUUAUAUUAUAUUUGUAGAUUUUUAUUUUAUUUACCAAUAAUAUAUCAAUUUACCACUCUGAUGUUGAUUUAGUUGUUUUACCUUUCAUUUACAAGUCUUAUGUUUUAUUUACUUAAUUUAUUUUUUAUUUUACACUUAAUAUUGAUUUAUAAGUUUUAUUUUAUAUUUAUCAAUUUACCACUCCUAUAUUAAUUUACUUAUUUUACCUUUCAUUUACAAUUCUUACGUUCUAUUUACAUAAUUUAUAUUUUGUUUUACACUUGAUGUUGAUUUACAAGUUUUAUGUUAAAUUUACAUGUCUUAUGUUUCAUUUUACACGAUUUAUGUUUAAUUACGGUAUUGAUGCCGUGAUUUUAAUUACGACAUUAUAGAAUUACCCCCAGUCUUAGUAUGAAUCUCAUCAUGUGAUAUUUAUUUACUAAAUUGUGGUUAAAUAAUUUUAUAAACUAUAAAAUCUAUCAUCUAACAGAUGAGUGACACAUAACAUUAGAACUUAAGUUAAAAACUUAAAUAUUGGGAUUUCUUACAUUAUUGCCUAUCUUCAACCUAAAAACUUCUUUUCUAUAAUGACUAAAACAUGCAAAAUUUAUAUUGGUUCAUUAAGAUAAUAAAAUUGUUUCAUAUGGAAAGCAAGCAUGGAUUUGUUUAUGCCAUACCCCUUUUUUGGUUAUUUAUUGUAUUUAUCUAAAUACACCCUCAUACUUUAAAAUUUCUCAUAAAUAACUUUUUUCAUGUGCAAUUACCUUACUACCCUCAUAAUAGGAUGCUCAUAUAUAUUCAAGAAAUGCUCAGCCCAAAUACACGAAUACAGCCGGGUAUUUUCAUAGAUACACAACUAAAAUAGAGUAUUUUCAUUGAUACAAGAUUACAGCCAGGUAUUUCUAACUACAUAGUGUCAAAUUAUUUUUUGUUAAGUGUAUUAUUUAAAGACAACAAGAUAGUUUUGUACAAUGUAUGUGAUAUUAGAGGAUGGUCAUACACACUCAAGGAAUGCUUAACCCAAAUAUAUGAAUAUAGUUGGGUAUUUUCAUAGAUACACGACUAUAGUCAGGUAUUUUCAUUGAUACAAGAUUACUGACGGGUUUUUCAAACUACAUAGUGUCAAAUUAUUUUUUGUUAAAUGUAUCAUUCAAAGACAACAAGAUAAUUUUGUAAAAUGUGCGAUAUAUAACAGGAUAGUCAUAUACAUUUGUAGAUACAUGACUACAGUCUGGUAUGUUUAUUGAUACAUGAUAACGGUUGAGUAUCUGUCUAAAUACACAACUACAGUAUGAGAUUUCAUAGAUACACGACUGUAGUCGAGUAUCUUUAAAAAAACACACAUUAUCCAUUACUGAAAUAUCAAUUAUUCAUCUCUUAAUAAAUGACUGUAGUCAAGCACAAUUAGAUAUACAAGACAAUAGUCUGGUAACUUUACAAAUACACGACUAUAGUUGAGUAUGUGGACAUACUACAAAAACCACCUAAAACAAUCAUUAUAAUGAUAACACUAAUCGUUUUCUUCUAGAAAAUAAUCUACAUCAUCAUCAGUCGUAAUUGGAACGAGCGACAUUGGAUUGAAUGUUUUAAGUUUGAACUUCAUUUCAAUGUCAAAUUCAUAAAUAUCAAUAGAAAUAGCCCGAGGUAUUAUUUCUAUCAAUUGUGCAUACGUUGUAGAACGGGGCACUAUGAUCUCUCUUGUCUCUGUACCAUUAAAUCUAUAAUGGCCGUUUUGCUCAAUCUAUUCACCACAAAACAUAAUAGGCACACGUACUGAAGUCAUUUCUUGCAAUAAUAUAACACAUGAUUAUACAACAAAUAAAAAAAAUAAAAUAGUGCAUAUAAUGAAUUAUGGAACCGUUUGCCCAAUUAAACAACUGUAGUCGUGUAAUUGCUCGUUUACAUGACAACAGUCAUGUAACUUGCUAAAAUUCACAAAUAUAGUUCUGUAAACAGUCAGAUGAUAUAUUUAGUAAAAAUAAUGUAUUCUUUACACUAACAGAAUACUAUUGUCAUAACAACUACUAUAUUUUUGACACUUGCACGACUGUUAUUGUGUAAAUUCGUACAUAUACGAAAAAAGUUGUGUAACUUGUAAAAAUACACAACUACAACCCAGUAAAUAGUCAGAAAACAUAUUUCUUCCCCAGAAGAUUUUUUUUAGUUUUUUCACUAAUACAAUACUAAGGUUUCAUAACAAUUGGAACAUUUUAUAUAUGUGCAUGAUUGUAGUGUGUAGUUCAUACGUACAUGACAAUAAUUGCAUAACUUAUCAAAAUAUAUCACUACAGUCCACUAAUAGUCAAAGGAUAUAUUUAGUGAAAAAAGCACUAAUAGAAUGCUAAGGUGUCAUAAUAGUUGGAACAUUUUGAACACUUGCACGACUAUAGUCGUGUAAAUUCAUACAUACACUACUGCAGUUGUGUAAUAUGAGUGUAGAAAAAAAUUUUGAGAAUAAAUUAGGGUUUUAACAAAUGUAGUUAGAAAAUUGAUCGCAUAACAUAUGCAAAUGUAACCUAAAUGUUUUUUUUUUAAUUUAUCACAAACUAAACAAAAUUCUAAAAAUAAUACAAUGUAAAGAAAAUAAAUAAAUCAUAUAAAAUAAAUAAAAAGGGAAAAGCAUGAGAAAAACAAAAACAACACCAAGAUUACGUUAAAAACUCGAAAAGCGGUGACGGUUAAAGAUUGUAGAAUAAUGAGUGAUAAUACAACCACAAACUAUUGUAUAAACUUAUCUUGUACAAACUGAUUAAGCAUUAAUUCAUUAGUUGAAUGAAAAUACAAAAUAAUAAAAAUAGAUUAUGUGGGCCAGUAGAUAUUUAAUUCAACCAAUUUUAUCAUACCACAUCAAUUUGUAUAAAAUAAAUUUGUAUGAGAGUUUGUGGUUAUAUUAUUACUCACAGAAUAAUUGUAUAUAUAUUGAUUGUAGAAUGUAGCCAAUCUGAUCAAAUGAUUGUUUUAGCAAACACAAAUGAAAUUGUAAAUGUUAAUUUACUUGGGAGUGAUGAAUAUUUGUAUGGGUGUGCUAAGUAAAUAAACGUUUAUAAUGAAUAAGUUCAGCUGAGGGUGUUUUUGGAAUUUUUAAGGGUAUACAGCAUAAAAUAGAAUCUAUAAAUUUAGUAGACGAACGUACAAAAUAAUAGUAUUCAAAAUGUUUUUUAAAGUAGAAAUAAUGUGAUACUUGAAACUUUCUUAGUUUUGUAGGCAUAAUAAAGAGAGUUUUAGACGACAAUAUCCCGAAGGGCAAGUGUGAUGAUGGUUUACGUUUACUGAUUUUCCAAACCUUAGCUAGGUAAUCAACUAUCAUACUUGAGUUAUUAUUCUUACCAAAACAGUCUCUUUUUUUUUUUUUCCUUUUUUUGGUUGCAACAAAAGCAAUACAAAUUUAAGUUGUGCCAUUUUGUAAAUUAACUUUAAUUUUACGCCAUUAAAGUCAAGAAAUUAGAAUUGAAUAGAUGGAACAUACACUGAUAUUACCUAAAGAAUUUCAUAUUACUAUUAAUUUUUUAUUUCAUCUUUUUGAAAAAUUAGGUAAUCAGUAAAACUCAAAAUUGAUACGAUUCUAGAGACUAGAUAAAGAAAGCAGUUUGAAAACCGUUAGACGAAAUCCUCGGGCCUCAUAUUACGUUAGAGUAGUGCUAGAAAGAGAGAAGUACAAUAAAAAGACGAGAAAAUUUUUUUUUUCUCUCUCUACCCACUCUCUCUCUUUACCCCUUUCUUCAUUGUUUCUCUCAUGUUUCUCUAAACAAAACAUUUUCCAUUACGUUAACAACACGGUGAUGUAAACAUUAUCUCUUCCAAGACAACGUACAUAAUGAUGCGUCAAAGAGCUCCCACGCGUCAUUUUAUUAUAAAAUGAAACAACGUGGAAACCAAUAAACACAAUGAAUAAAAAAAAGAGACUAAAAUAAAUAGAACAAUUAAAUUCAGGAAGAAGCUGCGAAUUAAAUUUUACUCGUUCCAUGCACGGACAGUCGGAAACCUCACGGCAAACACGCAGCAAUGAUCAAACAACUGACAGGAGCCUCUGUGGCGUUUCAUUGACCAGUCCCGUCUACGACGUUACUGCCCUCUCGUCACCUUAUAUAUUUCAGCAUGCAUUUGAACAUCUUUUCAUAUGUGCGUCAGAAUUGAGCGUAUUUGAUUUUAGUUCGCGCCUAGAAUUUUUCAGAACCAACAAGUUAAUUUAAAUAUACACUUUUGCCAGCUGAAGGCUAGCUCCUUGGCGUCUUAUAUAUUUUUUGCAGCCCCAUUUGAUUCCAUUAUCGACCAAUAGGUAUACAUAUAUAUACAUGCGAACAGAUUAGUGCGUCUUCCGAGUGUUGUCAAUUCUGGUUAUUAUUUUUAGUGGGUUUGCUCCUAACGCAAUUUGCAUUGUGGCUUGUGAUAUCAUUGGCCAUUUGCUUUAUUUGUUUCAAAGUUGAAUCAUUGAUAAACUUGACUUCAUGCUUCAUUACUCUUCGUUCAGGUCGCAGGCUAGAGUACAGAGGGUUCCAAUAUUAAUAGAUUGGAAACAUGUCCAGCGAUCCAAUUUCAACGAAUUUAAUAUCAGUUGAGGAGGAGCAGAACAUGAUGCCUGAAGAUGGCGUUCGGUGUCCAGAAUUACUCACUGCUGUUGGUGAUUUGCAUGGUGGGGUUACAGUAGAUAUGAAAAAGCCAAUGGAUUCUAAGGUCUUUUCUUCUAGGCUUAGAGCUUCAUUAUCGUUAUGGAGGCAGCAGGUACAUUGAUAUAUUUAAUUGCUAGCCAUUAAAUUUGUAAACUUUAUUCCUACGUACGAAUUAUUCCAAGGGGUAUGUUUUUUAACUAACUUGUGAGAAUAUUUACAUCUUGCAGGGGAAGAGGGGUGUUUGGAUUAAACUGCCUAUUGAACUUGCUAAUCUUGUUAAACCUGCAGUUCAGGUAAAUACAAAUAUAUAUAUACAAUACGUAAAUAUGGUUAUAUAUAUAUAUAUAUAGAGAGAGAGAGAGAAAUGUUCCAAUCCAGAAUUUUAAAAUGUGAGAUAAUCCGAGAAAGUUUUAAAACCGCAUGAUUUGAAGGCUUAAAACUGUAAGCCUUUAAAAUCGUGCAGUUUUAAAAUUUUCUCAGACUUUCCUACACUUUUCUGCACUUUAAAAUUCCGGAUCAGAAAAUUAAUAUAUAUAUAUAUAUUUGAUUUGAUCCAAGUCCUUAUUCUGAAUUUUGUUCAGGAAGGAUUUCGGUACCACCAUGCUGAACCAGAUUACUUGAUGCUUGUCUAUUGGAUCCCGGAAACUGCUGAUGUUCUUCCUGCUAAUGCUUCUCAUCGCGUUGGUGUUGGUGCUUUUGUCAUGAACAAUAAAAGAGAGGUAUUGCCUCUCAGCUUCUGUUGAUUUUCCACCUUAAUUUAUUAAUUUCACAUAAACCACGAGCACUGGCGCCCUUUAUAAAAGUCCGGUCAUGGUCAACAAAACUUGACUGGUUGACUUUUCCCUUUUUUCAUUUUUUUUUCAAUAUUUGAAUGCCGCUUAAGUUGAAUUGUUCUACUUUUGGUUGGCAGGUUCUGGUUGUGCAGGAGAACAAUGGAGCACUCAAAGGUACCGGCGUCUGGAAGCUUCCCACCGGGACCAUUGAGGAGGUAUACAGAUUCAGCGUGUUGUGCUUUAUAGAAUUAUAUGAAAAACAACAUAUGGAAUUUUGUGGGCCUAAUUGAAAGUUAAUGCUUGUCCUUUUCUCUUUUUUUUUUUUAAAUUUAAGUAUUCAGUUCAAUAUUUAUAUAUUAAAAAGCAUUUCAAAACACUUUUAUUAUCAAAUAUGUUACAACCAACAAGUGCGUAGAUCAGCUCGCAUGAGACUAUUUUAAUUUAACCAAGAUUUUCGGUUUGAGAUUUGGGAAUGCAGCUACAUUAAAUACUUAUUGAGCAAGUUUUAUUGCCUUAAUAAUUCUACCAUGCUCGAAUCUGGAUUAAUUAAGGCCCAAUGUAGUAUACCAAAAAAAAAAUUAAAUAUAUUAAACUUUUAUGUCUAUUUUUUCUUUCUUUUUAUAAUAAUAUCCUUAUAAUGAUAUUUUUGUCUUCUUGAGGAUAUUAAUGAAAAAAAAUGUGAAUACUUGUAUUAAAAAAAAAUCUCAAAACACUUUACUAUUAAAUUCUUACAAUUCUAUCCUUUUUUUUCUUUCCUUUUACAACAAUAUCCUUGAAACAAUAUUAUUACCUUCUUGAGAAUAUUAAUAAAAAAAGCUCAUUUAUCAAAUUAACUUUAAAAGUAAUAUUAAAAUUUUCGUAAUUUUUUAUGUUACUAUUCUACUUUUAGGAUUAAUUUUGUAAAUUAUUUUUUAUAAAACGACUAUUUGUAAACAUUACUUUAAUUUAUAAAAUAAAUUAUUAUUGCUUGACGUCUUCGCGUACAUAAGGGGCUUCCCAAAACAAAAUCAUUUUCAAAGUAUUUCGUACGCUUUAAUUAGAACAAAAACAUAUUUUCUUGCACUUAAUCUGAAUCGUAGGAUAGCUCAGUUUGUGAUUCCAAAUUAGCCAUGUAAAGUUUUUUGUAAAUAUAUAAUUAUUGACUAAUUUACUAAUUAAAUUUUUAUAAAUUAAUUAAUUAAUGUGAAAAACAUUAUUUAAAGGAUACUAUUGCAAAGGUAAAGAAAAAAUAGAAAAAAAAGAUAACAUAUUUAACUUCAAGAGUGUUUUGAAGUAUUAUUAAAAUAUAAGAAUUAAACGAAUAUUUAUCUGUCUAACUCAUACUUAAAAAGAUAUAUUAAAAAUUAAGUUUAAAGUUUAUUUUAUAUACAUGCAUAUACAUACAUCCAUACACAUACAUACAUGCAUGCAUGCAUGCAUACAUACAUAUAUAUAUAUAUAUAACAUCCGUUAAGUUUUAGGGUGAUUCUUGUCAUGUAGUGAAAUAAUGUGAUACUCGUUUCAGCAAAAAAAUGAUUCUAUCAAGUAUCAGGCAAAAAUAUAAGCCUGCACGUAACAAAGAUGAUAGAAAACAUAUCCCACGUCAAGUGAGAUGGAUUACUAUGCGGCCAAAUGAUUUUUUAAGAACAUUUAAUAAUCUGAAGUUUUACAAUCCACAGGGUGAGGACAUUUGUGCUGCUGCAGUGAGAGAAGUUAAGGAAGAGACUGGAGUAAGUGAAAAAUGUGCAAAUCCAUAGAGCACAAUCGAAUUAGUAUCAAGUCAUUUUAAUUCUAAUUCAAUUGCCUUUUUGUUGUUUCAGAUCGACACAGAAUUUGUUGAAGUUUUAGCCUUCAGGUAAGGAAACUUCGGCAGCUGCACUUGUCUCGGUUUUGGUUAUCAAAUUCUGUGGUCUUGACAGUGUUUGUGCUAUUUGCUUAAUGAAACAGGCAAAGCCACCGUUCAUUUUUCCGGAAAUCGGAUCUGUUUUUUGUUUGCAUGCUACGGCCACGCAACUUUGACAUUCAGAAGCAAGACUCAGAGAUUGCGGCUGCCCAGGUACUGAAUAUAAUUGCGGAAGGUGAUAUUUGUACUGGUUUUGUUAACUCAAUUAAUCGUCAUAUCAUAUAGCGUUGUUUUCAAAUUUUUCUUUUGCAGUGGAUGCCGGCUGAGGAUUACGCAGCACAACCUUACGUACUGAAACAUCAGAUGUUCAAUUAUAUUUGCCAGAUAUGCCUAACAAAGUCAGAAAAGGACUAUGCUGGUUUUUCUCCGAUGCCUGUAACCACAGGCUCCGGGAAAGAAAGCCACUUGUACUUCAACAGCCGGUAUUGUGAUCCGUCUAACGGCCACCAUUAGUCAUCUGCAGGAAGAUUCACCAGCAGAUUAUAGAACUCCAUUGCAGAUGCAUGUAUACUACAAAGCAGUUCUAACUGCAGAAUAAAAUAAUUUUAAAAGGGUGGGUGACUUUUUUUGUUUUGAAUUACAUGAGAAUAAUGCUCAGAUUACAACUUAUAUUAUAUGAGAUUUACAACUGAUAUUUACAAUCAGAUAAUUACUGGGCCUAAUUUACAUUAAUUCUUAUAUAGCACUGCCGAGAUUUUACUCUUUCUAAUAUUCGAGGGGUGUCUACUCCACUCACAUUUCGAAAGGUAGAAGAUUGUCUUUACUUAAUAAUUAAGGAAGGAAAUAAACCCCUACAUGCGUCGCGGGGGCUCGAACCGCUGCGCUCACAGUUAUAAGUACAGGGUCCUGGCCACUGGGCGAAAGGGUGGGUGACUUGGUUGCUCAUAAUUAUUCAUAAUAUUGUUUCAUGUUGAUGUAAUAACAAAAGGUUGUAUAAAUGGCCUUUAACUAUUCAAUUUGUAGCAGAGAUAAAUGCUUAUACAUACGUCUGGGGUUCAUGUGGUUGUGGUGAGAUUCGUGCUCUCAAAGGCAAAACAAAAUAACAAAUAAUUAAUCCUUGGCAACGCAUGAUGAUGUAAGGCGCAGGGAGGCAUCAUGCCUUGUAGUUGGAGAAUGAGACAAAUUUUUUUGGGUGUAUUUGGUAUCUAAAUAUUACAUUAAAUGGUUAAUUUAGAUUCGAAUCGGGUAAGACUAUUAAAACAAUAAAACUCUUUUAAUAAAUAUUUAAUAUAACUCCAUUUUUAAGUUUCGAACCAAAAAUCUUAGUGAAAUUAUUCCAGUUAAUCUACCAACUUGUUUGUAAAUAACACUAAUUUUAAUAAACUACAAACAGGCACAUCCGGGGCAGGUGGUGGUCAGUGAAAAGAAGAAAUAAGGAAAACAUUUUAAAAUUGUUUUGAUGAAGCAAUUGGGUUAUUAGCUUCCAAUAGAACUUUUGACAGCGACUUGGGCUCAUUCCAUGCCACGACACAAGAGAAUCUAAAUUAUAUUUACUUAAAACACCGUGAUAAUGGCUAAUUUUGCAGCAUAAGUUGACCAACACUUCCUGGAAUAUUGUUACAAGUUGAGGUGCAUCCAUGUAGUUUAGACAUAGGACUUUUUGUAAGCGGGUUCAUGUGCUGUGCAUUACCCAGAUAUGCCUAACCUCGGGGGGGAAGUUACGAUAUUAGCCUCAGUUAAAAUAUUUUAGAUAUAAAUACAAGUGGUUGCAAGUUGGAACCCAGAGCCAGAAGAAAGAAAUCAGGCUGCAGAGUGGAGACUGGAGAGUAACUCUUGGGUCUUGGCCAUUCUCCCCUAUCCUUAUCCCAAGUCAUAAAUGGCUUCUGCCAAAGGCACAUGGAUCAAGGUUUGCUUUUAUUACUCUUUCCAUAUUCUGCUCUGAUAUUAUUUUCUGCAGACCCAACCGAAUUAUCUAUAAUUGGUUGGUUGUCUAUUUUGAUUAUCGUUCAACUGCCGCUGCUGGAUAAUUAUUACAGGUAGUGGGUUUGGUUUUCUUCAUUCCGUUUAGGGAAUGCUUGUAAAUUUCUUGGAAGCCUGCCUAUCUAAAAGUCAUCAAGAGUUAAUGGAGAGUCAAUUCUUAAUUCAUUUACAGAUCAUUUUGAUUUCUUCAAAAUGGAAAAUGACAAAAUUAUUUGGUUUGCUGACACGCGAUCGAGAAUGGUUUUUAUUAUCCCAAAUUGACUACAAAUCAGUCAAUUUUGUACAUGUAGUUGUUCAAUAUUAGCAUUUUUGGUUGUGAUCUUCGUUUUUCAGCUUGACCAAAAGGGUUCCGGGCCUGGAGCCAGAAGCUCGCAUGCAAUUACCAUAGUAGGACAAAAGGUCUAUGCUUUCGGGGGCGAGUUCACACCACGUGUCCCGGUUGACAACAACCUCCAUGUCUUCGACCUCGAAACCCUAACAUGGUCUGUGGCCGAUGUUACUGGGGACGUCCCUCCGCCACGCGUCGGUGUCACAAUGGCUGCGGUUGGACAUACCAUCUAUAUGUUUGGUGGUCGGGAUGGUACACACAAGGAGCUCAAUGAGCUGUACUCUUUUGACACGCGUACAAACCAGUGGACCCUAUUAUCUAACGGUGAUGCUGGCCCCCCUCAUAGGAGCUACCACUCAACGGCCGCUGAUGAUCGACACGUGUACAUCUUCGGCGGUUGUGGUGUUUCAGGCCGGCUUAAUGAUCUAUGGGGUUUUGAUGUUGUUGAUAGAAAAUGGAUCCAAUAUCCAUCGGCAGGGGAGAACUGCAAGGGUAGAGGUGGGCCCGGGUUGAUAGUGACCCAGGGGAAGAUAUGGGUUGUGUAUGGUUUUGCUGGAGUGGAAGUGGAUGAUGUGCAUUGCUUUGAUCCAGCCCAUGCACAAUGGGCCCAGGUAGAGACGAGCGGCGAAAAACCAACAGCUCGGAGCGUAUUUUCUACUGUUGGGAUCGGAAAACACAUAGUCGUCUACGGCGGAGAAGUAGACCCCAGUGACUUGGGCCACCUUGGGGCCGGAAAAUUCGCCGGUGAACUUUACUCAUUGGACACUGAGACAUUGGUGUGGACACGGUGGGAUGAUGGGCCCGGCUCAGAUCAUCAUCCCGGGCCUCGCGGAUGGUGUGCAUUUGCUGGUGGGCUUAGGGGUGGAAAACAUGGACUACUGGUAUACGGUGGCAAUUCUCCAAGUAAUGAUAGGCUUGAUGACAUUUACUUCUUUACUCCUUGCUUGGAUGGGAUUGAAGAUUAAUCAUUUUGAUAAUGAUGGUGAUGUAAUUAUGGCAAUAUGCGUAUGAGAGAAAUCGUGGAGUGUGUGUGUUUGUGUAGAGCAAGUCCUUGAGCGGUGAAUAAAUAAAUAUUAAGGCAGAUAAGAACUGAGAAGUUAUAAUGUUACAUGCAAUCAUGAUGGGUGUGUGUAAUAUAUGUAGCUGUUUACUACUUCUUUCUCAACGAAGUGAUAUCAGUUGUGUGAAUUCUCCCAAGACCUUGAUGGAAAACGUUUGAAUAGAUCAACCGAUGUAGCUAAACUUGACAAUUAAUGUACAUUUACAAUGAUUCCACUAGUGAAUUUAGAAACUUAGUUCAUUGUUAGUAAAAAAUUAAUAAUUUAUGAAAUUGACCGUUAUAUCUAAAUUUCUUUGUACUCAAAACAAUAUUUUCUAAAAGAUAGAGAAACUUUUUUGUUAAGCGGGGUCAAUUGCCCACACUACCUUCCAUGUAAAUCUAUACUUGAAUCUGGGUGCUUUAAAAUUAUUGAGUAUAUUAGAAUAUUAUUAGGCAAUGAUAUCUAGUCUCAUAUUCAUAUAUAUAUAUAUUUUGGUACAUAGGGAGCUCCCAAAGAGGGUUAAGACGUUACUGGACGGGGAAUAGACAACCCCAUACGUAUCAUUCCGGACAAAAGGAUUAAUAAAGGCUGGUGGGGAGCUAAAAAUAUGGAGGCCCUCGUAUUCACAUUUUAAACACAAAGAUAUUAGACAAGAACACUCCAGAUACACAUAUAAUAGAGUGAAAUUACUAAUGGUACCUCUAAUUAAGAUACUGCAAGUGAUUAUACAGCGUCUAGGUAGAUAUCUACUCUUCUGAACAAAGCCUGAUAAAUGUUGUGAAUUCUCUCCGGAAUUGAUCUAAUUAAGUACAAGCCGGGCUAUUGUAAAUUUGUGAUAAGUUGUGUGCAUGGCUACUGUUUCCUUGAUCACCUCCAUUGCGUGCCCAGUACUUGUCCAAUGACUAGUUGACAUUGUUUGUUAUGAAAAGUUACUAAGCUGCUAAAGAAUGGUUGGUCGAAUUAAUUAGGAAAAUUUACAUAAAUAGCCUAAAAUUUUUAAAAUUUUUCAAAAUCAGCCAAUUUAAUUUUUUAUAUUAUGACUAGGAAAUUAUAUUUUUUUAAAACAUAUUUACCGUUAUUACUCUCAACAAAAUACCAUACAAGUACCACUAAGUAUCAAAAACCCCACCACUCUCAACAAAUUAACGAAUUCAUGAAACAAUAUGGGCGAUAUUUUAAAUGUUGCUUUCUAAUAAUGUGGGUUCAACAAAGUACCAUACGAGUACCACUUUUAGAACAAUCAAAUUUCUAGUAAAAAUGAAGGAGGGGAUGGGAAAAAAAAUAUUCGAUAAACACUAAUAACAAGAACAACAACCAACAACAACAAUAUUGGAUGCUUGCCGCAAGUGGGUCCCAUUGAAAUACCAACAUAAAACAAUAUAAAAUAACGUAAGUACAUGCAUUGGUGCAUAACCUUAAUUAAUACAAACCUUAGUCAUUUCACGUAAAGUGAUAUGUAUUAAAGAAAGCACAAACAAAUACAAGAACGAGCACAACAGAGCUUCACGUAAGAUAAGAACAGAAAGCAAUAAACGUACGAAACAUUUAUUUUAUUUUUUUGGAAAUAACAUAAUUCAUUUCUUUAUCAAGUAAAUGAAGAGAACUGUGUAAGCUCCUAGCCCCAUUUCCAAAUGUGCACUUAUCUUGAUUGUAAAUCGAUGGAACAAAUCAUCCAUGAUUGCACUUCCAAAAUGAUUGGCCAGAAGGGACUCUGAGACUGCUCUUAUAUUAUCUGCCACGUUCUUGGCUCUUGCGUGCUCGUUUAACUCCAAGCCUUUGUUAUUGUUCUCAUAGCCUACUGACCAACUUAUAUGCGACGUUUCAAGCUGAUGGAUGUUAAAGGAUCCUUCUCUUUCAAUUACUUGUCUUACUUCUUCAACACAAGGGUUAUACAUCGGAAAAUGAAAUGGCUCCAAUUUUGAUACUUCAAUCAAACCCUAAAUAAGUUCAAAAGAAAGAGUAAAUCUCUUUAAAAUAUAUAUAAUUUUUUCACACACAUACAAAUGUCUGAGCUAGAGAUGUGAAACAUAAUGAUUGAUUUUUACAAGUGCAUAUCAUAAUUACUUUGUUACAAUAUAACAUCUUUAGUGAGAAUUCACCUAAUAAUUUUCAUGUAAGAGAAUAUAUAUAUAUAUAUAUAAUAUAGUGGUAUGUUUGUGUUCAAAAAGGGGAGAGAGAAGAUACCUCAUAGACCAUGUCAUUUAACACCAUUCCCAUCAACUCGAAAACACCAGUAUGGUAUUUAUCAUUACCUAUAAAGUUAAGAACCAUACGGCCUUCAGUUUUUAACUCUUCCGAUCGAAAUUUGAGAAAUGAUGUGAAAUCAAUCUCAAAUUGAUCCAAGUAUGCUUUAUGCACACUGAAAGGGCUACAGGUUUUUGCUACGCAGACAUCCCUUUUAUUUAAUAAAGGAAUUCCACAUUCACUUACUAGCUCUUUGGGCAUCUGUUAAAACAUAAAAUUGACGUAUUAUAAGAAUAUGAUUUUGUACACUAUUUUUUUAAAUUUUUAAUUUUUUUAUUAUCUUUAAAAGAAUAAAUGGGACGGGUUCGUUUACCCGAGAGAGCCAGUGAAGACAGAAAGAAGAGUAGACCAAGUUUAGGAAACACGGAGGAAAUAGCCUUCCAUGGAAAGAUCCAGGGGCUGCAGCAAUGAAACAUGAACCAAAAUCGUCAUGGCCCCUCUCUGUCUUCAAUCUCUCAUAAAAGCUUGGAAGAGAUUUGGAAACGGUAUUGAAAUCAUUUCCAGGAAGAUCAUUGAGAAAAGCAUGCAGUAUUGGUGGCUUAUGUUUCAAGCGGCUGCAAAUAGUGUCCAGUGCCUCUAUAACUUGCAAUGUUGGCAAAAAUGCAUUAGGCCCUGAAGAACACCCCAUAUCUGUAAAUCUGAUGCAAUCUGGGAAGCCAUUGCAAUACAAAUCAAACAAGCUUUCAUGCAGUAGGGGCUUUGUUUUCAAGGUUGCCUCCCUCUGAACAAAAGAAUGGAAAAGAUAAGAAAAUUUAUAAACAGAAGAAAUUAAAGUGUGAACAUCAAGAAAGAGGGAAAGUGAGAUUGAAGUUUAUAAAGUGACCGAUGGCGCUGAGUUGUUUGCAUAGCUGUUAUCUCCUUCUCCUCCAUUCAUGAACAGAACUUGUUCUACUUGCAUGGCUCCAUUUUUGCUAGAACCUUGCCCUAAUUCCAUGCUUCUCAUCUGAGUGAAUGAUCUUCGUCGUGUCCCUUGCUCUAGUUCUAAGCCACUUACGGUUUAUAUACAGAAAUCAAUGGAAUUUAAUGGGACUCUCAUCUAAAUUUUUCCCUCGAAAAAUAAUUAGUUUCAGUUUCACUCGUAACCGGCUACCCCUCAUGUACUAGAUGACAAAAUAAGAAUAGCAUUAUUGUGCUUAAUUUUUAGAAGGAAAAGUGUUAAUGUUUUACCAUCCUUUGAGGAUGUUUGCUUUGAAAAAAAAAAGGAAACGAAAGAAAAGAAAAGAAAAUUGUACCAUCCAUAAAAUUAUUUUAAUAUCCUCUUCAAACCAAAAGUUAAGAUUGGGCUAUUUUUAAAAACCUCACCUGAGGUUUGAUAUAAUUUCAGUUAGAUGGUGAAAUUGAUUGUAUUUUCACUUACCUCCCCUCCCGUUAGUAUACAUACGCGUAUAACAUUAGUAUUUGAGGGCAAAAAUGUAAAAAACAUGCUAAAAAUCUAAAAAAAUCAAGUAACAAUAAAAAAAUGGUUUGAAAUUCAUUGGAUAAUUGUAUUAUUCGAUUACACACAAUAUCUAUUGUGUAAAAGAGUUAAUUUCUCUUUCUCCAGCAUAAAAAAGCAAUGGAGAUUUCUUUCUCUCACAUUAACAAUCAAAGCAUUUUUCACUCGACUCCCCUAUUCUCAGUUGCUGGAAUAAAAAGAAAUAAACACAAAGAGCAUAUAUAACCCAUGAAGAAGACAAACAUGGUGGUCAGAGAAGGCGACCGACCGGUGACGAUCGACAGCGGUCGGGAUAUGCCACUGGUAUUGAAGUUUGUAAGAGGUUAAUUACUUUAUCAAAGUCUAAAAUUUUUAAAUACCUUUGAUUUUCUUGUUUUUGGAGAUUUUAUAAGUGGUUGUUGGUUGUGUUUGAUUUGUCUUGUUUAUGGGUUGGGUGGUUGUUGGUUGUGUUUGAUUAGAUUUUAUAAGUGGUUGUUGGUUGUGUUUGAUUUGUCUUGUUUAUGGGUUGGUGGUGAAAAAAUUGAUUAAAAGGAGAAUGGGUUCAGACAUAUGUGGCCAUAAGUUGAAAAAAAUUGUUAUUAGUUUUUUUUAUGUUUGUGAUUUACACCAUACAUAGUGUAAUAAAGUAUAUAAAGCCAAUAAUUUGUUAUUAUUAUGCAAAUGAGUAUGCAAAACAGAAGUAGUCUUAGUUGUAAUUUUUAUUUUUCUGACCAAAGUUUGCUCAAGUUGAUAUGUUUAUGAAUUUGCAUUGUUUUUGUAUGUCUAUCGCACAAAUACAGUUCCUGCGAUUUUAAGCGACAGGGCCUGUCCCCCAUGCGACAGACUCACGUUGCACGAACACAGUUUUUGUGUUUUUGGACGACAACGUUGUCGCCCGUGCGACGGCUUAGGUUGCCCGAAUUCAGCUUCUGUGUUUUUGGGCGACAUGAUAGUAUUAUGGUGCAACAAGCAUGUCACACUAAAAACACAAUUUGUGUUUAAUAUUAAUUCAAAAUAAAAAUAGUACACACACACACACAUAUAUUAUCAUCACAAUUAUUAUUAAUAUCUUUAUUAAAAUGUAUUACUAUUAUCAUUAUUUUUCUUUAUUAUUGUAAUUGUUGUUGUUGUUUAGUAAUGUUAUUAUUAUUAUUAUUUUUAAUUAUUACUUUGCUUUCACUUAUUAACGUGUGCAUAUUUACAUAUGAUAGGAGCGAAAGGCCAGUUGUUCCACUGGAACCUGCAGCAAAAAUGGACUAGUUUGACUUAGCAAACGAGAAUGAGUUUGCUCUCCUUGAUUUGAAUUAUGAGGUUCACAUUGAGCAAGUGACGGCAAUAGAAGAUUCUCUUGAGAGGAUGCCGGCAAAUUAAGAAGUCGUAUCAUCUUUUUGUACUCAGUCAUUGAUACAAGAUUAAGUUUUUGUAUAUUUUGUAUAAAUGUGAUACUAACAAACUCACAUUAUAGUGACAAUGACAUGUAUAAAGUAUAACUCAGCUAUCAUAGCACACUGUUAGUGUAGUUGUUAUUUUUGUUAUUUUUGUGUAUAUGGGUGGUUACCGGAUGUAUAGGCUGAUGAAAUUCAGUCAAUUUGUGACUGUCACCAAUUGUAAGCUGCGGAAAUGCACAUGUGACUAUAAUUUAAAUUAUGGUGCCAUUUUACUUAGUGUUAUUUUCCAAUUCAAUUAACUCCUACUAAUGUUUUUUUUUCCUCUCGGUACAAAUUUAAAUGUUUGUUAUUUGUUAUUUGUGUUGCUGGUUUGAUGACAUAUAACUUGAUGGUUUGGAAUUUACUUAUUUCUUUAAACAAGUAAAAUAUUAGUGGUUUGGUGGUGAUGGAAUCCCUUAACAUAUUUUGGAGACUGGUAUAGUCUAUUGCUGAGAGAAGUAAAUUAUUUUUUAGUGAUUUUUGAUUUCACGUGUUAGUUAAACAAAUUUUCUGUAAUUUGGGGAGACAUGUACCUGUACCCCGAGAGACGGUGCCUGUCACUCUAAAUCACAAGCACUUGUUGCGAUAGGCCCUGUCGCGCAUGCAAUUUUCCAUAAAUGUAAAAUACCCUCUUAAGCUAGUUGUUGUAAACUUUUCAUGCUAGAUAAUGAGCUUACAAAAUAGGACUUCGCAUGAAUGCACCAUCAACACCUUAAUCUACCUAAAAUGAGACAAACAAACCCCAAGAGGCAUUUUGUCGAGCACCUCAUGUGCCAUUUAUUAACUACCAAUUUCAGUAAACCAUUUUUAAUAUUUACACACCAAUCAAUCCUAAUGCUCAUCUAUAAUCAUUUAUAUACCCAUUUGUCAUCAAUCAAUCUUAGGAAAACGAAAAACAAAAAGAAUUUACAAUAUAAGGCUUGCCAAAAUUACCGAAAAUUAACUUGAUAUAUUGCGGCCAAAAUGGCAGAAGUAGAGCCACGUGCUGCCGGAGAUCAACUUGCUGUCAAACGCAUGUCCAACUGCCGUCCCCUGUUGCCGGAAAACUUAAGACCUAGGUUUAAUUUGGAGAGAAGAGAAGGUAUAUAUUUGGCAAGCUAUUUUCGUCGUACCCUUACUUUGUUGGCGCCAAAAUUUUUGGUUGAAUAAUUAGUUUGGAUAUUUCAGUCAUUUCUCAAGUCAACUAACAGUCAAGUUGUAUGUAUACUAACGACAAGGGAGGUAAGUGAGAAUACAAUCAAUCUCACCAUCUAAUUGAAAUUAUAUCAAAUCUCAGGGGAGGUUUCAAAAAAUAACCCGGAUGAGAUUAUAAUUUUAUUUUUGAAUAAAAUUACACUAAGAGAAAAAUUAAAAAAUCUAUUUAGAAUUCCACUCUUCAAAGUUAUUAUUUUAUCCCCUUAUUUUUCAUCAAUGAAGUUCGCGAUCACAUCACACGACAGUGACAUUUAGCCAGAUGAGGCCGGGAGGCUUUUGAUUUGAAAGAAAUAAUAUCCAGUAGGCACUAACAAUUAUUAAUUAGAUUAGGAUCCACUUCUUCUCCUACUAAUUACUCAAACUAAGAAAAAGUGGAAGGCUUCCCAUCUCAAAUCUGAGUGUGUGCAUGCCUAUAUGAAGAUAAUUAAUUAAAAACAUAUUAAAAGUUCUUAAACAAAACAGUGGCCUUUUAAUUUGUACUUUUUCUUAGUGCUAACCUUGGCUGGAUCACUAAAUUUCACCGGUCGCACAGCAAAUGACAUUUUCAAUGGUUUCACAAUAUAACAUAAGUUCCUAACACAUCAACAGUUGUGGUUGGCAAAUGCAUUUUCUUAGAUAGUUUAAUUAACACGUCUCAAUAUCUGUUAUGUUUGAUUGAGACUUUGAGACUUCGCUGCCAACACUCUAACAAUAAAUGGUUUUGGAAUCGGUGCUUGAUAUAUUUGGGAUUGGAUAUCGACGUAAUAUUAGGUAUGAAAAAGCGUACUUCCACCCGGCCCUUAAUUACCUAAUAUAAUGAGCCCUUACGGGGAUUUUUGCUAUGCCCAUUCUUAUAUAGGUAGAUUGUUAAUUUCCAGUUAACAAUUUUGGUUACAAAUUAUAAUCAAACACGUAUGAUGAAAAUGGCCACAGCCCACCCACAUGUUCAGUCUCUGUUUUUGCAAAAAUAGUUGUUCAUAUGCCAUUGACAGGCGUUGUCUUUACUUUCACUGCGAGCGCGAGAGAUAUUUUGCUUCAUCAAAUUCAAUAGCCCUUCAAUACGCCGAAUUUAAAUUAGUCGAGUCUCAAUAUAGUUUUUCAAUACCAAAUUAUAUAGAGUUGGACCAUUGGCACCCCUCUAAUCUCUUCAUAAGAUUCUAUUUUUAAUUAUUUUUAUUUUAUUUUCGAAAAUGCCCCUUUUUUAGAUACACUUUUUUAAGUUUUCAAUUUUCAUUUGAUUUGUUUUAUUGUUAAAACUCAAAGUAUUAUUGUGCUAUCUUUUUCAUUAUUUUCAAUUUUAUUAUUACCCUACACACAAAUUAAAAAGUUAUAUGGGUGAUAAGUUUUUUAGUGUUAAUCAUUGGUUGAAAUAAUACCAAUUUCAAAUUAUAAUAUCAAAGCAAUUUUAAGUAUAAAAAUAUUUAAUAAAUAAGGAAUCAAAAGAGAACAAUAGAUUAUCCUAAAUUUGUACAAUUUAUUUUCAUUAAAUAGGAAGUAACAUAUAUAUAUUUUUUUAAAGGAUUGAUUAUGAAUUAAGUAGUUUGCUGGAAAAAAAAAUUAUAUGUGUUUAAUUUUCAGUUAUCUUUAGUUGUAAUUUUAUUUAAAGGGGAUUUUAUAAGAAUAAUGCAGGGGUGCCAAUAGCUCGGCUCAAUUAUUUAAUACAUUGAAAAAUUCAAUAGCCCUUCCCUUUUACUUCGACAUUGGAAUUUUCUUGGCCUUCGUGGGCUGUUGAAUUUGACUCUGUUAUUUAAUAUGGGAUUUGCUGAUUUUCUUUUGGUCUUUCUGAUUAUAGGCCUCCUUUGGCCUCGUUGAUUCUGGUCUAACAUCAAUUGAGUUACCCAAUUUUGGUAUAAAAGGUACACGCUCUGAGAAAAGAGUUUUAUCAACUACUAAAAAAUAAUUUUACUUGGUCCCACCCGUUAUCAAUGGGAUCAGGGAUACUUUCAGCAAGAAAUAUAUCGAAGAGUCAGUGCUGGACUGACUCAUGCUCCUUUAGGUUAUUUAAAUUCUGUGGGUGGAGUAGCUACCGAGAUCAAUGCAGUUAAUUAUGUCUCUCCGAGAACUUGGUUAGAAGUUAUUAAAUCCAUCACUCAAUAAAUUACUGACACAAAAUGUAGAGAUUCUUAUUGGGAUGUAUGCCAUUAUUGCUCGAUUAUAUUCAUACUAUAUAUAUAUAGUACGAAUAUAGACCAGAAUUCUGAACUUCACCAAUGUCCAAUAAACUAUUAAGAUAUAUAGUUUAAUACAUUGAAGUACAUGGUAAGUAAAAAGACAAAAAUUAUAGAUUCAAUACUUGAAAUAAUACCAAUUUCAAAUUAUAAUAUCAAAGCAAUUUUAAGUAUAAAAAUAUUUAAUAAAUAAGGAAUCAAAAGAGAACAAUAGAUUAUCCUAAAUUUGUACAAUUUAUUUUCAUUAAAUAGGAAGUAACAUAUAUAUAUUUUUUUAAAGGAUUGAUUAUGAAUUAAGUAGUUUGCUGGAAAAAAAAAUUAUAUGUGUUUAAUUUUCAGUUAUCUUUAGUUGUAAUUUUAUUUAAAGGGGAUUUUAUAAGAAUAAUGCAGGGGUGCCAAUAGCUCGGCUCAAUUAUUUAAUACAUUGAAAAAUUCAAUAGCCCUUCCCUUUUACUUCGACAUUGGAAUUUUCUUGGCCUUCGUGGGCUGUUGAAUUUGACUCUGUUAUUUAAUAUGGGAUUUGCUGAUUUUCUUUUGGUCUUUCUGAUUAUAGGCCUCCUUUGGCCUCGUUGAUUCUGGUCUAACAUCAAUUGAGUUACCCAAUUUUGGUAUAAAAGGUACACGCUCUGAGAAAAGAGUUUUAUCAACUACUAAAAAAUAAUUUUACUUGGUCCCACCCGUUAUCAAUGGGAUCAGGGAUACUUUCAGCAAGAAAUAUAUCGAAGAGUCAGUGCUGGACUGACUCAUGGUAGCUACCGAGAUCAAUGCAGUCCUUUAGGUUAUUUAAAUUCUGUGGGUGGAGUAGCUACCGAGAUCAAUGCAGUUAAUUAUGUCUCUCCGAGAACUUGGUUAGAAGUUAUUAAAUCCAUCACUCAAUAAAUUACUGACACAAAAUGUAGAGAUUCUUAUUGGGAUGUAUGCCAUUAUUGCUCGAUUAUAUUCAUACUAUAUAUAUAUAGUACGAAUAUAGACCAGAAUUCUGAACUUCACCAAUGUCCAAUAAACUAUUAAGAUAUAUAGUUUAAUACAUUGAAGUACAUGGUAAGUAAAAAGACAAAAAUUAUAGAUUCAAUACAAUAUAAUUUGUCUUGUAAUUUACUGAAAUCUGAAUUUUUUGUCUUUUACCCUGUCCGUUAUUUUAAAGUAAGGGAUUCCAUUAUUAGAAGGGAACUAUAUAUUUAUAUAUAUUAAUGAAGAUGAGAAGUUAUGCGCGGGUGCUCUCAAUAAUAUUGAGGGUAUUAAUUCAAGUUCUCAUGGAUCCUCUUUUCCCUUUCCACAAUUAAAAAAACAGGAAAUAUGCAUGGUAGUUUUACAUGCAAGGUUAUUAGUGAAAGAAAUAAAUUUUUUAUCCAGUCCCAACAAAUUUUUAAAUUUUAUUAUAAAUGAAUGCAUAGAAAGUUUCAAUAAAUAUAAGUCUUGAGAGUAAUAUAUAUGUGUAGGUUGUAAUCAUUAAAAAUAAAUAUAAGCUAUUAACUUUAGUUUUAAUUUGGUCUAUCAAGUGCAUUGUUGAAUUUAAUUAUAAAUGGCACUGAGAACAAAUUUUCACGAUGAACUGAAUAAAAUCUUCUCCAAAGGACCAAGGCUAUCAAAGAAAUGAUAGGUUAAUUUCUUCUAUAUAUUAUAAAUUAAAAUGGAAAAAACUAAAACAUUAAGUGGGAAUAAGUAAUUGUCAAAAAAUUUUAAGGGUGGGGAUAUUUCCGCUCCAAUAUUUUUGUAUAUCCAUCCCACUUCUAGAAAAUAAUUGCAGUGAAUUCACAACAUUCUCAAAAAAUAUAAAUCAAUAAAAGUUUUGUUUAUUUAAUCAAGUCCUUCCAUUAACUUUUUUAUUAGGUUUCUUUGACCAUAUUUAAUCAUAAACUUUAAUAUAAGUUUUAUUUUACUAUUUUAUUAUUAUGAUAUAAAAUAAUCAAAUUGUCCCAAAAAACAAGAGUUACUGUAUCUAAUAAUUUAGGUAUUUAAUUUUGUGACUUAUAAUACAUUUUUUUAAAUGAAAUCUAAUUAUUAUUUUCACCACACUUCCAUGUAAAUGACAUAUAUUUGACUGUCCAAUAAUUUACAUGAGUAUUGUGCCAUAAAGACACCAAGUUAGUUUAAUUAAAAUUUAAUAAUCAUACUAAUAAAGUAGUAAUAGAAAAAAUGAGUUUGGUAUAAAAUUAGAAAAAUAUUGAAGUUAAAGUAAAUUCUUGGUAGUGUUGCCUUAUAAGGCUAAAAUAGUCAAUUUAAACUUCUGCCAGAGCAGUCUUUAUAAUCAAAUUCAAAUAUAAUAAAAAAAUCAAAUUAUGAUAAAUUCAGUUAAUUAAUUCUCCAAUGUUCUUCUUUAUUUGAAAUUUUUUAAAAAUAAUUUACACUUUGUAAUUAUUUUUAAAACAUGGGGUGGGUUUACAGAAAUUUUGGAAUGGAGAUAUCAUCACCAUAAAUAGAAACAUUGAAUACUUGCAGCCCUUGGGUUCCAUUGAAAUACCAACAUAAAACUGUUGAGUUGAUUUUGUUACUACUUAGUCAAAAUAAAAUUCCUAUUGUUAAAGGUGACGUUAUUUGUUGAUUUUAGUCUUCCAUGUCUUUAGGAGUCAGUUAAACUUGGUUCCUGUUUUGUUGCUUGGUUCGUUAUGUAAGGCUAUUUAAUAGCCAAAGUUAUUCUCAUUUUAAUAACAGUUAGAAUUCUUCUAUACUCUGUAGCUUUUAACAUUUGGUAUCAGAGCUUUUCUCCAGUGGGCCUGAGAAUAGAAAGCUGCAGCUUUUGAGUGACUUGUAUUCAAGAAAAACUAGAGAAGAAAGAGAUGGCAAGUGAAGGGAGUUUUGUUCAGCCUGCGAUUCCACGCUUCGAUGGUCAUUACGACCAUUGGAGCAUGCUAAUGGAGAACUUCCUUAGGUCCAAAGAAUAUUGGAACCUUGUGGAGAUUGGUUUUGUCGAGCCUGCAGACGGAGCUGCUGUAACGGAAGCACAGCAAAAGAGCCUCGAUGAGAUGAAGUUAAAGGAUAGGAAAGUGAAGAAUUAUUUGUUUCAAGCAAUUGACAGGACCAUCCUUGAAACAAUUUUAAAGAAGGACACCUCAAAACAGAUAUGGGACUCGAUGAAAAAGAAAUUUGAAGGUAAUGCUCGAGUGAAACGUUCCAUCCUUCAAGCACUAAGGAGAGAUUUCGAGACCCUUGAAAUGAAACCAGGUGAAAUUGUUAUUGAUUAUUUCUCAAGAGUCAUGUCAGUAGCUAAUAAGAUGAGAAAUUAUGGAGAGGAUAUGCAAGAUGUUAAAGUGGUAGAGAAGAUUCUUCGAUCAUUGACUGAGAAGUUCAAUUAUAUUGUUUGUUCAAUUGAGGAGUCAAAGAACAUUGAUCAGCUUUCAAUUGAUGAGCUAGAAAGUUCACUAAUUGUUCAUGAGCAGAAAUUUCAUAGGAAUAAUGGAGAGGAACAGGCGCUGGAGAUAACACAUGAGAAUAGUUCAGGAGCAAGAGGUCGUGGUAGAGGAGGUUUUCGAGGAAGAGGAAGAGGACGGGGCAGACAACAAUUUGACAAAUCCACAGUGGAGUGUUAUAAUUGUCACAAACUUGGACAUUUUCAAUGGGAGUGUCCAAGUAAUGAGAUAGGAGCAAAUUUUGCAGAGACUCAAGAAGAGAUGUUGUUGAUGGCAUGCGUAGAUGUGAACAAGGACAACAAGGAAGAUAUGUGGUAUCUUGACUCGGGCUGCAGCAAUCAUAUGUGUGGAAAAAAGGAAUAUUUCUCAGAUCUAAAUGAAAAUUUUAGAGAUUCUGUGAAGUUGGGCAACAAUUCAAGCAUGACUGUAAUAGGAAAGGGUAACAUCAGGUUACAAGUGAAUGGAACAACACAAAUUAUUACCGAAGUUUUCUAUGUACCUGAAUUGAAGAGCAACCUGUUGAGCAUUGGGCAAUUGCAAGAAAAGGGGCUUACUGUUCUGUUCCAACAUGGAAGGUGCAAGGUGUUUCAUCAUAAGAGAGGUUUGAUCAUGGAUACAAAGAUGUCUGCAAAUCGAAUGUUUAUAUUGCAAGCUAUUUCUAAACCUAUAACAUCUGUUUGUUUCAAUACAAUUACUGAGGAUCUGGUGUAGCUCUGGCACUGCAGAUAUGGACAUUUGAGUUUUACGGGUUUAAAAACUCUUCAACAAAAGGCAAUGGUGAAUGGUUUACCACAACUUAAAACUCCUUCAAGGCUAUGCAAGGACUGUUUGGUGGGCAAGCAGCACAGGGAUUCAUUUCCAAAAAGAAGCAGCUGGAGAGCUUUCCAAAUCCUUCAGUUGUUACACGCUGAUAUUUGCGGACCGAUCAAACUGAUCUCCAACAGCAAGAAACGGUAUUUACUUACCUUUAUUGAUGAUUUCAGUAGAAAAACAUGGGUUUUCUUUUUGACAGAAAAUCCGAAGCCUUUGAUGUUUUCAAAAGAUUUAAGAUCCGAGUGGAAAAAAAGACAAACACUCCACUUCAAGCACUGCGAACUGAUCGAGGAGGAGAGUUUACAUCACAAGAAUUCAAUAAUUUUUGUGAUGCAAAUGGUAUACAGAGACAGUUGACAGCAGCAUACACACCACAACAAAACGGAGUCGCAGAACGAAAGAACAUGACCAUUAUGAAUAUGGUACGAAGCAUGAUUUCAGAAAAAAGAGUCCCCAAAACCUUCUGGCCUGAAGCAGUCAACUGGACGAUACAUAUUCUAAAUCGAAGUCCAACAUUUGCUGUGAGAAAUAUGACUCCGGAAGAAGCGUGGAGUGGAAUCAAACCUUCGGUAGAGUAUUUCAGAGUCUUUGGCUGCAUCUCUCAUGUUCAUGUGCCUGAUAGCAAACGAACAAAACUAGAUGAUAAAAGUCAGAUUUGUAUUCUGUUGAGAGUAAGCGAGGAGUCGAAGGCUUACCGGCUUUAUGAUCCUAUUUCACAAAGGAUUAUUAUAAGUCGAGAUGUUGUGUUCGAGGAAGACAAAAGCUGGGAUUGGGACAAUAAGUAUGAGGAAGCAAUUGCAUGUGAUUUGGAAUGGGGUGAUCGUGAGGAAAAAGUGGUGGAGAUCGACAGAAAUGUAGGGAGAAGUGAAUCUAAUUCUGAUGCUAAUAUUGAAGAAGGGGAGAAUUUUUCCUCUGAUUCUCCAGCCGAGGAAAGCUCACCUAGCUCGAAUGAAGGGAGAAUUAGGAGACCACCAGCUUGGAUGCAAGACUAUGAGACAGGAGAGGGACUAUCUGAAGAAGAAGUUCAGUUGGCCAUGUUUGCAACUGCUGAUCUUAUUCAUUUCGACGAUGCCGUAAAAAGCGAGAAAUGGAGGAAAGCCAUGGAUGUGGAAAUAGAAGCAAUAAAACGGAAUGAUACAUGGGAAUUGACAGAAUUACCUGAAGGUGGAAAGAAAAUUGGAGUGAAAUGGGUUUACAAAACCAAGUUUAAUGAGAAUGGUGAAGUUGAUAAACACAAGGCAAGGCUUGUAGUGAAGGGGUACUCUCAGCAACAUGGGGUAGAUUAUACAGAAGUAUUCGCACCUGUAGCACGUAUGGAAACAAUUCGUUUGGUAGUAGCUCUUGCAGCUCAAAAAGGAUGGGCUAUCUAUCAGCUAGAUGUUAAGUCGGCAUUUCUAUAUGGUGAGCUGAAUGAAGAGGUUUUUGUGGAACAGCCGCUUGAUUAUGUGAAAAAGGGUUAUGAACACAAGGUUUAUAAAUUAAAAAAAGGCACUCUACGGCCUUAAGCAAGCACCGCGUGCUUGGUAUAGCCGUAUAGAAGCUUAUUUUUUGAAAGAGGGUUUUGAGAAAUGUGACUAUGAACAUACUCUGUUCAUCAAAACAGAGAAAGAAGGGAAAUUUUUUAUUCUGAGUUUGUAUGUAGAUGAUCUCAUCUUUACGGGCAAUGAUGAAUUGAUGGUCUCAGAAUUUAAAAGUUCCAUGAAACAUGAGUUCGAUAUGACUGAUCUUGGCAAAAUGAGGUAUUUUCUUGGUCUUGAAAUCUUGCAGAAUUCAAGAGGUGUGUUUAUCAGUCAGAAAAAAUAUGCGUUACAGGUGCUGCAAAAGUUUGGGAUGGAUGGAAGCAACUCAGUUCAAAAUCCAAUUGUUCCAGGUUGUAAACUUGUGAAGGAUGAAAGUGGUGUUAAGGUUGACAAAAUUUAUUUCAAACAAAUUGUGGGUAGUCUCAUGUAUCUUACAGCUACUCGACCGGAUGUGAUGUUCGUAGUGGGUUUUAUCAGUAGGUACAUGGAGAAUCCUACUGAGCUUCAUCUCCAAGUAGCUAAAAGGGUGCUGAGAUAUUUGAAGGGAACACUUGAUUUCGGAAUUUUCUAUAAGAAGGGAGGAAAUAAUGAACUCAUUGCUUACACUGAUAGUGAUUAUGCUGGGGAUUUAGAAGAUAGAAAAAGCACUUCAGGUUAUGUUUUUUUGUUGAGCUCAGAAGCAGUAUCUUGGCUAUCAAAAAAGCAACCAAUAGUGAGUCUCUCCACUACUGAAGCUGAAUUCAUUGCUGCGGCUUCUUGUGCAUGUCAAACAGUUUGGUUGAAAAGGGUGUUGGAUAAUUUGGGUCUGAAGCAAGGUAAGACAACUAUUAUUCAGUGUGAUAGUAGUUCUGCAAUCAAACUUUCGAAGAACCCAGUAAUGCAUGGUCGAAGUAAGCACAUAGAUGUGCGUUUUCAUUUUCUUCGGGAGCUUACAAAGGCUGGUACUGUAGAAUUGGUCUAUUGCAGCACACAAGAACAAUUAGCCGAUUUAAUGACUAAGCCACUCAAGCUGGAUGUCUUCCUAAACCUGCGUGCAUCAUUAGGAGUUUGCUCUGAAACUGAUGUAAACUGAUGCAUUAGCAUUCAGUUUAAGGGAGGAAAUGUUGAGUUGAUUUUGUUACUACUUAGUCAAAAUAAAAUUCCUAUUGUUAAGGGUGACGUUAUUUGUUAAUUUUAGUCUUCCAUGUCUUUAGGAGUCAGUUAAACUUGGUUCCUGUUUUGUUGCUUGGUUCGUUAUGUAAGACUAUUUAAUAGCCAAAGUUAUUCUCAUUUUANNNNNNNNNNNNNNNNNNNNNNNNNNNNNNNNNNNNNNNNNNNNNNNNNNNNNNNNNNNNNNNNNNNNNNNNNNNNNNNNNNNNNNNNNNNNNNNNNNNNNNNNNNNNNNNNNNNNNNNNNNNNNNNNNNNNNNNNNNNNNNNNNNNNNNNNNNNNNNNNNNNNNNNNNNNNNNNNNNNNNNNNNNNNNNNNNNNNNNNNNNNNNNNNNNNNNNNNNNNNNNNNNNNNNNNNNNNNNNNNNNNNNNNNNNNNNNNNNNNNNNNNNNNNNNNNNNNNNNNNNNNNNNNNNNNNNNNNNNNNNNNNNNNNNNNNNNNNNNNNNNNNNNNNNNNNNNNNNNNNNNNNNNNNNNNNNNNNNNNNNNNNNNNNNNNNNNNNNNNNNNNNNNNNNNNNNNNNNNNNNNNNNNNNNNNNNNNNNNNNNNNNNNNNNNNNNNNNNNNNNNNNNNNNNNNNNNNNNNNNNNNNNNNNNNNNNNNNNNNNNNNNNNNNNNNNNNNNNNNNNNNNNNNNNNNNNNNNNNNNNNNNNNNNNNNNNNNNNNNNNNNNNNNNNNNNNNNNNNNNNNNNNNNNNNNNNNNNNNNNNNNNNNNNNNNNNNNNNNNNNNNNNNNNNNNNNNNNNNNNNNNNNNNNNNNNNNNNNNNNNNNNNNNNNNNNNNNNNNNNNNNNNNNNNNNAUUACUACUACUACUACUACUACUACUACUAUUACUAUGCCCAAAAAAUCAAUUUCCCUCUCAAAAAUCUUUUAUUUUUUAUGUACAUUAUAAUAUUUAUGUUUUAAAUAUUAAUUAAAUCAAAUAUGUAGAGCUUAUUAUUUUUCUUUAAACAAAAAAAUUAACAAGAUCACCUAAUUUAUUAUUAAAAUAAAAAUAAUCAAACUAAUUAAAUAAUAAAAAUAAUUAUUCAUUACUUAAUUUUAAAUUAAUGGAAAUUAUUCCAAUAAUAAUUCUUUAAAAUAUUCCUACCGAACGUAUUUUAUUUUUUUCAUUUUUAAAAUUAUUUUUGAAAAUGAUACGAAACACAUUUUUAAUUUUUAUAAAUAAAUUUAAAUAACAUUUUCAUUCUCAUUUUUGUUUCAUAAAAACAAUAUUUAGAAAACAAAUACCGAGCCUAAAUGACUCCAAUUUUGAUUCUUCAAUCAGCCCCUAGUUAGUUCAAAAGAGAUAGUAAUUCUCUUUAAAGUAUAUAAAAUUCUCACACACAUAUAUAAAUUUAUGAACUAGAGGCGUGAUAAAUAAUGAUCGAUUUUUACAAGUGGACAUUGUAAUUGCUUUGUUACAAAAUAACAUCGUUUAGCAAUAAUUCACCUAAUAAUUUUCAUGUAAGAAAGUAUAUGUGUGUGUGUAUAAAACUAAUAUGUAUAAAACUAACUUUGUGUAAACAUAUCUUAUUUAGAAUAUUAUACUUGUAUAUAUGUGUAACAAACAGAAAGAGGAUACCUCAGAGACCAUGUCGUUUAACACCAUUCCCAAAAGCUCGAAGAUACCAGUAUGAUAUUUAUCAUUACCUAAAAAGUUAAGAACCAUACGACCUCCAGUCUUCAACUCUUAUGACCAAAAUUUGAGAAAUGAUGUGAAAUCACUCUCAAAUUGAUCCAAAAACACUUUAGGCACACUAGGAGGGUUAUAAAUUUUUGCUAGGCAAACAUCCCUUUUAUUCAAUAAAGGAAUUCUACGUUCACUUACUAGCUCUGUGGGUACCUAUUAAAGCAUAAAAUUGAGGUAUUAAUAAGAAUAUGAUUUUGUACACUAUUUAUAUAAGUUUUCAAUUUCUUAUUAUCUUUAAAAAGAAUAAAUGGAACAGGUUCGUCCACCCGAGAGAGCCAGUGAUGGCAGAAAGAAGAGUAAACUAAGUUUAGGAAACACGGAAGAAAUAGCCUUCCUUAGAAAGGACCAGGGGAAAAAUGAACCAAAAUCUUCAUGGCCUUUCGUUGUCUUCAAUCUCUUAUAAAAGCUGGGAGAGAUUUGGAAACGGUAGUAAAAGCAUGCAAUAUUGGUGGCUUAUGUUUCAAGCGGCUGCAAAUAGUGUCCUGUACCUCUAUAGCUUGCCAUGUUGGUAAAAAUACAUUAGGCCCUGAAGAACAACCCCAUAUCUGUAAGUCUGAUGCGAUCUGGGAAGCCAUUGCAAUACAAGUCAAAUGAGCUUUCAUUUAGUAAAGGCUUUGCUUUCAAGGUUGCUUCCCUCUGAGAAAAAAAGGGAAAAGAAAAGAAAAUCUAUAAACAGAAGAAAUUAGAGUGUGAAGCAUCGAGAGAGAGAGAGAGAGAGAGAGAGAGAGAGAGAGAAAGAGAGAGAGAGAUUGAUGUUUAGAUAUUGACCGAAUGAGCUGAGUUGUUUGCUUAGCUGUUAUCUCCAUUCUCCUUCAUUCAUGAAUUGUCAAAAAAAAAAAAUGAUUUGGAUUUCGUCCCCUCUACUUUUUAAUGAAAAAACAUAUUGAAAUAUAAUUGAAGUUGCUGUAUAGUUUUGUUUUGCUACUCUACAAUCUCUUCAAAGAAAAUAAGCAAAGCCAACAAAGAAAUAUUUGGAAAUUGACAACAGAUACAUUAAUGCAACCCGAAUUGUCAAAAGAUGUCAUUAUAUUUUUAAGAAUAAUUAUAGAAUCACAAGCAUUUUUACGGACAAUCUUUUAUAGAUUGGGUCAAGAUGAUCGGUCAACAAAAAUAUUAAAUUUUAUUUUCCACAUUCAUUUGUAUAAUAAUAUUUAUACGAACAUAUUUAUUAUUGUAGAAAAUAGGGUAAACGCUCGUUUCAUCCCUAUAUUUUAAAAUUAGUGCUUAUUUAGUCCAUAUAUUUUUAAAAAUACCUCAAAAUAUCCCUACCCUUAAAUUAUUGACAUCCCUGCUGUUACUUUUUAUUUUUUUGACUUGCUUUUACAAUAUUAUCCUUUUACAAUAAUGUUUCUUUUUAUAAAAUUAAUAAAAAGAAAAAAAAUUAAAUUAUCAAUUUAACCCCAAAAAUAAAAUAAAAACAAAAAGAAUAUAUAUUAAUUUUUGUGAAAGCUUACAUGCGUCCAAAAAAUUUUUAUUGUAAAAAUAAUUAAAUUACCUUUUUUUGGACAUUAGUAAUAAAAAAAUUAAUAUAUUAAUUCUUCAAUAGUGUGUUACAAAUAAGUAACAUAUAUUAAUUUUGUUUCUAUUUUAUUUUUUGAGAUUAAAUUGAUAAUUAAUUUUUUUUCUUUUUACUAAUGUCCAAAAAAAUAUUGUAAGAGAGUAAUAUUGUAAAAAUUAAGCGAAAAGCAACAAAAAGUAAGAGGAAAUGUGUUAAUAAUUUAAUGUCGGGGAUGUUUUGAGGUAUUUUUAAAAAUAUAGGGACUGAACGAGCACUAACCUUAAAAUAUAAGGACUAAACGAGAUUUUACCCCAGAAAAUAUAAAGUAGUCAAUAAAGCGCUAAGUGUUACCCCCAACAAGUGUGCGUCCCCAAGAAUGGGGAGCAGGAAUUCUACUCCCAGGGUUCCAUCCCCAGGAUUGGGGCCUUAGAAAAUAUGCUCCCAGGAAUGGGGGCAGUGGUUACAGCUCUAGGAAUGGGCCCUAGAAAGUGUACUCCUCCAAGAAUGGGGAGUAGGGAUUCUACCCCAGGGUUCCACAAACAGGAUUGGGGCCUUAGAAAAUAUGCUCCUCCAAAUGGGGAGUAGAGGUUCUACCUUCAGGAAUGAAACCUAGAAGCUGUGCUCCCUUAAGAAUGGGAAGCAGAGAUUCUACCCCAGGGUUCCACCCCCAAGAUUGGGGCUCCAGAAAAUAUGCUUCCCUAAGAAUGGGAAAUAAAGAUUCUACCUCCAGGAAUGGGUCUUAGAAAGUAUGCUCCCCCAAGAAUGGGGAGCAGGGAUUCUACCCCAAGAUUCUACCCUAGGAUUGGGCGUCCAAAAAAUUUUUAUUGUAAAAAUAAUUAAAUUACCUUUUUUUGGACAUUAGUAAUAAAAAAAUUAAUAUAUUAAUUCAGCAGUGUGUUUCAAAAAAGUAACAUAUAUUAAUUUUUUUUCUAUUUUAAUUUUUGAGAUUAAAUUGAUAAUUACACUAACCUUAAAAUAUAAGGACUAAACGAGAUUUUACCCCAGAAAAUAUAAAGUAGUCAAUAAAGCGCUAAGUGUUACCCCCAACAAGUGUGCGUCCCCAAGAAUGGGGAGCAGGAAUUCUACUCCCAGGGUUCCAUCCCCAGGAUUGGGGCCUUAGAAAAUAUGCUCCCAGGAAUGGGGGCAGUGGUUACAGCUCUAGGAAUGGGCCCUAGAAAGUGUACUCCUCCAAGAAUGGGGAGUAGGGAUUCUACCCCAGGGUUCCACAAACAGGAUUGGGGCCUUAGAAAAUAUGCUCCUCCAAAUGGGGAGUAGAGGUUCUACCUUCAGGAAUGAAACCUAGAAGCUGUGCUCCCUUAAGAAUGGGAAGCAGAGAUUCUACCCCAGGGUUCCACCCCCAAGAUUGGGGCUCCAGAAAAUAUGCUUCCCUAAGAAUGGGAAAUAAAGAUUCUACCUCCAGGAAUGGGUCUUAGAAAGUAUGCUCCCCCAAGAAUGGGGAGCAGGGAUUCUACCCCAAGGUUCCUCCCCAGGAUUGGGGCCCCAAAAAAUACGCUCCCCCAAGAAUGAGAAGUAGAGGUUCUACCUCCAGAAAUGGGCCCUAGAAAGUAUGCUCCCCCAAGAAUGGGGAGCAGGGAUUCUACCCCAAGAUUCUACCCUAGGAUUGGGGCCCCAAAAAAUAUGCUCCCCCAAGAAUGGGGAGUAGAGAUUCUGCCCCCAGGAUUCCACCCUGGGGCCCCAGAAAAUAUGCGCCCCCAAGAAUGGGAAGUAGAAGUUCUACCUCCAGGAAUGAACCCCAGAAAGUGUGCUCCCCCAAGAAUGGGGAGCAAGAUUUUACCCUCAGGAUUGGGGCCCCAGAAAAUAUGUUCCCCUAAGAAUGGGGAGCAGAGGUUUCACCUCCAGGAGUGGGCCCCAGAAAAUAUACUCCCCCAAGAAUAUGGAGCAGAGGUUUCACCUCUAGGAAUGGGCCCCAGUGUGCUCCCCAAGAAUGGGAAUAAGGAUUCUACCCCAGGAAUGGGCCUAAGAAAAUAUGCAGGAAUUAUACCCUUAAGACCCCCAGAAGCCAUGCUCCCCAAGAAUGGGGAACAAGAAUCAUGUUCCCCCAGGAACAUAGAGCAAGAAUUAGGUUCCCCAGGAACAGGGAGCAGGAGUGGAGGAUGGCAAAAAUCAUGGUUCCAGACAGCCCUUGACUCAGUUCUAGAUUAUGGAUCGCACAAGAAAAGUCAAGUCCGAGUAGAGGAGCUAUCGUUGAAGGACAAUAGAAGGGCAUUGCUUGGCCUAGAAGCAAAUUAAGUAGAGUUUGACUCAGAUACAACUUAUGAAAAGGUAGAAAUACUUUGUAAUUAAAAUCCUAGAGGAUAGAGGAAAGUUAGAUAGAGUUCAAGUUAGAAAAGGACUUUAUCUAUAGAAGACUAUAAAAGCAGAGGUCUCUCAUAGUGUAAGGCAUCGAAAAAAAAAAAUAGCAAAGAGAGAGAAAGUCAAGUUGUAAGUGCGAUCUUAAUAAAAUAUUUAUCUUUCUCUACCCGUGGACGUAUGCCAAAAGCCGAACCAUAUUAAGUCUCUGUGUCUUUUCAUUAUAUCGCCCCCGCGUAAAUUAAUUUUCUAAGUUGACUAGAAAUAUGCAUCAACAUUUAUGAUUAUAUUAUUACUCUAUUUUUUAAGGGCACAAGUGUAUCUCAAUGGUGUUUAUAGAAUUAUAUAUAGAUGAUUCUUUCAACAUAUAUAUUCACAAGUAUAAUUUAUUAAAUGAUUUUAUGAUUUGUCAGGAUUAUCCUUUUGAAUAUUUCUUUUUGUAUCUAUGAAGGACACAUAUUCAUAAUAUGUAUGUUAUUUGAGAUAACCUACUAAAAGGCAAAGUUAUGAUAACAUAGUGGUUUCUUACCCCGAGUCUCCAUCAUUUUGUUAAUUCAUGGAAAAUUAUGGUGUGUUUUGUCACGGAAUGAGUAUAUUGCACAACAAACCCAUGCAGUGCUUAUGCAACUAUAGCCCAACAUUUGCAAAGUAAACCUAUUAAGCUUCUCGUCUAGUUAAAAGUAUGCGAAAUUGCUUACGAAAGAGCUAGAGAGAAAAGCGAGCAAUUGAGACAAAGAGAAUCAGUGUUAUUCACAAGAGUGUGUGCACAAGAGAGCUUGAUAGCUUGCAAGAUUACUUGCUUGAGUUGCUUGCUGAAAAUGCUAAGCGCCAUACUUUAUUUAUAAAGAAGUUUGCUUAGUUCUAUAAGGUUCUAACUCUAAAGAGUUCUCAAGACUUAGUGAGAGCUCUCGUACCUAGCAAAGCUUAGAUUGAUAUAGGAAAAUCUAUGUACAAACUAUAUGUUACAAUACUCUAGCAAAAUCUGGAGAUUUCUUAGUUAUGUACAAGUGAGAAUAUACUAGAAAAGACUAGUGAUAGAAGCUUCUAGAAUCAAGCAAAACUAACACACCUUGGCUUAUAGAUUUAACCUAUUCGGCCUAAAAUUUCAGGUGGUUCACGACAGUUUGCUACAGUUUUUGGAUUAGUGCUUUAUGUUUUAAAACAAGAAAAAAAAGAAAAAAAGAAAAGGCGUUUUGGUGGCAUUGUUUUUCUGCCUAUUUUCACGUUGUGUGAGAAUGAGUGCAACUCAUUUAAAAACUUGUCACAGUAAAUUGAAAAAUAAUAAUUUACUAUUACAUAGACAGUGUUCUAAUUCUGGGACCCAUGUUAAACAAAAGUAAAACAUACAUAAAUAGUGUGUGGGUGUAAAUUGCAUGAAUGUAACUUAUCAUUUACCAUAAAAUAUAGCUAUUUAUUUUACUGUGCGUGCACAUAAACUAUUGUUUCAACCAUUUUUUUAUUUUAUUAUUUUUAAUAAUAUAAUAUUAUUAUUUUCAAAGAACAAACAAUCAAACAUAUAUUUGAUUAAUUUUAUUUUUAAAUAUUAUUUUAAAUUAAGCUAUCAAAUAUGUUUUUUUUAUUCACCAAAAUUAAUUACUUUUAUAUCAUAAAAUAAAAUAAGUACAAAAAUAUAAUUUAAAAAAUAAUACCAAAACAAAACUUAGUUGUGUUCAAUCAAAAUCAAAUGUGACCCACGAAAUAUAAAGCAUAGCCAUUUACUUUACUGUGCACGCAUAUAAACUACUGUUUCAACAGUUUUUUUAUUUCUUAAUUUUUAAUAUGAUAUUAUUGUUUUUAACAAACAAAUAAAUAGACAUAUGUUUGAUUGAUUUCAUUUUUAAAUAUUAUUGUAAAUCAAGCUACCAAAUAUGUUUUUAUAUUCAAAAAAAUUAAUUAUUUUUAUAUUAUAAAAUAAAUACAAAAAUAUCAUUUAAAAAAUGAUACCAAUAAAGAACUAGCACGUGUUUAAUUGAAUCAAAUGUGACCCACGAAAUGUUUACUUUACUAAGCACGCAUAUAAACUACUGUUUCAAAAUUUUUUUAUUUUUUUAUUUUUGUUGUAUCAAAAUUAUAAUAAGCCUAAAAAAAAGCCCACAUGAGUAUAGGCCAAAUAAGAAGUGACCUAGGUCCAUUUUAAAUCAAACGCCUAAAGAGCAAUUUUUGGGCAAAAACGCUAAAGGUAAGUUUCUACAAAACGUGACCUAAAUCGAUUUUUUACAAAAGCGACAUAAGUCUACUCUUUAUAAAGAAGGACCUAGGUCCAUUUUAAAUAAAACGCCCAAAGGGCAACUCUUCGACAAAGCGCUAAAGGUAAGUUUCUACAAAAAGUGACCUAGAUCGAUUUUAUACAAAGAGCGACCUAGGUCCACUCUUUAUAAAGAAGGACAUAAGUCCAUUUUAAAUAAAACGCCCAAAGAGCAACUCUUUGGCAAAGCGCCAAAUGUAUAUUUCUGCAAAGAACGACCUAGGUCCACUCUUUAUAAAGAAAGACCUAGGUCCAUUCUAAGUAGAACGCCCUUCGAAAAAGUGCCAAAGGUAUGUGUCUACAAAGAGCGACUUAUGUCCAUUCAUUAUAAAGAAUGACCUAGGUCCAUUUUCUACGAAUAAUGACCUAGAUGUUCAACAAUUACUUGGAAGUAACAUUCUACGAAAGUUACAUACAUGCGAUUGCUAGGUCAUUAUAAAGAAUGACCUAGGUCCAUUUUAAAGAAUUACUUGUAACCUUCGUAGAUGUUCAGCAAUUACUAGGUGAUUAUAAAGAAUGACCUAGGUCCAUUUUCUACGAAUAAUAAUCUAGAUGUUCAGCAAUUACUUGGAAGUAACAUUCUACGAAGGUUACAUACAUGCGAAAUUCCACAAAACCAAUCCUCUUUAAAAGGAAACAACAUAAGGGCUGAAGUGCUUAAGCCCAACGAAUGUUAAGAGCUUGAAAUCAUGACAAGUGUUCAAAGAAAACUUGUCAAUGAGCAAGCUUGACAUGUAAUGAUAGGUGUCUUUAUACAUGAGUUUUGCGGACACUUGUCACUAAAAAAAUACCACGUGUCGUGAUGACACCUUCACCUCAUUAAUCAAAUUGCCUAUAUAAUGAUCAAAACUUCCCAUAUCAGAGGCCAAGAGAAAAAGGGCAACGAAAUGUUGUCCUUCUUUCUUUAAAUUCUCUUUUUAUAAUCAAAAUUGAAAUGCUGACUUAAGCGUCAGAGGGUCAUGGCCGGCAACCCUGACACCCUUUGACAAUUUCAUUUCUUUUGCAGAACCUUUGACAAUAGAAACUUUCAUAUCAUGGAGAGAUGAUUCACAAAGCUUAAUAUAGAAAUGAAUCUGAAGUAAAAAGUUAAUAUGUGUCGAGCAAAAAAUUGCAUUGACAGCUGGCGCCGUUUGUGGGGAUGAAUAAAAAGCCAAUGUGAUCAUCUUGAGCAUGGAUGACAACUAUAACUACUUCGAGCUUGAUGCUGAUGAUGAAAUUUCUAGGGAUGGCAAGAUUUAUUUUUGACGACAAAGAUAUGUUGUAGAUCCUGGAAGUGAAUCUACAGUCCCAAUACAUCCACCUAACCUCUAAUAAAAUCCAAAUCAACAAUUUGAUGCAUAACAUCUAUAGCCAGAUCCAAACGUUUAGCCUCGUCGCCAAGGUGCGGCAGGAUUGCCCGACUUUAAAGGCAAAUAGAGCAGCUGACAAUAAACUUCAAUAGAAUGUUCGAUUAAUUUCAAGCCCGAAAUGAUGAACAAGCUAACUGCAACAACUUUGAUAGCAAUGCAGCAAACUCCGGCUCUUCCCAGACAAGAUCAAAAAAUGAUUUGAAUGAUGAUAAUUUGAAACAUGCUCUCAAUCAGAGACGGACACGACAAAGAGCAACUUGAGAUAAUAAUGAGCCAUCUGAUUUACAAGAGAGAAUGCAAAGGCUUAAACAAAUGGUUCAUGGAAUGAGACCACAAGACGAUAUGAUGGCUGAGUCUGAACCACCAUUUACACAAGAAAUCAUGAGAGCUAGAUAACCGUCAGGGUUUUGACUUCCAUUAAUGGAGCCUUACGACUGACAAAUGGAUCUUAUGGUGCAUGUCGAGCUAUAUCACUCUUUUAUGGAAGUUCAUGACGUGUCUUUGGCCAUUUUAUGUCGGGCUUUUCUUCUCACUUUAUCUAGGGCUGCAAGAAGGUGGUUUCAAAGGUUAAAGCCAAACUCUAUUUCUUUAUUCAAAUUGAUCCGAGAAUUUAUGAUGCAUUUUUGUAGUGCAAGACAAAGAGGAAAACCAAUUACAUGCCUCUUGACAGUGAAACAAUAUAAGGGUGAAUCGUUAAGGGAGUAUGUUCAAAGGUAUAAUGCUGAGACCACUCAAAUGGAUGGAUAUGAUGAUGGGGUUGCUCUUUCCAGGUUAAUGGAAGGCCUACAGAUAGGAAGACUAUGGUGGUCAGUAAUAAAGAAUCCACCAUCAAUAUAUUAAGAGAUGCUCUCUCAGGCUUAGAAAUAUGCUAAUGCAGAAGAAAGAUUUCAAAGUAAGAAAAGGCGAGGAAAAGGUGAAUCAAGUAAAAAAAAAAAGAAGAAGGAAGACAGGUGUGAUGUAACACUUGGACGACCCGAUCAAGCUUCUAGAGGGGAUCAAUUCCGCCCUAAGGACAAACUUAGCUCUCAAGAGCCUCUUUUUUGGCCUCAUAUACAAUUUACUAACUAUAAUGAGUUGAAUGCUCCUAGGGAGCACAUUUUGAUGCAAGUGAAAAAUUCCACUUUGUUUAAAGCUCCUCCUCCACUGAAAUAUGAUCGUUCACGGAGAAACCAAAAGAAGUAUUGCGACUUUCAUAAAGAUGUUGGACACGAUACAUCUGAGGUUUUGACCUCAAAGAACAAAUUGAAAGUUUGAUGUGACAAGGUCAGCUACAAGAAUAUGUCAAAGGCCAAAGUAGUCGAGAAAAUAAAGACCUACAAAAAUAUUUAAGAAAAGACAAAGCGAAAAAGAAAGAAAAUGAUAGUGAUGAUAAUAUGUCUGAUGUCAACCAUAUUUGGGGUAGUCCUCUUGCUGGUAAUUCUGGCAAGGUGAGGAAGAACUUAGCCAGGCAAAUAAGGCAUGAGCCUAGUGGGCUGGAAAUAAAUUUAACAGAUCGCCUACAGAAUUCAAGGUUUCAUGACACUCCAAUAAUGUUUUCUAAAGAGGACACUCAGGGCAUUCAUCACCCUCAUUGUGUGCCAUUGUUGUAACUCUACUUGUGGCAAACAAGCGACUUCACCGAAUCUUAAUUAAUAAUGGAAGCUCAGUUGAUAUAUUAUUUCUUUCAGCUUUUGCAAAAAAUGGGAUUGGAAAGAUCCUAAUUAAUGCCAUACAUUACUCCAUCGCAUGGAUUUGCUGGGGGAAGUGUUAUCCUUGAGGGAAUGAUUGAGCUUGUUGUAUCCUUUGGUAAAACUCCGACUAAAGUUACUUCUAUGGUUCAAUUUAUAGUGGUAGAUCAACCGAGUGCAUACAAUUCAGUCUUAGGUCGACUAACCUUAUAUGCUAUUAAAGGCCGCAACUUCUAUUUAUCAUUAUACUUUGAAGUUUCCUACGGAGGCUGGCAUAUGAGUGUUCGAGGAAAUCAGAAAGAGGCUUGUAAAUGUUAUGAGAUUUCCUUCAGGAAAAGAAAUGAGUCAUUUCAAAUCACAAGUCUGGACCCCAAAACAGUAAGGGAUGAUUAACAAGCGAAUCCCAUUGAAGACUUGGUCGAGAUUCCCCUUGGAGAUGAUUCAACAAGGUAGUUAAAAUUGGGUCCUAAUUAGUCAAUCCACUUUGAGAAGAACUUGUGGAUUUCCUAAAGGAAUACUCAGAUGUGUUUGCAUGGACUCACCAGGAUAUGCCGAAAAUUGAUCCGAGGAUAAUUGUUCAUCGCUUAAGUACUAAGCCUCUUACAAAACAUGUUCGACAAAAGAUGAGAAGUUUGAAUGCUGAGAGAGCUGCAGCUGUUAAAGAUGAGGUGGACAAACUCUUAAAGGAAAAAUUUAUUAAAGAAACUAGGUAUCCACAAUGACUUGCAAACGUUGUCAUGGUAAAGAAAGCCAAUGGAAAGUGAAGGAUGUGCGUAGACUUUACUGACCUCAACAAGGCAUGUCCUAAUGAUCGCUUCCCUUUGCCACGAAUUGAUCAGCCUGUAGACGCCACAGCUGGGCAUGAACGUUUUAGUUUCAUGGACGCCUAUUCCGAGUAUAACCAAAUUCGGAUGCAUGAGCCUGAUCAAGAAAAUACUUCAUUCAUUACUGAUCGAGGCCUUUAUUGUUAUAAAGUCAUGCGUUUUGGGCUUAAGAAUGUUAGGGUAACCUAUCAAAGGCUCGUGGAUGCAAUGUUUGCCAAUCAGAUAGGUCACACAAUGGAAGUCUAUGUGGAUGACAUGCUGACAAAAAGCAAAAACUCAAUUGAUCGCAUCAGAAAUCUCCGUAAGACUUUUGAUAUUUUAAUGAACUUCAAGAUAAAGCUUAAUCCAGCUAAAUGUGCCUUUGAAGUGGCCUCAGGAAAGUUUUUAGGCUUUAUGGUAAAUUAAAGAGGAAUUGAAGUUAACCCUGAAAAAAUCCAAGCCUUGGUCAACAUGAAGUCACCAAAGAAUGUGAAAGAAAUCCAGCAGGUAACUGGGUUAGUUGAUGCUCUAGAUCGUUUUGUCUCAAAGGUUAUUAACAAAUGCCUUCCUUUUUUUAAAGCCUUAAAGAAAAUGAAAGAGAUGAUAUGGACUGAAGAAUGCAAAGAAGCGUUUCAGAAGCUAAAAGACUAUCUCAGCAAUCCACCGCUUUUAGUCAAACCAUCUAAGGGCGAGUUAAUUUACAUGUACUUAGUAGUUUUUAACUCAGCAACAAGUUCCAUUCUUGUUCGAGAUGACAAUGGAGUCCAAAGGCCGAUUUAUUACACAAGUCAAGCUUUGCCCGAUGCAGAGAUUCCAUAUUUAAAUUUAGAGAAUGUUGUUGUAACGCUAGUCAUUUCAGCGCAGAAAUUGCGACCAUACUUCUAAGCCCAUGAGGUCAUCGUAUUAACAAACCAACCAUUAAAACAGACUUUGGCAAAACCUGAUGUGCAAAACCUGAUGUGUUAGGAAGAUUGGUCAAAUCAGCAGUAGAGUUGGGUGAAUUUGAUAUCCAAUUUAAGUCUCGCACUUUAGUUAAAGGGCAAGCAGUAGCAGAUUUCAUUACAGACUUUACAGAAGUAGAAACUCCAUAUUCAGAAGUUAUGGGAGAACAAUUCGAGCAAUGGACUCUUUAUGUUGAUGGCACAUCUAAUAGUAAGGGCAGUAGAUGAGGAUUGAUUAUUAUCACAUGGAUAAAACAGAAAUUGAAUGUGCCCUGCGAUUCGGAUUUGAUGCAACUAAUAUAGAUGUCUUAGUCCAACUCGAAUCUACACCUGAAGGAAAUUUGUUGAGGUCAAUCCCAAUUGCUACGAUCCCAAAACCAAGUAUCAUACGACCAGAGGUUAAAGAAAUUGCGACUACAGAUCGAAGGGCAAUAUGGAUGGAGCCUAUUGAAAAGUAUUUGAUAAACAGGGAGUUACCAGCAGAUAAAAAUGAAGCUCGAAAAGUCAGACUUAGAGCUGCCAGAUACCUGUUUGUUGAUGGUGAACUAUACAAACGAGGCUUCUUUCUUCCGCUCUUGAAAUGUCUUGCUCUUGCGGAUGCAAAUUAUGUUUUAAGAGAAAUUCACGAGGGAAUAUGUAGAAACCACUUUGGUGGCAGAAUGCUAGCAUACAAGGCAAUAAGGCAAGGAUAUUUUUGGUCAAUCAUGCAUGAAGAUGCCCUUGAGUUGACGAAGAAAUGUGAUAAAUGUCAAAGGUUUGCUAAAAUUCCAAGUAGCCACUGGAAGACUUAAUUCCUUUGUUUUCACCUUGGCCUUUUGCCCAGUGGGGUAUUGAUCUUAUUGGCCCUUUGCAUACAGGAAAAGUCCAAGUAAAUUUUGGUAUUGUCGCUAUAGACUACUUCAUUAAGUGGGUCGAAGCAGAGCCUUUGGCAACAAUUACUGAAAAUAAGACAACAGACUUCAUUAAAAGAAACAUCAUUUAUAGAUUUGGAGUCCCUCAAACCAUCAUCACUGAUAACAGCAAGCAAUUUGACAAUGCCAGUUUUAAAGCCUUCUGUAAGGCCCUUGGCAUAACAAAUCACUAUUCCUCUCCAGCUCAUCCUCAAGCAAAUGGGCAAGUAGAGGCAACCAAUCGAGUGAUAAAGCAAACCCUCAAGAUUAAGCUUGAAAAAGCUAAAGGUGCUUGACUGGAAGAGCAUCCCUUUGUCCUAUGGUCAUACAAAACUACUCCAAGGAUACCCACCGGCGAAACCCCAUUCUCUCUGGCUUUUGGCACUGAAGCUGUAGUUCAUGUAGAAAUAUGAAUGCCAACUUAUUGAGUCCAACAUUUCAAUCUCGAGCGCAAUGAUGAUCUUCAACUUUAAAACUUAGAUUUCUUAGAAGAAAAACGAGAUCAAGCAAUGAUCAGAGUGGCUGCUUAUCAAGGGAGAGUGGCUCGAUAUUAUAAUGCUCGUGUAAAGAAUCAAUGUUUUAGAAUUGGAGAUUUGGUCUUGAAGAAAGUUCUUCCUAAUACGCAAGAUCCAGGGGUUAGGAAUCUUAGGCCAAAUUGGGAAAGACCUUACAUUAUGAAAGAUGUUGUAAGGCCAGGGACCUAUUCCCUUUAUACUCUUCACGCUAAUAUCCUGAGGCACGCUUGGAAUGUCGAGCACCUUAGAGUGUAUUAUCAGUAAAGUCUGAAAAAUUUUAUAAUCGAACAAGUUUUCUUAUUAACCUACGGACUAAUAAAAGAUUGGUUGCCUUAAAUUUCUUUUGUUAUUCUUAUAAUGAUAUUAUGCGAAGUGACAUUGCAUUAUGUUAAACUUGUAUAAUUCAUAAUGAGCACUUAGUCAAUUGUGAAUUCAAGUUACGAAAAGCUUAAAGGCUUGUUAUCGCAGAAGUUUUAUAAACAUAUAUGCAGUGUCAACCUAGAGAAAUUGUUAGAAAUAAUUUUCUAAGCAAAACGCCCACGGGAAAAUUGUAACAACGGGACCUAGGUCUUUUCUUGCAUAGGAUGACCUAGGUCCAAUUCCUUAGAAAUAAUUUUCUGAGGAAAACGCCUGCGAGAAAAUUAUGACAAAUGGACUUAGAUCUUUUCUUCCAUAAGAUGACCAGGUCCUUUAUUCCAUAGGAUGACCUAGGUCCAAUUCUUUAGAAAUAAUUUUUUGAGGAAAACGCAUGCGGGCAAAUUGUAACAAAGGGACCUAGGUCUAAUUCCUUAGAAAUAAUUUUAUAAGGAAAACACCCGUAGACAAAUUGCAACAAAGGGACCUAGGUCUUUUCUUGCAUAGAAUGACCUGUGCAAGAAAUGACCUAGGUCCAAUUCCUUAGAAAUAUUUUUUUUUUAGAAAACUACCCACAAGCAAAUUGUAACAAAUGGACUUAAGUCUUUUCUUGAAAAGAAUGACUUAAGUCCAAUCCAUUAUUUCUAAGGAAACUACCCAUAGGCAAAUUGUAACAAAAGGAUUUGGGUAUUUUCUUGUGAAAAAUGGCCUUGUUCUAGUUACUUAGAAAUGUUUUUCUAUGAAAAAUAUCGAUCGGCAAGUUGUAAUAAAAAGACGUAGGUCAUUUCUUUUAAAAGAAUGUCCUAAGUCUGAUUGCUGAUAAAAAUUUUUAAAUCAAACGUCUACAAGAAAAGAUCUAUAUAAAGGAAUGUAUGGUGUUAAGUCAAAUCGACUUCGAAUAAAAAUUACUUGGUCAAAAUUAAGAAAUUUUAGGCUAAACUUUCAUUAGGAAAAUAAAGCAUUUCAUGCUGCGAGUUACGCCGAAAAGAAGCCAAAAUUGCAGCCAUGAUUACAUCCGUAGAAAAUUAAAAUCCAACAAGAAAGAAAAAUUAAAAUGCUGAAAAAUGAUCUUAGGAACAAUCUAAGGAUCCAUGAUGUGUUCACCCUCCUCAACAUCCUUGCACAUCUCAUCAUCUAACUCAGGAGGACGAAGGUGAAGAUCUCCAUAGCAAUCAUCAAAACCCAGAGUCGCAGGUAAUAUGAUAUCUGAUGGUCAACCGAUGGGGACUUCAUUUCCGCCACUCGUGUACUCUUCAUACUCUUUAUUUCUAGCUUUUUCAAUUUCAGCUUGUGCUUCCAAAAGUUCAUCCUCAAAUUGUUCAUUUGACUCUUCAAGAUCUUUUACACGGGUUUCAAAACUAGAAAUCCUCUCAGCAUCGAGAGCAAUUAUUUCUUCAGCCUUUUUUUGCUCCUCUUUGGCUAAAUGCAACUGACUUUCAAUUGUUAACUUUUCUUUAUGGAGGGCAAUGAACUCAGAUUCUAAAUUCUUUUUAGCAGCAAGAGCUUGAGAUAGUUCUUUACUUGUGGCAGCAACACGAUCUUCGGCAGCCCUAACUCAUGUUUCAUAGGAUGAAAAAUGCUCCGAAUGCUACAAAAAAAUAAAAUAAAAAAUAAGGAGAGGCAGAAUAAAAAAUGAAGGGUAAACAUAAUGAAGGCAAAAGUUCUUUACCUUUAUAACAAGUCUCACUACAACCUUGAGAGACUCUAUGGCCCCCAAAUCCUUCACACUCGAUCCUCCAGCCUCACUUACAAAUUGGUCCCAAUCAACAUCAUCGGCUUGAUGAGCGCGAACUGGUGAUGAAUUAACACCUUAGGCAAGAACCGUAGAUGGAUCGAUGAUUUGAUCAACAGUAAAUUUUUUAGUCACUUCUUUCGGCAUCAAAGUUUGGACUAAUGUACCAUUAUUCUGAUCCUUUGUCUGUUGCUGGGAAGUAAAGCCCUUCUCCAUGAGUCGUGGCUUCUCCACGUUCUUUGUCUUAUCUGACAGUCUCAGCCUCUCAAUGGGUUUUGCCUUUUCAGAUAACCUUGGCCUUUUUCUUCUUUUUUUUCCUCCAACAGGUUCAUUAGUUGAAGAAUCCAUUAUACGUUUAGUUGACUGAAUGGAUAAUGGACUACUUGGAAUUAUGUGAUUCUCGGUGAAAAUAUUGAAUAAGCAUAGGAAGUUGCAAUCACGAUCUUCUGGAGGCAACUUUUGAGCUGACCUAAUGUUUUUCGCCUCUACUCCACGGAUCGUGGGUCUUUUCCAAAUAUCUACAAUUAAGAAGUGAAACUAAGGUUAGUAAAAAAAUUAAAUAUGUGCCACAUAAUAUAUAUAUAUAUAAAUCGCACUUGGUUCACGAAAGUGUGUUGGAACCCGAACCCGGGCAUCAACGACUUCAUCCCCAAACUCCCAAUUUCCACUAACCAAAAAAUAAAAAUGCUUCCACCUCUUGAUUGAGAUGUGAACAUGAUUAAGUAAAAUUUCAUUGGAAUCUUCAUAAGCUUUGAAGUGCCAAAUGUCAUAAGUUUUGGGGUUACGACAUAAAUGAAAUAGAUAUUGGAACUCGAUCACAGACGGAUCUGAAAAUCCAAGCUUCCUCCAUACAACCCACAUUCCAAUUAUCGCUCUCCAAGCAGUAAGAACUAGCUGAGCAGGAGCAGUCCAAAAGAAUGUAGAAGCUUUCAAAUAUUUGGGGCAAGAGGAAGAGAAGCUCCAACUUUGAACAUUGCUUUUGUAAACCCAACACAGCCAGUAGGGGGUUCGCUAAUCAAAUCACUCUCCAACAAGUUCAUUUCAAUAGAACGGGGAAUUUGGUACAUGAUCUGCAGUAUUUCGACACCGACCCAAGUAAGUGAAUUACUGCAAUUGUCCAUGGUCCACACACUAGAAGUCUUAGCGCAAUUUUUGUCAUACCAAACUUUAAAGUUAUUUUCCCCAUCCUCAGAUUCAAUUUUAACGCCUACAUGUUUGAAUGAAUCCUUACUACAAGUCUCGCCAUUGGUUGCUUCAGUUUCAGGUAACUUGGCCAUAUUAGGAACCUAUUAAUCAAACUCUAUGCGAAUUCUCAUGCUAAAAGCUAAGUCUUUGCAUACGAAAAUUAUAUAUGUGGUUACAUUUAUUUAAGUUUAUGUGAAUAAGCAUGCAAAAAUAAAUAAAUAAAUAAAAUGGCUAGAACUUUACACGUGUAUAUAUAUAUAUAUAUAUAUAGCCAUGCACUGAUUUGUGCAUCCACAUACAUCAUAUCAGAAGUUUCAAUAAACAUGCAUAUAACAUUUUAAUAUAUGCAUAUAUUAAAUUCAACAUGCAUGCAAAUAAUUAAAUCUUCACUUGCAUGCAAAUUGCUAAGUUUUCACAUGCAUGCAAAUUGUUGACGUUUCAUAUGGACAUUUUAUUAUAUGUCAAUAAAUGCAUUUUUUUAAAUAAAAAGAAAGAACGGAAAAAAUACCUUACAGCCGGAGAGACACCAAAAUUGAGCACUGCUCUGGCGCGAAUCCGUGAAACUCCUUCAAAAAAUGCUCACCCUCUUCACUAUAAAUUGAAAGAGUCUCCCUCUAAGGUAAAUUCUCUCAUUAAGUUUUUAGUAGUGCUUGUGAAUAUAUUAUGGAGUUUUGAGGGUUUUUAUAGAUGAGAGGAAGGGGAAUGCCAUAAGUCAUUUGUUGUAAUUGGGCAAGAAAAAACAAAGAUCAUCGGAAAUGAAAAAACAAAGAAAAUUAAUAGGAAAUGAUAUACAAUUUUUGAAUUUCAAAAAUUGAGUUAAGCCCGCACCCAUUGAAAAGCCAAGGCUGGAAGCCAUAAAAUGAUUCAAGCCUAACCUAAAGCACAUGAAGUAAAUAAUAGUAAUAAAUAAAGUCUAACUUCUCAAAUUUGAAAAAAUAGACUGGGGGCAUCUGUUGUACCAAAAUUAUAAUAAACCCAAAAAAAGCCCACAUGAAUAUAGGCUCAAUAAGAAGUGAUCUAGGUCCAUUUUAAAUAAAAUGCUCAAAGGGCAAUUCUUUGGCCAAGUGUUAAAGGUAAAUUUCUGCAAAAAAUGACCUAGAUCGAUUUUCUACAUAGAGCGACCUAGGUCCACUAUUUAUAAAGAAGUACCUAGGUUUGUUCUAAAUAAAACGUCCAAAGGGCAACUUUUUGACAAAACGCUAAAGGCAAGUUUCUACAAAAAGUGACUUAGAUCCAUUUUCUACAAAAAGAGACCUAGGUCCACUCUUUAUAAAGAAGGACCUAGGUCCAUUCUAAAUAAAAUACCCAAAGGGCAACUCUUCGGCAAAGCGCUAAAGAUAAGUUUCUACAAAAAAUGACCUAGAUCCAUCUUCUACAAAGAGCGACCUAGGUCCAAUUUUUAUUAGAGGUGGCCAUUGGGCCAGACGGCACGAGGCAUAGCACAGGCACAACACGUGUCCGUACAACAUGGCACGACACGAGUACAUUUCGGUAGAGCACGCGGCACAGCACGCACGUGGGCUAUGCCUAUGAUGCCUCCACCUCAUGAAUCAAAUUAUCCAUAUAAUGAUCAGAACUUCCCACAUCAGAGGCCAAGAGAAAAAAAAAAGGGUAACAAAAUAAUGUCCUUCUUUCUUUAAAUUCUCUUUCUAUAAUCAAAUUUGAAAUGCUGACUUGAGCAUCAGAGGGUCAUCGCCGGCAACCCCAGCACCCUUUGACAAUUCAUUUCUUUUUUGCAAAACCUUUGACAAUAGAAACUUUCAUAUCAUGGAGAGAUGAUUCACAAAGCUUAAUAUAAAAAGAAAUUUGUAGCAAAAAGUUAGUUAUUACGUGUCGAGUAAAAAAUUGCAAUGACAAUUUUUUUAAUAAUAUAAUAUUAUUAUUAUUUUCAACAAACAAGCAAUCAAACAUAUGCUUGCUAGAUUUCACUUUUAAAAAUUAUGUUAAAUUAAGCUAGCAAAUAUGUUUUUAUAUUCAUCAAAAUUAAUUAUUUUUAUAUUAUAAAACAAAAAUAAAAUUUUCAUUUAAAAAAUAAUACCAAAAAAGAACUUAGCAUGUGUUCAGUCGAAUCCAAAGUGACAGACCAAAUAUAAAAUAUAGCGCCUUUACUUUACUGUGCAUGCAUAUAAAUCACUGAUUCAGCAAUUUUUUUAUUUUAUUAGUUUUUAAUAAUAUAAUAUUAUUAUUUUCAACAAACAAAUAAUCAAAUAUAUAUUUGGUUGAUUUCAUUUUUAAAUAUCAUGCUAAAUUAAACUACCAAAUAAGUUUUAAUAUUCACCAAAAAUAAUUAUUUUUAUAUUAUAAAAUGCCCAAAGGGCAACUCUUCGGCAAAGCGCCAAAUGUAUAUUUCUACAAAGAACGACCUAGGUCCACUCUUUAUAAAGAAGGACCUAGGUCCAUUCUAAGUAGAACGCCCUUCAAAAAAGCGCCAAAGGCAUGUGUCUACAAAGAGCGACCUAGGUCCAUUCAUUAUAAAGAAUGACCUAGGUCCAUUUUCUAUGAAUAAUGACCUAGAUGUUCAACAAUUACUUGGAAGUAACAUUCUACGAAUGUUACAUACAUGUGAAAUGCUACAAAACCAAUCCUCUUUACGAGGAACCAACAUAAAAGCUGAAGUGCUCGAGCCCAACGAAGAUUAAGAGCUUGAAAUCAUGACAAGUGUUUAAAGAAGACUUGUCAAUGAGGAAGCUUGACACGUAAUGACAGGUGUCUUUAUGCAUGAGUUUUGCGGACACUUGUCACUAAAACAAUGCCACGUGUCAUUAUGAUGCCUCCACCUCAUGAAUCAAAUUAUCCAUAUAAUGAUCAGAACUUCCCACAUCAGAGGCCAAGAGAAAAAAAAAAGGGUAACAAAAUAAUGUCCUUCUUUCUUUAAAUUCUCUUUCUAUAAUCAAAUUUGAAAUGCUGACUUGAGCAUCAGAGGGUCAUCGCCGGCAACCCCAGCACCCUUUGACAAUUCAUUUCUUUUUUGCAAAACCUUUGACAAUAGAAACUUUCAUAUCAUGGAGAGAUGAUUCACAAAGCUUAAUAUAAAAAGAAAUUUGUAGCAAAAAGUUAGUUAUUACGUGUCGAGUAAAAAAUUGCAAUGACAAUUUUUUUAAUAAUAUAAUAUUAUUAUUAUUUUCAACAAACAAGCAAUCAAACAUAUGCUUGCUAGAUUUCACUUUUAAAAAUUAUGUUAAAUUAAGCUAGCAAAUAUGUUUUUAUAUUCAUCAAAAUUAAUUAUUUUUAUAUUAUAAAACAAAAAUAAAAUUUUCAUUUAAAAAAUAAUACCAAAAAAGAACUUAGCAUGUGUUCAGUCGAAUCCAAAGUGACAGACCAAAUAUAAAAUAUAGCGCCUUUACUUUACUGUGCAUGCAUAUAAAUCACUGAUUCAGCAAUUUUUUUAUUUUAUUAGUUUUUAAUAAUAUAAUAUUAUUAUUUUCAACAAACAAAUAAUCAAAUAUAUAUUUGGUUGAUUUCAUUUUUAAAUAUCAUGCUAAAUUAAACUACCAAAUAAGUUUUAAUAUUCACCAAAAAUAAUUAUUUUUAUAUUAUAAAAUAAAUACAAAAAUAUUACUGAAAAAAUAAUACCUAAAAAAGCUUAGCAUGUGUUCAAUCGAAUCAAAUGUGAGCCAUGGAAUAUAAAAUAUAGCUAUUUACUUUACUGUGCAUACAUAUAAACUGCUGUUUUAAUAAUUUUUUUGUUUAUUAUUUUUUAAAAAAUAUAAUAUUAUUAUUUUCAACAAACAAACAAUCAAACAGAUUUUAUUUUUAAAUAUUAUUUUAAAUUAAGCUGCCAAAUACGUCUUUAUAUUCACCAAAAUUAAUUAUUUUUAUAUUAUAAAAUAAAUAAAAAAUAAUACCAAAACGUAGGGAUGGCAAAAUAACCCGGACUCGGCCCGGGCCCGGACGAAUCCGGAUAAUUCGGGCUAGGUUGAACCCAUAUGGGAGUGUAAAAAAAUCUGGAUCCAGAAUAAAUUUUAAUAAUCUGGAUGGAUCAAGGUCCGAUUCCGAGUUUGGGAUAACCCGUAUAUCCGGAACCCAGACCCAGAUAUUCUUAUUUUAGCAUAAUAUUUAAAUAAUUUUUUAAUAUAAAAAAGGGAAAAAAUGUUGAUGCCUUAAUCAUCCUUUUCGUCCUCCUUCUUUUCUCUUCUCUUUCUUUUCUACUUUCACAGCCGCCUCUCUUCACCUUUUUCUUUUCUCUUCAUCAAAUCAUCAUUUUCGUUCUCAUUCACUUCUUCUCUUCAUCAAAUCAUCCUUUUUCUCUUCAAUUAUUCUCUUCAUCAAAUCAUCGUCAUCACUCCUCAUCGCUUCGCUUCGCUGUGUUCGCAUUCAUCAUCAUCACCAGCCUUCAUUUGGCUGUCGUUUCUCCAUUGCGAUCUCUGUUUUGGCUGUCGUUCAUCCGCCUUUUGCGAAUUGCGCUGGCGGCUGUGACGUGUUCAUCAUCAUCAUAUCAUCAGCCACCGAUGUUCAUUACUUCGCCGAACACCGAUUGUUGAAGUUUGUGAACCAAAUCCGUGAAUCACGAUUUUGAGUUGUAGACAUGGAUUUGUAUUUUGUGAGUGUAUGUCAUGGAUCUGUAUUUGUAAAUGGUUUAUUGUUUUGAAAUUAAAAAUCUAUAAAAUUAAAAUGGUUUAUUACUUUGUAUUUGAUUUAUGUUGAAUCUGGUUUUGCAAAUUUGUAAAGUGUAUUUGAUUUUUUUUUUUAUUUGUAUGUGAUUCGGGUUGAAAACCCGCAAUCUGAAAACUCGUAAUAAUCCAGGUUUAACCCGUUCCGGACCCGGUAUCACAAAAACCGGGUUUAAAUCCAAGUUCGGUAUAACAUUUUAGUAUUCGGGUCCGGAUCCGGAAAGGCCAAACCCGGACCCGGACCCAGAUUUUACCAUCCCUACCAAAACGUACCCGUAAUAUCAUUGGACUACAAGUAAUGUUAAUCAUGUGGAGGUUACUAAAAAUGGUCGGCCAGAAGUAAAAGUGUGCUACUUAGUGGCGAAUUGUACUGUUUGUUAAAAAUUGGGAUAUGCUUAGUUUCACUAAGCCAUAUUUUUUCAGAAUCACAUCGGCCAAAAAAUAUGGUUUGCUGCCACUCAUUAUUGGAUCGGAUGCAAAGAAUGUAGCAGAUAUGAUGUUAAUGAAGGCUAUGCGAAUACAAACUAUAGAGUGUUCUUUUUUUAAAAGAAAGUAAUUAUAGAAUUAGGGUAUGUUCGGGUUGCAUUAGGUUCCCAUACAAUUCCUAUAAAGAUUCUCAAAUAAUCAACUUUUCAAAUAAUUUCCUAAAAUAUUUGGUAAAUCAAGAUUAUGAGAAAAUCACUUGUUAAAUAAUUUGUAAAACGUGCUUGAUGAUAAAUCAUAAAUGUGUCAUGGCUGGGUACGUUGACCAAAUAGUUCAUAUUUGCGGUAAUAAUAAAAAUGUAACCAUUUAUCUUCCGAUAAAAAUAAUUCAUUUAGCAAAUAAAUAAUCAUUCAAUAAACAAAAUAUAUGAAAUUUAAUAAAAUUGUUCCAUUAUCAAAAUGUGUACCAUCCCAGCAUAGACUGUUGGUUUGAAAAAUAUUUUACAGCGAAAAUAUCUAGAUCGCAAUUCUCAUACAAUAUAUAAAAUUAGCAUAAUCUAGAAAUUGUACUUUUGUUUUUUUGUUAAAGUAAUCUAGGCUCCCAGAUCACGAUCCGUCAUCACCAAUCUUGUUAGAUCACGAUCUAUCACCAAUGAUCUUCCAGGUUAUGACUCAAGUUUAACCUGCACUUGACGUGUGAGCGCCUUUAUCACUAAUAAAAGCAACUAGCAAGAGAAAAUAUCUCUAUCAAAAUUAGAGAGAAAAACUUUUUUCUCUGAUCCGUAUAUUGUGGCUCCUCUCACCCUUUAGAGAAAACAAAUCCUUUUAUAUCUCUAUUUGGUGGAAACCCUAGACUCCAUAUUUAUAUAUUUUUUAAUUCUAUUAAAUCAAAUUUGAUUUAAAUUAAAAAAAUAAUAAAACUAAAAGUGGCGUUACUUUUUUUUGUUAUAGGGGCCCACCUUGUAAAAUAACACAAGGCCCCUUACACACAAGCAUAUUAAAUGAAGCCUCCCACUAAAUUAUAUAUUUAGGCUUUUAACUCAAAUAACUAGUUAUCUUACUUUAAAAGUGGCGUUACUUUUUUUUGUUAUAGGGGCCCACCUUGUAAAAUAACACAAGGCCCCUUACACACAAGCAUAUUAAAUGAAGCCUCCCACUAAAUUAUAUAUUUAGGCUUUUAACUCAAAUAACUAGUUAUCUUACUUAUUAAUCCAGUAGCGGCGCAGUCAAUUAAAUGAGCUAACCCGGGGAUCAUAUGGGUAGGUACAAAAAUGGCUACAAUAAUUAAGUCUGUAAUUAAACUAGUCCAAUUAUUUAAUUCCAAAUCUACUCCACUAAAAGAUUGGAAUUGAUCUCCAUAAUUGUAUGCUAUGUAGGAUAGUGUUCUCGAAAAAUAAUUCGACUCAUGCCAUAUUAAUUUCUUUACUAAACAAUCCUUUGUACCACAUCGCUAAAUAAAUUGAUAUCUCAACUGUCCAAUCAAUUUAAUUACAUCUUGUUCAUUGACACUUACUGGUUUUCUCUAAUGAUCAUUUUCAACAUACUAAUUACGUUGACACACUCUAGCCAGAGAAUUCUAUGAUCAAGUGCCGAAAACCCAUCAAGAGAUGUGUUGUACAAAUUCUAUAUUGUUAAUCUAUAAUCUCACUACUCAUAAUUGCUUCCACCAAGAUACUGGGUAAUCUUGACUAUAAAUGUAUGUCGCGCCCAUUGGUAACUCAAAUGAAAUGACAAUCACAAACAUGAAACCAUAAUUAACUCAAGAUUAAGAUUGCAAUAAAAUCAAUGCCUAUGAGAUUUAAUAAGUCUGACAGUCAUUUCAAAGUUAAUUAAAUCUUAUAUGUGAUUCAGUUCAAUGCAGUCAAACUACAUUAGUAAAUUCAUACAUGAUUAAGACAAAUCAUUCAAUGAAUUUACUAUAGUCUAAACAUAAAUAGAGCAUUCAACUCUAUUUAUCAACUACGAACUUAAUUUAUUUAAUCACAAGAUAACUUGUAUUUAUGUCUUCUGUGAAUCUAUAUGAUGAUCACAUAAAUACAUAUAAUAUGAUUAAACGGAUCUUAUUCAAAAUAUUUAUGUAAUUGAAAAUAUCUCAAAUAUUUUAUUAAUCUAAAAAUAAAAUAAUUAAUAUGGUUUAAAGAGCACAUAAUCCCAACACAAUCGACUGACAUUGUUACCUUUAGUCCACAAAAAUGGUACCAAAGUGAAGAUUGGCGGCAUGAAACCACUACAUAAUGGUCAUUGCUUGUCGAUCUAUUAAAUAGCAAUGGCAUUGCAUCAAAUAUUCCCCAAUUUUGAUGGUGGUGUGCGGUGGUUGUUGUACUAUUUGGAGUGUAUGCUUUGCCACCAUCUCUCAUUUUCCAACUGGAACAUUACAAAUACAUAGGUCAUAUGAUUUUGAGUUUGAUAGUAUUGGUGGUAUCCAAAUAGCACUUUCACAAUCACCGACAAUGGCAUUGGUGAGGUCACUAGUUACCAAAAAUAAUUUUGGUUUUUCAAUUUUAUUUUUAAUUUUAAAUUUUAAAUAUUAAAAAUUACAUUUUUUUAGUGUAGGGAUAUUUUUGAAAGUUUGCUAUAAAAUUAGGGUAAUAUUGUUAUUGCAAAUUACAAAUCAAAAUUUUAAAAUCUACUCUUAUAAACUUUUAAGAGUUACUUCAAAAACAAAUUAUUUCAUAAAUAAGAUUUUGUGAUGAUCACUCUUGCUAUGAGUUUACCAAAUAUAUUUGAGGUAAUGGAUUAUCAAGUAAGUGAUUAUUUGGCAAUCUAAAGCAAUCCUAAACAUACACCUAGGUCCUAUUUAGGAUUGAGAUGCUAUAAUUUUUAAGCUAAAACUACUGUGGAAAAAAAAAUUGUAAUUAUCAAACAAAAGUUAAUAAUAUGUAGUAAAUAUAAAUUUUAAAUAAUAAUUUUGACAAAAUUAUUAAAGAUAUAAUAGAUUUUCUAUUAUACAAGUGAAAAAUCAUAUCAAUAUAACUUCCAAGUUACAACAGCUAAUGUUUACCAAACACUUUAGUACUGUAUUUUUUAAGUGACAGCUGUCCAACCUCAAUCCCAAAUAUACUCUUAGAUUGUCAUUAUCUUAAAAGGUAAGAAUCAUAUGGCCUCCAAUCUUCAACUCUUCAAAUCAAAAUUUGAGAAAUGCUGUGGAGUCACUCUCUAAUUUAUCCAAAUAUGCUUUAUGAUUAGAUUUUAUCCCUGCACAUUUAUUUUUUUUAAAAAGUUGAUUCAUGAGCCAUUCAUUCUCCCUAAAGCACACUAAAUCUUAAUUUUCUCUCUCUCCAAAUGAUCUGAAUAUCUUGCAAAGGUGGUAGCCCAUCUGGAUUCUUUGAUGGUGUAAUGUCAGCAAACUAAGUUAGUAAUGGUUGCACUUCUUCAUGAACAGUCUUCACCUCGAACUCAUCUUCUUUUUCUAGCUUAUUGCAACCUUCACAAUCUUCCUCCAAAGACCCUUCACAAUGGUCAAAAAAUUAUUCCUCUAUAUCCUAGAAUUCUUAUUCUAGUUCGUUAAAGGCACUGAAUGAACCUUCUUCCUAUCUACCAAAACUUAUACACAUUAUUCCUUCCUCUAUGGAUUGCAUCAACAUUGAACUGCCAAGGUCGUCCUAGUAACAGAUGAGACACAUCCAUAACUACUAUAUCGCACAUCACAUAACUUUUAUAAAUCUUUCUAGUAGAGAAAGAAACACGACACACCUUUUUUACAUGUGCUUAUGUAAAGUGCUGAAUUUUUUUUGUUAAAAGUCCCAUCAUGUCAACCGACGCUUUUAAAUUAUGCUCUCCCUGCUACCACUAUCAAUUAUCACAUUGCACGCCUUAUCGUUGAUAGUGUCACGUGUUUUGAAAAUCUUAUUUCACUGGCUAUCUUUUUUUAUCUUUAGCGCCAAUAAAACCUUCUACAUAAUACAAUUCAACAUCUCCUCUUCAUCUGCUUCUAACUCUAGGGCUUCUUCAUCAUUCGCAUCUAUAACAUUAUCUACUUCGCCAACUUCAGCCUCUACCAAAUUCAAAUUUUUUGUACAACAGUCAGUCGAUCAAUGCCCUAAUUCCUCACAUCAGCAUAGGCUUUACGUCUGGGUUAUUAUAUAUAUGUGGUUCGUAUUGCUAUUGCCUUGGUGAUUGUUGUCUAGGUGGCUGCUGUCUUAGCUGUUGCUAUCAUGGUUGUUGUGCCUGACUACUACCUACCCAUGUUUUAUGCUUAUUUUUAACCCCAACACUGCUUGGUUUAUUCUACACACUAAUGAAUUGUUGUUGAGUUCUAAAAACUACAUUUUGCUUCCGUUCUUCCAAUUUCUAUGUACCCAUGUCCCAAAUGGCAUUUACAAUCUGAUCUUGUAUCUCUUGUUUUAAUCCACCAAGAUACUUCGCAACUAUCCACAACUCUAGCUUAUCCAUAUUGUUUCUUGUGUGUAGAUGAUAAAAUUCCUUUGUAUAUUCAUCGACAUGCGUUCCCUUGUUUGCAGUUUUGAUAUUUUACAUACAACUACUGUUGAUAAUCCACUGGUAGGAAAUACUCUUUCAUCAUCCUCUGCAUUCUAGGCCAUGAUUUGAUAAGUGGUUUCACUGCAACUCUUCUUCGAUUCUCUACAUGUUGCCACUGUGCAGAUGAUGUGCGCUUAAACUUGAAUGCCACAAGCUUAACCCAUUUCUCUUGGGGAAUCUCCAUAUAUUAGAAGAAAUUCUCUAUAUCUGCUAUCCAAUCUAAAAAUUCGUCAACAUGCAUUCCGCUAUAACAAUCUGCAAUAUCAAUAUUAAUCUUGUAAUCUGAAUUCUUUUUACACUUCCCGUCAUAAUCCUCUAUCUUUUUUUUCGAAUUACUCUAUCACUCUUCACGCACAUGUAGCUGCACCCGCCUUGCGAGUUCUAAAUUCUGAGGAAUUACUUUGCGAUUGAUGCCUAAAGGCACUACAUCACGAUUAAAGCCUUGAUGUAUCUCUUAAUAGUAAUAAUCUUGAGGUUGUUCUUCACGAUUUACUCUUACAACAACUUCCUAACGAUUAACUCCUUCCUGCUAUUCUCUCUCUGUCAUGGAAAUCAUGAGACCCUUGAUUACUUGCUCCAUCGCUGCCAUUCUCGGGUUAUACAUGUCCUCCAUGACUUGCAAGACUACUUCUCUUACCAUAUGUCUGAUAGUCUCCAUAUACGUUGUCUGCAUCCCUUGGUCAACUUCUUCGAGGUGGUGCUCCUUUGUUUAUGUGGUCGUACAAUGAUGACAGGUGAACCUGCUCUAGUACCAACCGAUGAAGUGAAAACAUAAAAGGUUGAAGAUAGUUAAAACAAGGUUUCUAAAUAAUGAAGUUUACGGAGAAAUAUUGAAUUGAUAAAGCUAGGGCUUUGGCCUCUUUAUAUUUGAAAUAUUAUUUUAUAAUAAAAUUCUCCUAAUCUAAAUAAGAAAAAGAACAAAUGGUGUCCAGAUCCAAAUUCAAAAAAAAAUAUAUAAAAAUUUUAGAAGAAACAGAAAAAAUGGGGAAAUAUCUUAAAAUUAAAAAACGAUCAGGAAAGAAGUAGACUUUUUGACUUGACCACAGUGCAGAACGACACAUGGAGUUUUGGGUUUUUUUUAUCACGACCUUUGAAACAAUAUAUUAUACGCCGAAACCAGACACCUGUAGCCCAAGUUAUGGCCUCCAGAAGGUAUCCUGCUCGUCAUAAACAACAUCUUACAUCAUCAUUGAAAAAAAAAAGCAAUGUCGGUGGCUUGUGAUUCAAGCGUUGGCAAAUUUUGUCGAGGGCAUCUAUAACUUCCCAUGUUGGCAACAAUGAAUUAGGCCUUGAAGAGCAUCUCAUAUCUGUAAGUCUUAUGCAAUCCGAGAAGCAUUGGAAAACAAAUCAAACAAGAUUUGUUCUAGUAUAAGCUUUGCUUUCAAGGUGGCCUCCUUUUGAAUACAAGAAAAUAUAUUCAAUAUAUAUAAAUGAAACAGAAGAAAAUAGUAUAUAUAUAAUGAAACAGAAGAAAUUAGUAGUGUGAAAAAUGGAGAGGAGAUGAUGAUGACCCGUUUCAAUGAGUUAUUUGCAUAGCUAGUGCCUCAUUCUCCUCCAUUCAUGUACAUAACUUGUUCUAUUUCCAUGGCUUCAUAUUUGCAAGAGACUUCCUCUAAUUCCAUUGCCCUUCUAUGUGGCUCCAGAGAAAAGAUUCUUUCCAAGUAUUUUUUGAAAACUCUUUAGAAAUAGUAUAAAGAAGGUAAAUUUCAAUCUUUUUAAUUCAUGAACAAAAAGGCUUAAUUUAUACAAGUAUUUGAAAUAUGAAAAAGGAAUUGAUACAAUUGAUAUAAUUCAAGAAUAAUGAUUGAUUAGUAAAAAAUGAGUUAAUCAAUUUUUAUGUUUAUUUACAAUCAAUCUUUCUUAAUAAAUCAUUUGAUUGAUUGUUCUGUUUCCAUGAAUUUUGUUUGAUUCUUAUCAUCCUCACUCAAUCCAGCAAGGGAAAUGUUUUUAAACUCUUAACUUGCCUUCAAAAACUAUAAAUACUUUAUUUUUAUUUACAAUCUCAUAACUGUCAUGCAAAAAAAUUAGAAAGCAUUCCUUUGAAGUUUGUCUAAGAAAUCUUUCAAUUAUUUUCAUGUACACUUUUUUUUAAAGACUGGGAAAAAUCAAAAGUAAUAAACUCUUUUGAUCAAGGAAUUCUUUUAAUAUAAAAGCUGUUCCUUUGAUUUUUUUAAAUAAAAUCUUCACUCAAGCAUUUUAUCUUCAUUCCUUCAAUUUCGACAUUGAGUUUUUUUUUUUUUUUUAUUUAGGAGGGAGGUUGCUCAUUUGUCCCUACCAAAAUCAAUAGAUAAACUUACCUCCUAAGUUUUUUCAUAAUAAUCAAUAACCUCCCUACCAUCAUAAUUUUAUAAUAUUAUCCUUAUUUUUAAAUAUACUUUGAAUCGUGUUUAUUAUUAAUUAAAUAAAUUAUAUAAAUAGAAAUUAAAACAAAAAAUUUAAAUACUAAAAAUAAGAAUUUUUUUUGUGUGAAUAAAAAAUUAAUAAUAAGAUAUUUUUCUUAUACAUUUUUGUUAUUUUUAAAUAUCUUUCUUUAUAAUAAAUAUAUAUUUUAUAUUCCCAAGGUAAAAUAUCAAGUAAGUGACCCAUUUCUUUUCCUUUAAAUUAUUUAUACGAGAAGGGGUUAUUGACUAUUGUAAAAAUAAUAAUGGGUAAAGUGAUAUAAAUUGAUUUCAAAAGAGGGAAAACUAGCAAUAUCCCUAUUUAGAAAACCAUUCCAUUGACUUGUCAAGAAAAACAACAAUUUUGAGGAUUCCUUUUUAUUCCCUUUUUCUUUUGACAUCUUUCCUUUGUGAUGGUGGAAGUGGUGGUGGCAGUGAGAUUUUUAUUUUUUUUUUCAGUGAAGAAAUUAAUAACAACUAAGAAGGAUCUCACAUCUCCCCUAUUUAGAUCACCAUGCUCCAUGGCUAAACCCACGAAUUUGAAGACUCUCAAUCCCAUCAAAUACCACGAAAACGUUUUAGAAAUAUUGUAAAGAAGAUAAAUUUCACUCUUGUUAAUUCAUGAGCACAAAAGCUCAAUUUAUACAAGUACUUGAAAUAUGAAAAGGAAAUGAUAAAAUUAAUAUAAUUGGGGAAUAAUGAUUUAUUAGCAAAAAUUGAGUCAAUCAAUCUUUCUUAAUCAAUAAUUAAGAUGAAGGAAAUCAAUCAUUUGAUUAAUAAUUUUGUUUGCAUCAAGACUGUUUGAAUUUUAUCAUUAUUUCCAGUCGUAAGGAUGAAAAUAGAAAAUAUAUUAGCACAUAAAAUUGUCAAGUUGUAAAUUGUGUAGUAUCAAAGACAUGAGAAAAACUAUUAUGGAACAAACGCAUGUGUUAUAUAUGUGACUAUGUGAGCCCUUUCGAUAAUAUAUUUUGACACAUAUAUUAUACAUAUAUAUUUUGAUGUUGACUAAUUAAUCAUAAUAAAAGAAAUAAUCAUUGCUUACUGUAUGUGUAAGAAUAUUAUCACAUUAAUUUGUUGAAGGAUAUCAAUAACAAUGAGUGAAUGGAUUUUAAUGGAACUCUCUCAUCUAUAUUUUCGGUUUAAUGGAGUUUAAUGUGUACUAGAUGACAAAAAAAGUUGCAUUAUUGUGCUUAAUUUUUAAAAGGGAAAGUCCUCGCAUCAUACCAUCCUUUGAGGAGUUUUACUUAAAUAAAAAGAAAAAAGAAAAUCGAACCAUCCAUAAAAUUAUAUUCAUAUCCUCUUCAAAUCCAAAGUUUGAAAUUUAAAUUUUAUGUUUAUUAAAAUAAGUUUAAUAGACAAAUUAAAAAAUCUAAGUAGAGUUUCACUCUUCAAAGUUCAAACCCUUAUUAUUAUUUUAUCUUCUUAUUUUUCAUCACAUGAGGUUCGUAGUGACAUUGAUGUAGGAUGUUAUUUUAGGAUUUUAGGAUAUUAGGAUUUUUUUUUCAUUUUUUAAUAUCUUCUAUUAAAAAAGUAGAGUUAAUUAUGGUAUGGGCCGGUGCUCUCAAUAAUAUUGAGGGCAUUAGUUUGAGUUCUCAUGGAGCCUCCUCUUAUUUUCCACCAAAAAAAAAAAAAUUAAACUAUUUAUGGGUGGGUUUAUUAUGUCCAAUGUCAUUAGUGAAAGUAGUGAAUUUCUGAGCUAAUCCCCAUAGAUUUUUAAGUUAUAAAUGCAUGUAUCUGAAGUAUUAAUAGGUAUAACUCUAGAUGGUAGUAUAUCUGUGUAGAUUGUAAUCACGAAAAAUAAAUAUAAGUUAUUAACCUGAGUUUUAAUUUGUUCUAUUACGUGCAUUCCUGAAUUUAAUUAUAAAUAGCACUAAGAACAAGUUUUCACAAAGAAUUGAAUAAAAAAUCUUCUCCAAAGGGCAAAGGCUGUCAAAGAAAAAAAUAGAUUAAUUUCUUUCUUAUAUUCUAAUUUAAAAUGAUAAAAACUAAAACAUUAAGUAGAAAAAAAUAAUUGUAAGAAAUUUUAUUGGUGAAAUGAUAUGUUAUAAAAUGAUAAUAUCUAUAAUAAUAAUAACAAAAAUAAUAGUAAUAAAAAGUGCUUAAAUAAAAGCAUUGGAUACUUGCAGCACGUGGGUCCCAUUGAAAUACCAACAUAAAACAACAUAAAAUAACAAAAGAAAAAUACAUUGAUAUAUAACCUAAAUUAAUACGAACCAUAGUAAUUUUACGUAAAGUGAUACGUAUUUAAGAAAACACAAACAAACAAACAAACGGCAACAACAAUGAGGACAACAGAGCCUCAUGUAAGACAAGAACUGAAAGCAAUAAAUAUACAAAACAUUUAUUUUAUUUUUUUGGAAAUAACAUAAUUCAUUUCUUUAUCAAGUAAAUGAAGAGAACUGUGUGAGCUCCUAGCCCCAUUUCCAAAUGUGCACUUAUCUUGAUUGUAAAUCGAUGGAACAAAUCAUCCAUGAUUGCACUUCCAAAAUGAUUGGCCAGAAGGGACUCUGAGACUGCUCUUAUAUUAUUUGCCACGUGCUUGGCUCUUGCGUGCUUGUUAAACUCCAAGCCUUUGUUAUCAUUCUCAUAGCCCACUGACCAACUUAUAUGUGAUGUUUCAAGCUGAUGGAUGUUAAAGGAUCCUUCUCUUUCGAUAACUUGUCUUACUUCUUCAACACAAGGGUAAUAGAUUGGAUAAUUGAAUGACUCCAAUUUUGAUUCUUCAAUCAAACCCUAAAUAAGUUCAAAAGAGAGUAAAUCUCCUUAAAAUAUGUAUAAUUUUUACACACAUAUAAAUAUUUGUUACAAUAUAACAUCUUUAAUGAGAAUUUACCUAAAAAUUUUCAUAUUUUCUAUAUGAAAAUAUGAAAAUUUAUAUAUAUAUAUGAAAAUAUGAUAAUGUGAAAAUAUGAAAAUAUGAAAAUUUUCAUAUUUUCAUAUAUAUUUUCAUAUGAAAAUAUAACACAUAUAUUUUCAUAUAUGAAAAUGUGAAAAUGUGAAAAUAUGAAAAUAUGAAAAUAUGACACAUAUAUGAAAAUAUGAAAAUAUGAAAAUAAAGUUCAUAUAUAUAUAUAGAAAGAGAGAGAGAGAGAGAAAUAUUUCAGUCAUGAAUUUUAAAGUGCGGGAAACCUUUAAAACAGCAUGGUUUGUAAGCCUUUAAAGCCGUGUGGUUUUAAAAUUUUCCUGGACUUUUCUGCACUUUAAAAUUCCUGACCAAAAAACUACUAUAUAUAUAUAUAUAUAUCAUCUUAACUAACUUUGUGCAAAUAUACUUAUAUGCAUUUGUUCAAGAGAGAGAGAGAGAGGAUACCUCAUAGACCAUGUCAUUCAACACCAUUCCCAUUAACUCAAAAACACCCGUAUGGUGUUUGUCAUUACCUAUAAAGUUAAGAAUCAUACGACCUCCAAUCUUCAAUUCUUCCCAUCGAAAAUUGAGAAAUGAUGUGAAAUCACUUUCAAAUUGAUCCAAGUAUGCUUUAUGCACAUUAGAAGGGCUACAGGUUUUUGCUACGCAGACAUCCCUUUUAUUUAAUAAAGGAAUUCCACAUUCACUUACUAACUCUUUGGGUACCUGUUAAAGCAUAAAAUUGACGCAUUAUAAGAAUAUGAUUUUGUACACCAUUCUUUAAAAGAAUAAACGGUACCUGAGAGAGCCAAUUAAGACAGAAAGAAGAGUAAACCAAGUUUAGGAAACAUGGAGGAAAUAGCCUUCCAUAGAGAGACCCAGGGGCUACACCUAUGAAACAUGAACCAAAAUCGUCAUUGCGCUUUUCUGUCUUCAAUCUCUCAUAAAAGCUUGGAAGAGAUUUGGAAAGAGUAUUGAAAUCAUUUCCAGGAAGAUCAUUGAGAAAAGCAUGCAAUAUUGGUGGCUUAUGUUUCAAGCGGCUGCAAAUAGUGUCCAGUGCCUCUAUAGCUUGCCACGUUGGCAAAAAUGCAUUAGGCCCUGAAGAACACCCCAUAUCUGUAAAUCUGAUGCAAUCUGGGAAGCCAUUGCUAUACAAAUCAAACAAGCUUUCAUGCAGUAAAGGCUUUGCUUUCAAGAUUGCCUCCCUCUGAGAAAAAAAUGGAAAAGAAAAGAAAAUUGAUAAACAGAAGAAAUUAAAGUGUGAACAUCAAGAGAGAGGGAAAGUGAGAUUGAAGUUUAUAAAUUAAAUUGACCGGUGGCGCUGAGUUUUUUGCAUAGCUGUUUUCUCCUUCUCCUCCAUUCAUGAACAGAACUUGCUCUACUUGCAUGACUCCAUUUUUGCUAGAACCUUGCUCUAAUUCCAUACCUCUUAUGUGUGUGAAUGAUCUUCGUCGUGUUCCUUGCUCUAAUUCUAUGGCACUUAUGGCUUAUAUACAGAAAUCAAUGGAAUUUAAUGGGACUGUCAUCUAAAUUUUUCCCUCGAAAAAUAAUUAUUUUCAGUUUCACUCGUGACCGGGCUACCCCUUGUGUGCUAGAUGACAAAAUAAAAAAAAAUUAUUAUUUUGCUUAAUUUUUAGAAGGAAAAGUGUUCAUAUUGCACCGUUUGCUUUGAAAAAAAAAGGAAAAAUUGUACUAUCCAUAAAAUUAUUUUAAUAUCCUCUUCAAACCCAAAGUUUUGAGAUUACAAUUUUAUGUUUGAUUGAAAUUACAAUAACAGCCAAAUUAAAAAAAAAAAUCUAAUUAGAAUUUCACUCUUCAAAGUUCAAACUUCAAACCCCUGUUAUUUGUUUCUCCCUUUAUUUUUCAUCAGUGAAGUUCUUAGUCGCAUCAGAUGACAGUGAAAUUCAGCGAGAUGAAGCCGUGAGGCUUUUGAAUUGAAUGAAAUAAUUUUCGGUAGGUGCUAACAAUUAUUAAUUAGAUUAGGGUCCUCUUCUUCUCCUAAUUAAUUACUCAAGUCAAGAUAAAGAGGAAGCCUUGGUCAAGAUAAAGAGAAAGCCUCCCCACCUCAAAUGUAAGUGUAUGCGUGGGCGUAUAUGAAGAUAAUUAAUUAAAAACAUAUUAAAAGUUCUUAAACAUAACAGUGGCCUUUUAAUUUGUACUUUUUCUGAGUUCUAAGCUUGGCUGGAUCACCAGAUUUCACCGUUCACACAGCAAAUUACAUUUUCAGUGAUUUCACAAUAUAACUUGAAUUAAGGCCCUAACACAUCAACAGUUGUGGUUGGCAAAUGCAUUUUCUUAUAUAGUUUAAUUAACACGCCUCAAUAUCGGCUAUGUUUGGUUGAGACUUUGAGACUUCGUUGCCAACACUCAACAAUAAAUGGUUUUGUAAUCGGUGCUUGAUAUAUUUGGGAUUGGAUAUCGACGUAAUGUUAGGUAUGAAAAAGUGUACUCGCACCCGGCCCUUAUUACCUAAUAUGACGAGCCCUUACGGGGAUUUUCGCCAUGCCCAUUGUUAUAUAGGUAGAUUUUUAAUUUCCAGAUGACAAUUCUGGUUACAAAUUGUAAUCAAACACGUACUAUGAAAGUAGCCACAGCCCACCCACAUGUUCAGUCUCUGUAUCUGCAAAAUAUUGUUGUUCACAGGCCAUUGACAGGCGUUGUCCUUACUUUCACUGCCGCACUGCGAGUGCGAGAGAUACUUUGCUUCAUCAAAUUCAAUAGUCCCUCCCCUUUUACUUCGACAUUGGAACUUUCUUAGGCCUUCGUGGGCUUAUUGAAUUUGACUGUAUUAUUUAAUUUGGGAUUUGCUGAUUUUCUUUUGGUCUUGUUGAUUAUAGGCCUCUUUCGGCCUUGUUGAAUCUAGUCCAACAUCAAUUGAAUUACCCAAUUCUUGUAGAAAAGGUACACGCCCUCAGAAAAAGUUUCAUCAACUACUAAUAAGUUAUUAAAUCCAUCACUGGAUAAAUUAUUGACACAAAAUAUUAAGAUUCUUAUUGCGAUAUCCACCAUUAUUACUAAAUAUAUUCAUACUAUAUAUAUAUAUACUCCUAAUAUAGACCAGGAUCUUAAAUUUUAUUACAGUCCAAAAAAGUUAUUAAGAUAUUUGAAUUAAUAAAUUAAAGUACAAGGUAAGCUAAAAGAAAAAAAAUAUAAAUUCAAUACAAUAUAUUUUAUCUUUUAUCCUGUCAUUUAUUUUAAAGUAAGGGACUCCAUUAUUGGAAGGGAACUAUGUAUUUAUAUAUAUUAACGAAGAUAAAAAGUUAUGAGCCGGGGCUCUCAAUAACAUUGAGGGUAUUAGCUCAAUUUCUCAUAAAUCCUCUAUUCCCUUUCCACAGAAAAAAAAAAAAAAAAAGGAAUAUGUAUGGUAGUUUUACGUGCAAUGUUAUUAGUGAAAGUAAUAAAUUUUUUAGCUAGUCUCAACAGAUUUUUAAAUUUUAUUAUAAAUGUAUUUAUAAAAAGUUUCAAUAAAUAUAACUCUCGAUAGUAAUAUAUCUGUGUAGAUUGUAAUCAUUAAAAAUAAAUAUAAAUUAUUAAGUUUUAAUUUGGUCUAUCAUGUGCAUUGUUGAAUUCAAUUAUAAAUGGCAGUGAGAACAAAUUUUCACAAUGAAUCGAAUAAAAUCUUGUCCAAAGGACAAAGGCUAUCAAAGAAAUGUGAUAGAUUAAUUUCUUCUUUAUAUUCUAUUUUCAAAUGAUAAAAAUUGAAACAUUAACUGGGAAUAAGUGAUUGUGAGAAAAUUUUAUUAGUAAAGUAAGAUAGAGUCAUUCUAUAAUGUCGUAAUGGACGUGAAUUGUUAAAUUUAAAUGAAAAAUCUCCACCAUUAAUUCUAAAUAAAUAGUUAAUAUAUUACCUAAGUAGCAAGUAAUUACCAUUUUUUGUUCAAGUUGCAGGGGGCAUUUACUAGUCUUAUUUGUGAUUUACAAAAUUAAUGUGUUAAUUGUCAUUUAAUGUUGAUUUACAAGUUUUAUGCAAUAUUUACAAGUUUUUAUUUUGUUUACAAUUUCUUCUUCCAAUUUACAACUUUAACAUUAAUUUACCCCAUUUUCCAUCAAUUUACUAGUCUUAUGUGUGGUUUAUAAAUUUUUUUGUUUCAUUUCACACUUAAUGUUAAUUUCCAAGUUUUACGUCCUUUUUCUAAGUUUUUGUUUUGUUUAUAAUUCUGAGACCAAUUUACCACUUCAACAAUAAUUUACCCAUUUUUCCUUCAAUUUGUGGUUUAUAAAUCUUUUAUUUCAUUUCACACUUAAAGUUAAUUUACCAAUUUUAUGACAUUUUUCUAAGUUCCUAUUUUGUUUGCAAUUUCUUAUUUCAAUUUACAACUUCAACAUUAAUUUACCCAUUUUUUCCUUAAAUUUACUAGCCCUACUUUUGGUUUUCAAAUUUUUGUUUCAUAUCACAUUUAAUGUCAAUUUACAAGUUUUAUGUCAUUUUUCUAAGUUUUUAUUUUGUUUAUAAUUUUGAAAAGCAAUUUAUUACUCUAGUAUUAAUUUACCAUUUUUUCUUUUAAUUUACUAGUCCUAUGUGUGGUUUACAAGUGUUUUGUUUCAUUUCGCACUUAAUAGUAAUUUACAAGUUUUAUGUCAUUUUUAUAAGUUUUUGUUUUGUUUACAAUUUCUUGUUCCAAUUUACAACUCCAACAUUAAUUUAUCCAUUUUUUCCUUCAAUUUACUAGUCCUACAUUUGGUUUCCAAAUUUUUUGUUUCGUAUCACACUUAACGUCAAUUUGUAAGUUUUAUGUCAUUUUUCUAAGUUUUCAUUUUGUUAACAAUUUUGAAGAGCAAUUUACUACUCUACUCUAACAUUAAUUUGCCUUUUUUUUUCCUUCAAUUUACUAGUCCUAUGUGUGGUUUAUAAAUUUAUUGUUUCAUUUUACACUUAAUGUUAAUUUACAAGUUUUAUGUCAUUUUUCUAAAUUUUUGUUUUGUUUACAUUUUCUUAUUCUAAUUUAUAACUCUAACAUUAAUCUACCUUUUUUCCAUCAAUUUAUUAGUCUUAUAUAUGGUUUAGAAUGUUUUUUUUUUCAUUUUAUAGUUAAUGUCAAUUUACUCAUGAACAUGGGCCCAGAAGCAUUCCACCAACCUUGUUUUUAAUUUCUUCCCUAAUUUUGAUUCGAUCUUUACAAUCUUGAUUGGGUCAUCUUGCUUUAUUCUCACGAAUUCCACUUCUUUAAUAGGCUUCUGCCUUCCUUUCUUGGAGUCUCCUCAUGUCUCCAUUGAGAUUAUCUGCAUGGUUUCCCUAGCCGCUAUUGUGUAACAACCCCUAGUAAUCUUCUGGUUGCCUUUCACAACUCCUAUCAUGCCAUUUACCCUGUAUUUCAAUGUAAGAUAAUAAUUAGACAUUACUGCUCUGCUGGUCCUCAAGAAAGGCCUGUUAAAAAUCUUUUAGUACAAACUGUCUUCAACCACCACAAAAUCUAGCACCAUAGUCCUUUCGAAAAGUCUCGCACCUAUUAUUACUGGUAGCUCAACCACCCUGUGGGGUGUCAAUCUUCCUUGGCCAAAUCAUUUUAAGGAGGUUCUAAUGUGCUCGAGUCUCAAAUAAGUAAUUCCCAUCUCAUGUAAGGUAGACUUAAAUAGAAUAUCCAUUGAGCUUCUUAAAUCCACAAGUAUUUUGUUAAACUCUGUGCUCGCAACAUUGACCUUUAUCACCAAUGCAUCCUCAUGCGGAUAUAGUGAUCAUUCUUCAUCGUUCUCUAUCCAUAUAAUUGGAACUUGCCUGGUUUUUGCUUGCUUUGCUGCUGGCAUAUUGAACAACACAUCACAGCUGAUCAUCGCAUAUCUUGUGUAGAUUUUACGAGCUCAAUUUAAAUCUUAAGCUAAUGUCGGACCUCUAACAAUGACUUUUGACCACCAAUUGUUCACCAUUUAUAUCAUCAGUAUUCUCUUCUGCAAUAAAUUAUUGAUCUGUAAUAAGAUGAAAACCUUCAAUGAACUCAUCAAGGUAACGAUUUUAUAUAAGAUCCUCCACUCGGUUUUUAACGUCACAAUAUUAGAUCAUGGUGUGGCCGUAAGUAUCAUAGAACUCAUAAAAUCUGCUUCGGCCUCGCUUGUUGGCCAUCUCUGUGAGCGGUGCAAGAGGAUAAAGUGAAUCUCAAUCCUUUAUUGCAUGGUAUAGCUCCUCUAUUGAAACUUUCAAAAGGGUGGACUGCCUAUAGGCAGUGCUCUGAUCAAUCAUCUACAUGACUCUAUUCCUUGGGAAAUUACUGUGAGAGAGGGUAGGCCAAUAAGGCACCAUGAAAAAGCAAACGCAAACAGAAGGAUAGAUAGGCGAGCAGCUCCUUAUGCGCGUUACUUAAAACAUCUACCAUUCUACUAAGAAAAAGUUCCACCACACCACUUUCAAAACCGAGAUCAUUGAAAAGAGCACAAUCAAUCACAAGAUCACUCUCAAUUUUUUAUAUAAUUCUCGUGCUCGUCCUUCCAAUGUCAAUGGGAAUGCUUUAAAUCUUUAUAGCUGAGUCAAGCCUUGCAUUCCAAUCAUAUCAUUGAAUUAUUCAAUGUAUACCAAAAAAUCUUUUUUUUAAAGAAUAUUUGAGACUGGAAAAGCAGAAAUCCUUUAGAAUUAUGGUGUGCACAAUUUCCUCCAACAGUGGGGAUUUGUUGUCCAGCAUGAUUCUCCAAAUUGGAGCUCUUCCUGACCUUGUAUUUCCUUAAUGACUUAUGUUAGCCUUCGUACCUCACAUUCUAAUUCCCUUAUGCGACUAGGAUUCUGCUCACUUACAUGUUCACGUUCCUAUUCAACGCCCCACAAAUACUGACGCAACUUUCUUUCUUUAGUAUUUACUUAUGCCUUCGCAUUUGUUGGGUUAUGCUUGCCAUGAAACAAAUUUCUUACUCCCAGACUCUGCACGGCAAAAAACUUCUUGUUAUUGGGCUGGGUAAAAUUUUGGUUCUUCCUUGAAUUACCUCCAUUAAACCUUCUCUAUUCGUCCCUCAAUUCAUGUAAAACUACAAUGAAGGUUUUUAUUUGCUUAUCUAUUCUUUCCAUUCUCUCAUGUAUUGCCCUUUCUCAAGGUUUAUUUGCUAUCUCUCGUACAGUCACAGAUUUGUUCACCCGUCCUAGACCCUUGAGCAUUGUCACCUCUAAUGUUCAUGUCUUUUUCCUCAUACAUGUAUCCUCCUUCUUUGAUUUUCUCUGGUACAAGCAACUUUUCGUUUUGUCCCCAUAAACAGCACCAAAAUGUCGAUGCAGAUAUUUGGUCGAGAAGUGUUGCAAUUAGACAACCACCUCAACAUUUAAAUUUAUUUGAUGGGAGACGGCACUUGCUCACACCUCUUUGCUUUAAGUAGAAUCUUGCGACCAUGAGCACUUUUUAAGAAAUUCACAUGUGUUCAUAAAGAAUGGUUAGGGGGACGCCAGAUAUUUUUCUGACGUGAACCUUCCAAUGCUCAAGUCAGUAAUCAGGCCUUUUUGGGAAAAAUUCUAUGCCACCGCUCUCAUGGCUUAGUUUCGGUUACUUUUAAACAAAAAUACUUUUUAGAGGAAAUCUCAGAAAAAUCAACAAAAAUCUUAGAAAUAAGAGAAAAAAGAGAAUGUGAAAGAGUCUAAAGAGAGAGAACAACAUACCUGGUUUGAAUUUUCAACGAUUCUUAUAGAGGACUGAGACUUUAGUUCUUAGGCAAGGGAAGUAAUCGUUAGUUGAUCAGGAUCAUGCCUUGAGUUUUUAGAGAGAAUCCUCGAGUUGACUCUUGACCAAGUCUUUAGGUUAACUGGUUUAAGUCUCUUCUCGCGAGAUCCUUGUGCAAGCACGCCUGCAUGCGAGCAAGCCUGCAGAGCCAGCUGCCUGCUACAUGAUGACUAAAGCAGAUUGUUUAUGAGUUCCUUAGGAUCACACCCCAAGAAAGCAUGUUAUUAACUCUAAUAUUGAAGAGAGCAUGAUUUGCUCAUAAUCAUAUUCAAUCAUGCUCCCUCUCUUAUCCCUUAAACACCAGUCCCUAAGCCAGUUACCAUCGUCCACCGACCAACUCCUACCGUGGCGGCCUCCUCCAACUAUAUGUAUAUGUAAAAACAAUUCAUUUCUUUAUUAAGGAAACAGGCAAACAUGUGCCACUUCAAGUAGGCGAGUGGUCAUCAAUUGCCUUUAUAAUAAUAAUUUAUCAGUAAUGAGUCUAGAAGCAUUGUUCAACUUUAUCGAUUCUAAAUACAUAAACUCUUCAAAUGAUAUUUUAUUUCCUAUUUAAAAAAACCACAAAAUUUAAAAAAAACUUUUCAAAUAAGUUUUUUCAAAUAAGAUUAUUCUUCCAUCUCUUCAGUAUCAAAGAAUAUUUUUUCCCUCUCCAAUUUGUAUUGUAUUAUUAUCUCAUCAUUAUUAAGGAAAGGGAAAUGUUAUAUUGUUAUUUUUUGUGGAGAAAAAAUUUAAUUAAAAUAAUAUAAGCUUGUUUUUAUUUGAAGAGUCUUUUAGAAGGGGGCUUAUUUUUCACUUUCUAUUUGCCAUGCAAAUAAGUAAAUAAGUAAGUAUUUGAAGAUUAAAAAUUAGAAGAUUCUUUUGGUAAUGGUCUAUGCAGGGUUCGAACUUCAUGGAGACUCUAUUCGGUUGUGACCGCCGAACAAAUUUUAGAAUUUUUUUUUUUAAAUAUACAUCCUAUGUCUUCAAUUAUAUCUAAACUAAUUGGAAUAUUUCACUAAAUUAUCAUUAUAAUAUAUUUUUAGUCCUUUAUAUUCUAGUUUUUACAAUAAAUGCAUGUUCUAAUCCCUCGUAAUACCUAAAUCCUACUUUUAUUAUAAUUUUACUAUAAUUUAUCUUUUCUUAUAGAUCGUAGCAUGUUAUAAUUCUCUUCCCUCUAACUCAAUAUUCAAGUAAAAUAUAUAUAUAUUUUAACUCAUUUCUACAUUUGUAUUAUUAAAUUCUUUGACUAUCUUAGCUUCAGUUUUUCACAUUAUUCGCCUAGCCCUGUAACCAAAUUUUUCAGCUUUCGCCCCUGGCUCUAUGUUUGGCUAUUUGAUUUUUUUUAAACAUAUCAAAAAUAUAAAAUAGUGUUCGCAUGCGUAUUGGUGGGUACAUCCUUGCUUCCUUCCUGAGUUUGAGUUCUCUGAUGUACAAUGUAAAGAUGAUACAUUUAGAAAUAAAUAUGAUCUAUACUUAUGAAUUAGUCCAAAACAUUUAAAUUGCACCAUUAAAACUAAUUCCGAUGACUUUUGAUCGUAAAUAUUAAAAGAUUGUAAAGAAACGUAAAGUAAUAAUAAUAAUAAUACUAAUAAGUGCUUAAAUAGAAAUGGCGGUGCAGCGCCAUGUUAGAUUCCAAUAAAAUAACAACAACAUAAUGAACAAGAAUGUAUAAUAAUGAUAACAAGUGCUUAAAUAGAAAUGUCAGUGUAGCACCAUGUUAGAUUCCAUUAAAAUACCAACAACAUAAUGAACAAGAAUGUACAAAAUUUAAUAUGAAGUUUAGUCAUUUUCACAAAAAUAUAUUUUUCUUUUUUCUUUGGUAGGAUUAUUUGAACACAACAAAGUACUCAAUAAAUAAAUUAUUAAAUUUAAAAUAUAAAAUUUUAAUACCAAAAUAACCUUGUUAAGCUAAAUUAUAAUUGUUUCUUUUAUCCUCUUCUUUUCAUGACCUUUUCAUUAUUGACUCCGUCUCUUAUUCCUUGUUAAGCUAAAUUUUAAUUAUUUCUUUUAUAGACUAUUAUCCAUAAUAGUUUCAUAUCCAAAUCCUUCAUUUUUAUGAUUUAUUUUCAGUUGCUAUUUUCCCUUAAUCCUCGUGCAUUCAGAACAAUACCUUUUGUUGAUACCAAAAAUUUAGCAACACAGGAAGAGUUAAGAAAAAAUUGUUUUCCUUAGGGAACAGACUGUGAGAGAACUUGAUGUCUUCGAGAUUUGUAUUGUUAAGAAUAAAUAGGUUAGUAGUCGGAAUCCCGCAAGAUAAUAAUCCAUUAGGGUUUGUCUGGGUGUUACAAGUGCAGAUCCUCUAGUGCUUAAGUUAGAGAUGGCCAACAGGCCAGACCGGUAAAGGAAGGCCAUGUGUGCUCGUGUUCGUGUCAUGCCGUGCCCACUAUGUGAUUUGUGUUGUGUCGUGCCUAAUUUGUUUUUUUUUUCACUUAGGCCCGUCCUGGCACACAUGCCAUGCCUUGGGCCGUGUCGUGUCGUGUCGUGCCAUGCCGUGCCUAAGAAAAAAUAGCCCGAUAAGCCUUUUUUUUAAUAGUUGUUUUUAAGAGAGAAUGACAAGUUGUUGGCAUACUUUUUUCAAGCCUAUAUAUUUUUUUGGGCCAUGAGCCUUUAGUCAAAUUCAAUAAAAUGAUAAAUUCAAAAUUCAAGUCCAUAUUUAAUAAUAAUAAACUAAUAAUAGUAAGAAAAUGUAGUACCAAUUACUAAGUUAGACACUAGGUAUUAGAAUCCUUUUCUAAUACUUAAUAACAACAACAAUAAUAAUAAAUGUUUUUUAAGGGUUAACUUAAUUGUUAAGUUGGACUUAUAAAGAGUCAUAAACCAAAGUUCAUAAUAACAUUAAUGCAUAUUUAUAAAAUCAUAUAUUUAUAUUUUAUUUAUCAAAAUCAUGAUAUCAAUUAUUCAUUUAAUAAAUUAAAAACAUAAAUCAAUUAGAGUAUUUUUUUUAAACUAGGAAUUAAAUAAAUUUAAAAAACUUACGUUAAUAAUAUAUCAGAAGAUUCAAUUUCAAAUUAGUUGUAAAAUCAUAAAAUUUUUAGUUUACUUUCAUUAAAAAGUGAAACAUACUUAUUGCGGGUUUUUUCAUGUGAUGUGCUUUAGCCUAUCUUUAACCGUGCCAUGCUUUUAAGGGUUAUGUGCCUGCGUGCUGUUUCAUGUUGUGCCGUGCCAUACCACGUGCCUUGACAAAACGUGCUCGUGUCAUUCUGUGCUGUACAGACACGUUCCGUACUCGUGUCAUGCCACAUGCCGCUCGGCCCAUGGUCAUAUGUAGCUUAAGUCAAAAAUCGUGAGUGGCACAGUAACAAAUAAAUAAUAAGGAAGAGAAAAGAGUAAGAGAAAUGCUUGAAUGAUAUUAUACCCCCUCCUCUAAUAUACAUAUUUCUCCUUGUCUAUACCCUUAAGUGAUAACCUAUAUAUAUAAGAGAAACAAUCAGAAGUAUAAUUGAAUUAGGAAAACUUAUCUCUUAGCAGUAUUUGAGUUUAACGAGGAUUAGGACUUGUAUUAGUCUAUCUUAUUCAGAUUAGGACAUGUUGUUGUAUGUAGGUAUUUGGGCUCAAAGGCCCAUUCAUUUAGGUCAUCAAUUGAGUUUAGUAGAAAUAUGUGUAUAUCAUUCACAAAUAAGAAAAAAAUAAUAAACAACGAAAGAGACAAAACUGAUUGUAAUAAAUAAUGAAAGAGACAAAAUUGAUUCGUCAAAAAUACCCAAACCCAAAAUAUAUGGAUAUAACAAAUUCAGUGAAUCUUGGUUCCUUUAUCAAAAAGCAUAUGAAAAAUAAAUUCAAUAAAAGGGGUAAAGUUUUAAAGAAAUAUUGUGUCAUUGAAUAAGAAAGAUGAGAGUAAAGUAGUCAAUUUUUUUAAUUUAAUUAUGUAUUCAUGUAUAUAAUAGUAAUUCUUAAUAUGGGCAUUUUAGCAGGAAAUUUUUUUAUCAAAAAUUGAGUUUAGUGAGUAUUUUGGUGCAUUCAAAUAAUCCAUCCUUUUUUAAAAAAAAUAAACAUUGACAAAGUAGGCAAUUUAUUAACAAAACAAGGAAAAUGAAAUUUCAACAAAUUAUGAGGACAUAAUGAGCCUUACUGAACAAGGCAAAGAGAUAUUUAUUGGAAAAACAAUACUAAAAAUUCCAACAUUUAAAUCUCAACUUGAGUCUCAAAAUUAUGUGUCCUUCAUCUAGUGGAUUAUAUGAAUGUGUUAAUGAAUGUCACAUUGGUUAAGAUUUAAGUUAGAACUCAAAUAUUGGGAUGCUUAACAUUAAUUUUAUUAUAGGAAAAGCAAAAAAGAAAAAAAAACAAUAAAGCAUCAUGAAAGACAAGAACCGAAAGUAAUUAACGUACCAAACAUUCUAACAUCUUAAUUAAUAUUUAGAUUAAUAAUGAGGAAAUCAAUUUUGAGAAAAAUUUUGACUACGAAAUAUGUGUGAUAUUUUUAUUUUUUUCAAAAAUAAAAUGAAACAAAAGUAGUAUAAAAAGAACUUCUGCUGUACCGUACAUCCGCCUUGGCCGUACAGCAGUAUGCUUUGCCACCAUCUCUCNNNNNNNNNNNNNNNNNNNNNNNNNNNNNNNNNNNNNNNNNNNNNNNNNNNNNNNNNNNNNNNNNNNNNNNNNNGCAGUUUAUUAUUAUGUUCUCAUUGCUAGUAAUUUUGGGUCCAAGAUUCAAUUUUGAACAAAACUAAACAAAAAAUUAAUAACUUAAUUUAUGUUAAAUAAUCUUUUUACAACUUGACUUAAUUAUACUAUUGUAAAUAUAUGUUAAAUCUUUUAAAAUUAGUGUGCUAAAUAGUUUUAUUAGUGUUUUAAGUAAAAAAAAAAGUUAAGUAACUUCUAUAGUUUAAGUAAGGAUAUUUUUGAAAUUUUUAAGAAUAUAUGAAGUAAAACUUGAUUUUUUAUAAUUAGUGGAUGAGUAUGCAAAGUAAUAGAACGUUCAAAGAAAUAUUUGGCGUGCAAAUAUACCCACCCUUGUAAAAAUCAAAUACAUAAUAAAAAACCUAAAAUUAGCAUCCAACUUCGGCUCUUUCCUUUUCUCAUCCCAAAAACACCACCGGCACCCACCAAUUCAUAACCAAAUGCCACUCACCAGCCACCAUAGCCAAGCCAAAUCACAAAUACCAUAACCACCAUAGUAUGAAAUCGAGUUCAUAUUUUAAAUGAGCUAAUUAUCUAAUAUUUGGUUGAAGCUAAGGUCUACACCAAAUAGUAUUCUUAGAACCCAUAUCUUCGAUUUUAGGCCUCAGUUAAUAAUUUUUAAAAAAAAUCUAAUAUGAUUCAAAUGCUUGUAAAUUUCUCGAAAACCAGAAAAAAAGAAUAUGUAGUCAUCAACAACAUUCCUUUAAAUUGGAAACUGACAAAAUCCUUUCCUUUGUUUGGUUUGUUAACAGGAGUAUUUACUAGGCUUGCUCUAAGCCCAAAUUGACUACAGAGUACAAACCGAAAAGCUCGGAGUGUGUAUACUUUAUACGGCAAGGAUAGUGCGCAUUUGUUGGUGGGUUUUGUGAUGGCGAGCAGGCCCUAGUGGUAUAUGGUGGCAAUUGUGCUAGUAGUGAUCAGACGCUUGGUGGGGUUGAAGAUUAAUCAUUUUGAUAAGAUAAUGUCAUAAUGAUGCUGAUGUUAUAAUAAUUGAUUAUGGAAGUAUGUGCAUGGCAUUACUUAAAAGAGUUGAAUCCAAAGCCUUCUUAUUGUAAAUAUCUAUACAUUGUUAUGAAAUUUACAACAACACUACUCAUAAAUGUAAGUAUAUCAAUUGAAUGUUAGUUUUUUGAACCGCGGCUCCUAUUGAAAUACCAACAAUACAGAGCAUAGUUAUUUCACGAAAAGAAAAAAUGGAAUUUUCAAACAAAUUAGAGGAAAUAGCGAGUCUUACACUAUAAAAUAUGCUUUAGAAGAGCUCUUCAUUAAAUGAAAUGAAGAGAAAAAAAAAAACCAGAAGAACAACAACAAAGCUUAACGAAAAACAAUAACUGAAAGUGAUGAUCGUACAAAACUGGUAUAUACGAGUUUGUACUAACUUUCUUAGUUCUAUUUAAUGCGUGACUAGGAAGGAAAGUAACUAAUUAAAUUUAUCAGGUUCGUUUGAGGGAGCUUGAACCUUCAGACUAUAAGUAGUUUUUUUCUUUCAAAAUCAGAGUUGUCCCUUAAUAGAGAUGGCAAAAUCCUCCAUGGUUUGGGGUCCCAUGGGGCUCCACCCCAAAUGGAAUGAUUUUUUAAUAAUUUUUUAGGAAUAAGGUGGAAAAUGGGGUAAUCAUCAAAUUCUUAAUAGGGUAUGGUUUGAUUUUAUACUCCUAGGGUUGACAAUUUAAGGGUUUAGAUUGGUUUUUUUAAGCCCAAGCCCAUUAAAGUAAAAGUGAAAGGGUUGGGCCUGGGCUGGGCUGGGCUUGGACUUUAACUUAUUUUUUCAAUUUUUUUAAAAAUUAUUGUAAACUUGAAAUGAGUUAAUAAUAAUCAAAUUGUUAUAAUUAACAAUGAAUUAAAAAAAAUAAAUAUUUCAAAUUAAAAUAAUAAAUAAAGAAAAUAAAGCAACUAAAAGUUUAAAAUUUUAAUUUUUUAGUACUUAAUUCUCUAAUUCAAACAUUCUCUUAAUUAAUUAACACUUAAAAGAGAGUUUAAUAUUAUAAUUUUAAGCUUUUGAUUCAUUAUUGAUAUAUAAAUUAGGGAUUUAAUCCUUCUUUUUUAUUUUUCCAUUAUUUUUCAAAUUUGGAUUUAUUAUUCUAAUUUAUAAAUUUAUGUUUUUUAAAUGGAGGGCUUUGGCCUAGCCCAAACUUUUUUUCCUAAGUCCUUAUCCAGGCCCUCAUGUGGGAGGUCCAGGCCAAAGCCUUUGCGAAUGGGCCGGCCCGGACGUUUUUGCCAUCCCUAUGUACUCCCCACCCAAUCCCUAUUAUAUAUAAAUAUUUUUUCUAAUUUUUGUUUUAUCAAUUACAAUGUUACGUAAUAAAUUUUCUUUUUAUUUUUACUUGAUAUAAAUGAGCUAUAACUAAAAGAAAGCCCUGCAAUAUAAUUUUUAUUCAACCUUAAAAUAUUAUUAUAUUUUCUUUUCUCUCUUAAGAUAUUGUUCUCUUCAAAUAUUUCUCAAUUUUGAUUAUUAUUUUAAGAUAUUGUUUCAAACAUUUAGAGAUUUUUUAAAAUAAUUUAAAUAUUUUAUAAUAUGGUAAUGAUUCUAUUUAAGUUUUUUUUAAUUUAUUGAAAUCAUAUAUCUAUAUUUACUAUAAAUAAAUAAAUGAGAAAUGAGGUGGAGAUGAUAAAAUCAUUCCCCACAUGAGAUUCUCCAUCCUCACCCCCAUUAAAUUUACUGGAGAAUGAGGUGGAGAAUGGGGUAGAUCUCCCCACUCCAUUACCAUCUCUGCCCCUGAAGCAUUAUUCCAUCAACUUAAAUAAUGGGAAUACAACUGCCUUUCUGUAACACUAGGCACGUGCCAACAAUUUAGCUAUCUAAACAGCUUUGACUCUAACUUAUUCAAUAGCUAGCAAGACUUAUUCAAAGCAUAAAAGAAACAAGUAAAAGAAAUUAACCGGAACAAAAUAUAGGACAUGUAACAAAAACAUAAUUCACCUAUUUAUCAAGGAAAAUGAGCAAAUUUGUGUAAACUCCAAUCCCCAUUUCUAAUUGCUCAUAAAUUUUAACGGUAUAUCAAUGGAACAAAUCAUCCAUGCUUGCACUUCCAAAAUGAUUGGCUAGUUGAAAGAUCCUUCACUUUUAAUAACUUGCCUUACUUCUUCAACAUAAGGUGUCAAGAAAAGAAAAGAAAAACUGAAUAAUUGAAUUACACCGAUUUUGAUUCUUCAAUCAACCCCUAAAUAAGUUCAAGAGAGGGGUAAGACUUUUUAAUUUAUGUACAGCUUGGUUAGCGCUUCUUCCAACUUAAUAGCCGUUCUCAUCCCUUUGACAUUGGAAUUUUGUUGGGCCUGUGUGGGCUUGUUGAAUUAACUGUGCUUGUUCAAUCGAGAGUUGAGCUUUUAAUACCCGUUUAAAUAUCUUUUAAAACCCCAUAAUAUUUUAUCUUUACAAUUUUGACCUUACAAAUUAUUUUAUUAAAAUUAAAAAAGAAGUUAUCUUCCUAAACCCUACUUCAUUUUUCAUUGCCAUAAAAAUACAAGGAUUUUGAUAAUGUUUUAAAUACCUGUAGUAAAAGGUGCUUAAAUGAUUUUAAAUUAUGGGAAAUAAUUUAAACUGAAUUAUAAAUUAUUACGAUUUACAUAAGAAAGUGUAUUGAAUUUUUAAAAAAUUACUUGAAGGGCAAAUGUUAAUUUUUUUUUUUUUGAGAGAAAAAGUCAAGUUCCUAGGGAUUUUCUUGAUAAACAUAAAUAAAGGACAAUGAUCUGAAUCAAAGCUUUUGGUAAUAUGGAAAGUGCUCAAUUACAAAGUUGAUAGAGAGAGAAAGUUCGGAUAAUUUAGAGAGGAAAAAAAUCAAGAUUUAGUGUACACUAGGGCUGACAAACACCUAUUAAGAGGGGAGAAGGAAGGCCAUUGUUAUCUUACAUGAUAAGUUAACAAACAUUAGACAAUUGAAAAAGUUUCCCACAACUCCUCUAUUACAAUUUAUUGUAUUUUCAGCUAUUUGAUUAAAUCCAAUGGUUGUCAAUUCUCUAAUACUAUAAAAUAAAACCGCGUUUCACGCGCCUUUAAAAAAAGAAUUUAGUAUUAUCUUUUUUUCUUACUUUACACUUGAAGAAACUGAUAAAAAAUAUGAAUUGAUUUUUUUUUAAGAUGAGGCAGCUUUAUAAAAAACAAAAAAAGCUAUUAGCCAGCAAUACAAAUAAAGAAGCAACUCAAGAUAAAUAAUAAAAUGAGAGAAUAUAUUAUAGAUUGAUUUUAUUCAUUCCAAUUGUGUGUGUACAAAACAAAAAGAUGAACUCUCAUUUUAUAGUUAUAUAAUCACUCCAUGAAAUUAAUGAAAAAUUAUGGAUCAUAAUUCCUUAUGAGAUAGUGAGAGUUAUAGGGAAGCUAAAGGUUGCUAAUGAGAGAUAGUGAGGAGACUAAAAAAUAUAUGCUAUAAACAUCUACAUUUAUUUUAAUAAAUUCAUAACACUCCCCUUUGGAUGUUCAUUACAAAGAAUAUGCCUCAUUAAAAUCUUUACAUAAUUGUUAUUGUGUAAUAUCAAUCAAAUUAAUUAUGAGAAGAUGAAAAGCCAAAUCUAAAAGAAAAUUUCUCUAUUUAUUAGAUAAUAGAGAAUAUACAAAGAUGAGAAAUAGUGAUGCCACAUCACCUCUUCAAGUCCCAGCUCUAUAUAUAUAUAUAGAUAGAUUUCAGCUAUUUGAUUAAAUCCAAUGGUUUCAAUUCUCUAAUAUUUGUCAUCCCACGUGUAAGGUAAAAAAAAGAAAAAAAAAUUCCAAGAAUGAAUGGCUCACGAAUUGGUUUUAUUUAAAAAUAAAUAAAUAAACAAAUGUGCGAGGAUAUUUUUGUAAUUAGAAGAGAAGAGGGAUGUGAUAAGAGUUUUUGUGUGGUGGGAAUAGCGUCACGCUUUAAUCUAGGCUUUGCUGAGUUUCUUUGAGCCUUGCUGACUCUGUAUUGGGCGUACUCCGCCUUGCUAACUCUGCUACGACAUCAAUUAAUCUACCCAAAUCUGUUGUUCAGUUGGAGAAGGUUCUUACACACCCUUCGCGCCCUAAGAAAAUAUCUUCAUCAACUGUUACAAAAAGUUUAAAUAUACCAUAUUUUGUUAAAUGAAUGUAUCCAAAGCCAGCUCAGCGUAACCGCUUUUUCCUAUUAUCUCAUAUUAAUUAAAAUAUAUAUAUAUAUCUAUGUUUUGAUAAAGGAAGCAUCCCGAUUCUCCAAAAUUUGGGAAAUUGGUUCCUUUGUAAGUGAGCGCAAAAUUUUUGUCAAUUGAUCCAGAAGAUGGAAACUUAAGAUUCAAUUUGACGGAGACAAGUUAUCAGUCAGUCAACAAACAGGAAAUAGGAAAUUAAGAUUCAAGUCAAUCUGUCAACAAGUAGUAGACUUCCUUCUUCGUAGGGUAAUACUUUUAAACCCAUUUGCUAGAAAUUGUGCCAAGAUGCGGUCAAAGAAUUGCAGCAGCCACUAAUAUCACAGUCAAUGGUCAAUCCAUGUCGCUGCCAGAAACAUUUCCAUGAAUUUGAACUAAUGAUAUUAAUUUGAAGGCCUUGGUAUUUAAUCAUAGUCGCCAGGAUUGAGCCGAUAGAGAAGCAGAUAACGCAGCAAUGGAGGUAGAGCAGAUUCUGCGCAUGAAUGAAGGAGAAGGAGAAAAUAGCUAUGCUAACAACUCACCUACACAGGUAAUAAAUCUCUCUUUUUCGAUUCACAAGCUUCAGUGAUCAACAAAGUUAUCAAACCAUGCAUCUGCUUAAUUUCUUAUAUUAUUUUCAGAAAGAAGCAAUCUUGAAAGCAAAGCCUAUGCUAGAACAAAGCUUGAAUGAACUGUAUUGCAACGGCUUCCCAGACUGCAUAAGAUUUGCAGAUAUGGGAUGCUCUUCAGGGCCUAAUGCAUUGUUGCCAACAUGGGAAGCUAUUGAUUCCCUGGACAAGAUUUGUCAUCGCUUGAAUCGUAAGCCACCCGUUUUGCAUUCUUUUCUCAAUGAUCUUCCUAGAAGUGAUUUCAACACCGUUUUCAAAUCCCUGCCAAGCUUCUAUGAGAGACUGAAGACAGAAAAGGGACAUGAAUUUGGUUCAUGUUUCGUAGCUGCAAGCCCUGGAUCUUUCUAUACGAGGCUAUUUCCUCCCAAUUUCCUUGACUUGGUUUACUCUUCUUACGCUCUCCACUGGCUCUCUAAGGUAAGAAUUGGGAUCCCAUGUUCAUUAGUAUUUCUUUUCACCAAUAAUCUCUUAAUAAUUUUCUGGCAAGUGUAUAUUUAGAGCCGUGCAUAUUCAGAUCAACAACGAAAGCAAUUUGAAAUUCAAGAAUUUAUCAAUCAUCUUGGCUUAUCAUUUCCCUCGGUUUAAUGCUUUUUCAGAUGCCUAAAGGCCAGGGGAAUGAAUCUGAUGUCCAUAAAGCAUUCCUGAAUCAAUUUGAGAGCGAUUUCUCAACAUUUCUCAAAUUUCGAUCUGAGGAGUUGAAACCCCAAGGUCGUAUGGUUCUCACCCUUCUAUAUAAUGACAAUUAUCAUGCUACUCCUGGAGAGCCAAUGUUGAUGGUAUUAAAAGACAUGAUCUCUGAGGUACUUUCUCUCUCCUGAGACAUAUUAAAAACUAAUUUUGUGUGUGUGUAUAUAUAUAUGACUAAUAGAUAAUGGACAAUCUCUUUUUCUUUUGGUUUUAAUUAUUUCAUGCAUUUCAGGGGUUGGCUGAAGAAUCAAAAGUGAAAUCAUUCGAGGAUUUUCCGGUCUAUAGAGCAAGUGUUGACGAAGUAAAGCAAAUUGUUAAAAGAGAAGGAUCGUUUGAUAUCCAAGAGGUUGAAACAUUCAACGUAAGUUGGUUGGUAGGCUUUGUCGACGGCGUAGAUAACAAAGGCUCAGACAAAUACGCAAGAGGCAAGUAUGUGACAAAGCAUGUAAGAGCAGUGGGAGAAUCAUUUCUGGCUAAUCUUUUCGAUGAUGCCACCGUGGACGAGAUCCAUCGUAGAUUUGCAACCAAGGUGACUGACGAGGUUUUGGACAAGGGGCGAGGAGCUUAUGCAAGUCUACUCAUUUCCUUGGUAAAGAAAUGAUCGUUAGUUUCUCUCUAGCUUUAUAUAAAUAAAGGCAUGACUGUGACAAAUUAGUCCCUGCGCUACGUACAAGAUGUAUUGGACGAAUGAGAUUUCUAGUGGGGAUUUAAAUAUCUUUUGUUCUCCAUCUUUUGUGGCGGGGGGUGCUGGGAAGGUUCACGAGUCUCUUAUCUAAAUGUCAUGUCUGUUUGUUUUCUGUCUUUUUAUUUUUCUUUUUUCUUUUUUCAAUAAGGUUUUUACCCAUUUGGUUGAUAAAAAGAAAAAGAAUAUUAUACAACUUCUGAUAAAUGUCUAUUCAAAUUUUACUGACGACAGCUUGCAGCCUUCAUUGUUUCUAAUAUGUAAUCUGUUAAAUCGUACUGAUAUUUACUUAAAAAUAAAAUUUAGGCCGAUUCAAAAGAGUGAAAAAAUAAAAGCAAUUAAGCAGGGUAACUUUUGGUAAAAGUCUUUUUUAUUAACACGAUUUAAAAAUGAUUUUUAACUCUUAAGUAUAAGAGUGUCUUGUUAUAUUAUAAUUCGAUGAGUCCGAGAUCGAUCCACAAAGAAAAAAUUUAAUUUGUUUAUUUAAAUUUAUCAAAAAAUAAAAAAAUUAAAAUUAAAAAUAUGUAAAUUAAUUUAAGAAAAAUUAUGAAAUUGAAUUACUUAGAGUUAUGGAUCCACUUAUAGUAAUAAAUAAAAUUUAACAAAUUCUUUUUAUUUUUAUUUUAUUUCCCAAAAGAUUAAUUGUAUAAAUUAAAGUUAUUUUCCCAUUUAUUUUAUUAUGGAUUAAGAACUUAAUGUGCCAAAACUUAAUUUGUCUACAAUAAAUCAAAAUAUCAUUUUACCAUACUUUAUACCAAGAUAUUAAGAAUUCAUUGUGCCAAACUCCCAUGUUUGUCUAUAAUAAAUCAAAAUUUCAAAAUAUAAAUUGUGGAUAAAAUUAAAUAGAAAACAAUUUAAUUUGUACAAUUAAAAAUAGAAUUGAUUAAACCAUAUUUUUACUAAGAGUUUCACCUUCCCCUAACUACUAAUAUUGAGCUAAACAUUUUUAAAAUAAAGGAAAUUAUUAAAAUUGAAAAAUGCAUAAUUAAAAAAAUAGAAUUUGAAAAUUGAAAUACAACUAAUUUUAUUGAUUGAAAAUAUAUUACAAAGAGAAAUGAGAAGAAGAAUUUGAGGGGAAAGAAGAGAAGAGAAGGUGUGAAGAUGUGUGUCACCCCCCCCUCUCUAUUUAUACUAAUAAAUGGUAAAUCCACAACACACAAAUAAAUAAAUCUAAUUACAUCUUAACCUUACAUUUGUUCCACUAAUAACACAUAAACCUAACUUAAUCCACUCAAACACAUUCAACACAUUCCACUAACAAUUAUCAUACCUAAUAUGAUAAAAACUUAUAAUUUUACAAUUACCACAUUUACUAUGGUAAAAACUUAAAAAUUUACAACAAAAGUCUUGGAUCCUUCUCGACAAUAACAUAAUUUCUCGGAUUUUCGGAAUUCAAAUUUGACAUCCGCACAUUUGUUUGGAGCCUCAAAUUGUAUGAAAUUAUUAUUUUUACCUAAUAAACACAAAAAAAUACACAAAAUCAAAUACUUAAAAAAUAAUUAGAAAUUCACAAUAUGUUACACAAUUAUAAAUAUAAAUUACAAUAAUAGCACAAAAUAAAAUUUUUACCCCUUAACAAACAUACAAUUUUUAACACUAAUCACACCCCCCAACUAGCUUAUUGCUAGCCCCUAGCAAUGAAAGUGUUAUAUUAAAUCAAGAUUUACAAAAUUCACAUGCAAGUUAAUAGUUGUUCAUCUAUUCUCUAAACUACCAAAUAAAUAAACUCUCCCAAAUUUUUCUAACUCUUGUUUGUCCACUCAUUAUCUAGAAAAUUAUAAACCUUCUUUUGUGCUCAAGUAAUUAACACAAUACUUAUGGGGUUUCAUUAAAAGAAAACAACAUUUUCGUUCAAAAACUCAUUAGAAAUUCUAUCUUCAGGCAAUGGAUUAUUCAAAUUGUUUUUUUAAAUAUUACAUUUUUAACUCAUGUAGCGAGCUUUAGGCCAGUGACUCCUAGACUAGUUGACCUUAGGGCACUAGGUGUUGAAACAUCCCUACGGACUUAAUUACUCGGGUUCUAGAUAUAUUAAAAUUAAACACAUUCAAUUUUCUUCUUUUUCUUCUCUUUUUUUUUUGUUUUUUGCAAUAUACACUUUCUACUACCUUAAAUAUUAUCCCUAGUAAAUCAAAAGAACUAAAUGCUGCAAAAAAUUUAACUUACAAUCCACUAGUAUGUGUCAUAGUGUGUGUGUGUGUGAAGAAUGAUUUAAUAAUAUAUGUUAAAUGAGUAAAAACAAAAUAAUUUAAUAACCAAAUAGAGAGUUCACAAAUUUGAGUAAUUCAAAAAAAAAGGAAAAAUAACAACUUACUAUGAAUUUUAAAAUUAAAAUAUAAUACAACAUGAUUAUUAGGAUGCGUUUCAAAAUUUGUGACUCUUUCCACAAUCAUCAUAGACACGACUUAAAAAAUUUAUUUAUUUUUUAUUUUUUUGGGUUUUUUUAAAUAAAUAAAUAAAUAAACGCAUCUAUUUACAAUUUACGUCAACUACCCCUUCCCCCCAACCUAAUCUAAACAUUAUUCAUAAUUUAAAAAUAUGUAUGCAAAAAGACAAAAAGAUAAAGAAAACAUAAAUAAUAAAAGAAGAAAUAGGAAAGAUCACACCUGAACAGGCCACUAAAGAUGCGUUUCUAAAUUCGCUACACCUCAUAUUCAGUCAUUUUCGACAUAAACAUUACUAGAAUUUGCUAUAUUCCACAGCUGUCAACUAUUUCAUCCCCUCAACCUGAAUAAGACAUUAUCCUCAAUUGCUUAAAGGAAAGAAGCAAAGUUUAGAAGACAUUACCUCAUCUCUCCAAGAAGAUAGUUACAACCGAAGAGUUAAGUCCAACUUGUACUUCAUACUAGGGCUAGGGUUACCAUCACUAGUCAACCAUUCCAAUGCCAAGAUCCUAUGAUCUGGCUCUGGUUUAUAAGCUUGUAAAAUAUCAAGUAACUAAUUAGCAGUAGAAGCACAAACAAAGAGAUUUUUCGCAGAGAUUGGAAUAAAAUGAUUCUUAAUUGCAUGGUUAAUUAUUGUGAGCAACCUAUCAAAAAAAUUAUUUACAGUUAGUAAACCGAUGAGUUUCUGAUGGAUGUUUAAAUGGGCCCAAGAUACAAAUGUAAUCAGUGCCUCUAAAGUUUCAAGAUCUCUUGGCAAGAAAAUGAAACUGUCAGCAUGAUUUAACAUCUCAGAUAUUCGCUCUUGCAUACUUAAGACAACUAACUCUUCUCCAAUUGGUACGUUAGACAUGCAUUCUAGAGGUUUUAAGACUUGUGGAAUGAUACCUAGUACCUAAUUUUCUCUAAUAAAAACAGUUUUUGAGACAAAUUUUGAUAACUCGCAAUCACCUCCUCCAUAUACAAGGUGCAGUUUCUCUCAGCUAUAGCACGACUAAAAUUUAUAGCUACCUGAACGAAUUAUUUAUAUUUUCCAUAAUGAAAUUCAGAGAGCACACAAAUGUUUUUGAAUUGUCUACUCAAAGAUAUUGCCAUUAGAAUAAUCUUCAAAAACAAGUUGUGAGUGGUUGGAAAAAGAGCACAUAUUUAAAGAUCUUAAUGACAGACAAAAUGAGGAACAAUUGUAAAUGAGUUGGUGUAUUUUUCAGAUAACGCGUAAAGCUCAUGUCUCAAUAUUUCAAAAGCAAACAGUAAAAAGAAAAACAAACAAUGAAAAAAAAAGUAAAAGAAAACAAAUAAUGAUUAAAUACAAAAUCACACCAUUAAAUAUAAUAAUGCAAAUGAUAAGAAAAUGUUAUUUACUGGUAGUUGUGAUUAUGACUCACAUCUUCCUCUGGUUUUAUAUCUAGUAACAACUUGAACGCCCUCUAUGGGUCGAGGAUAUGAUUCCCAUCCAGUUUUCUUAUAAACUGGCAAACAAAGUCUUUUUCAGUCAGAUUCGUAAGAGUAAAUUGUGCACUUUCUUUUUGGAAUAAUCUCCAUAACUUGUGUAUCUCAUAUUGCACAUGUCCGCUUCGAUGCAUCUCAAGAGAUCGUAAGAUAUCAUCUAACGAUUCUUUACUCAUGCCAUCUUUAACGAAUUUAAUUUUAUCUUCUCGAUUAUCAAAAAUCAUUUCUAAAGAUUUACAAACUUCUGGUUUGCAACUAAGUCGUACACAAUUAUGACAUUCUGAGCCAAGUCUUUUAGCUCUCUAUUUUUUAGCAAAUGUGUUUUUACCAAAACCAAGCAUGUAAGAAAUAAAUGGAUCAGGAAACUCACCAGCUAAUCGGACUUUUGCUUCAAUUAACCAAUGAAUAUCAAAAGAAAUUAUGUUGAUCAUUAACAAACGCAAUCUUUCACAACGAGCUUUGAAAGGAAUUUAGAUCUAUUACAAAUAGAUGUAGGUAAUUAAAAACCAAAAAUUAACAACUUAAUUAAUUUUCUGAAAAUAUUGUUCAUUGUUACUGUUCACCACAACGGUUCACAGUUACUGUUCACGAUUACUGUUCAUCCGUAUAAAAAAUAUUAAUUUUUCAAAAACACAAUAAAAUACAAAAAAUAAAUAACACAGAGAUUUUUAUAUGGUUUAGAUUAAUUAAUCUUAUAUCCAUGAGGCCAAGCCCAAAUGAAAAAUAAUUCACUAAGUUGAAAUAUUACAACCUAUGAAUUUACAAAACUUAAGACUCUCACUUAUAGUUUAUCACCAUAUAGUUUACUCAACCUCAGAUUGAAUCUGCUUCUCUUGAAUAAUUGCUACCCCUCUUGAUCCACGAUCCUCAAGGCACUUCGCAAAAUGAUCAAUAGCAAUUUUUCAAUUCUACAAUGUCUAGUGAUCCAAAAUCCACAUAAACUCUCCACAGAGAUGGAAAGAAGAUAAGAAAACAAAUCAACACAACAUGAUGCGCAAAAUCCGAAUUCUCUAGGGAGGAGGCCAAAUUUUGCUUCUCUGCUUUAUGCUCUGUGUUGUGUGAUACCUUCAAUUGUGAAAUACCUCUCUUUAUAUAGGUACUAGGGUUUCACCAAAAUAGAAAGUCUUAAAAGAUUUGGAUUCUUUCCAAAUAAGGUUUCUUUCAUCUUAUAAUUCCCAUGAAUCUGAAUAGGAAUAAAUCUUAUCUUCUUGCCUUACUUGUCUUCCAAGAAAUAUCUAGAGCAUUUAAUGAACUUUCUAUUUGAACCAACUUCUUGCUCUAAACAGAUCUCAUGCGCCAAUUAUAAAAUCCAAUCAUUAAUUGACUUUCUAAAUUAGACAUCUAAUUAAAUUACCGUACAGCAGAUUGUUCUCUUCAAAUAUUUCUCAAUUUUGAUUAUUAUUUUAAGAUAUUGUGAAAUAAACUUCCAAUUUAACUAGACUUACCAUAAAAUGCCGACUCUAUAAAUAAUGGACUUAACAAGCUUUGUAAAUUUGUUUUUAGUGCAUUUUGAGGGAGAAAAGGAAAAUGUUUUGCAAUUUAUGUUGUAUUUCUUCCAUACUUGAUUUUGAGAUCUCAAUUAUUGUGGGAAACUAAGAAUACCGACUUAAGAAGUCACGGAGUACCGUUAUCUGCCAUUUAUACGGGAAAAUAAAUCAAAACACACCAAAAUCAAAUUUGCAAAAUCAAUAUACGGGAAAAUAAAUCAAAUUUGAGAUCUCAAUUAUUGUGGGAAACUAAGAAUACCGACUUAAGAAGUCACGGAGUACCGUUAUCUGCCAUUUAUACGGGAAAAUAAAUCAAAACACACCAAAAUCAAAUUUGCAAAAUCAAAUCAAACGUGAAAGCGAACAAACAAAAGAAAAACAUAAUGUAAAAAGGAAAAUGAAUUUACAUUCGUCCUCUCAUUGAGUUAACCUCAAGCUCCAAUUGAAAUUCAUAUAUACCUCGCUCUAUUUCUCUGAGUUGUCUUUCUUGAUCCUAAACGUAGGCCACUAAUGUUGGUGGUUGUCGUUCCUAAAUUAGAUAUGAUUUACACCUUUGUAUCUAGCCUCUCAAGCGAAAUUUUAUUCGCAAAAGGUUUUUAAGAUGUCUGAACAGAAUCUUCCUUAUUGAGGUACUCAUGAUGUAUAAUGAAGAAAAAAAUAAUUAUUAAACACACUUUAAGCAAGAAACAUCACAACGCAUAUCAUUCAAGACAACCGACAAUUCAACGGUAAAACAACAAUGAAAAGUUAAAAUACUCAUUAAAAACUUAAUCAAGAUUUGGUGGAUCACUCAAAUUUAUUUGGGUGCUUGCUUCACAUGGUUGGUAUUCUAGAUAGGGCUUUAUUCUUUGACCAUUAACUUUAAAUGUAACACUAUUUUUUAGAUUCUCAAUUUCUACAGCUCCAUGUGAAUAUACAUUUUUUACAAUAAAUAGGCUACUCCACUUUGACUUUAACUUUCCUAGAAACAAAUGAAGACGAGAAUUAUAAAGCAAUACUUUUUGAUCAAUUUCAAAUGUUUUUCGAAAAAUUCUUUUACCAUGAAAAAUUUUUGUAAGAGCCUUAAUAAUUCUUGAAUUUUCAUAUGCAUCAUUUCUUAAUUCCUCAAGUUCAUUCAAUUGUAAUUUUUGCAUAUUACCAGAUCAUCUAAAUUUGAAUUAAAAGCUUUAAUAGUCCAAAAUGAUUUAUGCUCAAGUUCAACAGGUAAGUGACAAGGUUUACCAUAAACUAGCCAAUAGGAUGACAUUCCUAAAGACGUUUUAAAUGCAGUACAGUAACCCCAAAGCGCAUUAGUCAGUCGAAAAGACCAGUCUUUUCGGUUUGGGUUAACUGUUUUUUUUUAAAUUUGUUUUAUCUCCAUAUUUGCUAAUUCAACUUGACCAUUUGUUUGAGGAUGAUAACAUGUAGUAAUUUUAUGCCUAAUUCUAUAUUUUUCAUUAAAGAAUCAAAUGACUUAUUACAAAAAUAUUUACCUCCAUCACUAAUAAUACCUCGAGUGAUUCCAAAUCAACUUAGAAUAUUUUCUCUUAAAAAUUUAAGGGAAAUUAUCAGUCAUAUACCCUUAAAUGACACCAGUAUCAAACGUGCUACAACAUUUUUCAAGUGUAUCACUCGUAUACCCUAAGUUGAUAAAACACUUCUGCCGUCCACCAAUCCGUUUGUGAGCGCUGACAUCAUAAGGGUAAUCUAGUCUUUUUAAAAAAAUGACAUGUCAUCCCAUUUAUCUAGUAAAAAAUGACAUGUCAUAUGAUAUAUUUUGAUAAAAAUGACAUGUCACCCCAUUUAUCGGAUAAUUGUUAAUAAUUGCUAAAAAAAAGCUACUUUACAACCGAAUUUACUCCUUCAAAAUUCCCCAUUUAUCGGAUAAUUGUAUCCCAUUUAUCUAGUAAAAAAUGACAUGUCAUAUGAUAUAUUUUGAUAAAAAUGACAUGUCACCCCAUUUAUCGGAUAAUUGUUAAUAAUUGCUAAAAAAAAGCUACUUUACAACCGAAUUUACUCCUUCAAAAUUUAACCUAAAUUAUUGAAGAUCUACCCCUCCAAGCUCAAACUUGAAUUUUUUAUGAUAUAAUAUGUAUAAUUGUAAAUAAUAUGUUGUUAAUAAUUUUUUAUGGUAUAAGAUGAAUAUUUUUUAUGGAUAAUUGUUAAUAAUAUGUACCAUUAAUAAUUCAUAUUUUUUUAAUAAAAAAAUGUAUUGUUAAUAACAAAAUAAAAAAAAUUGUGUAUUGAAAAUUUACAUUAAUUUUCAAGGUAAAUUUAUUUUUUUACCUCAUUUUGAGUUUAAAGGAUAAAAUAGUCAUUUUGCUCAAAUUCUGUUAAGUUUUUAACGAUAAUAAACGGAAAGGUGGACGCCAGAACUCUUUUGUCAACUUAGGGUAUACGAGUGAUAUAAGGGAAAAGUGUUGUAGCACAUUUGAUACUGGUGUCAUUUAAGGGUAUAUGGCUGAUAAUUUCCCAAAAUUUAAUGACAGUUUUACUAUCAUUAUUUCUACAAGACAUUGCUUCAACCAUUUUAAGACAUAAUCAAUUAUAACUAACACUACAAGAAAACUGCUAAUAGAUGACAGACAAUUUAUGACAAAUUCUGGGUAUAUCAUAAAAUUAUGAUAGACUUGUGACAUAAUUUUCAAUCGAUCAUAAAUUAAUGAUGGCUUUGUGAUAGAAUUAUUUUUUAUCAUGAAUUAAUGAUAGUUUUAUGGUAGAAUUAUUUUUUAUCACAAAUUAUUAUUUUUUACUUAACCAUGUGUCGAGUUAUAAUUGGUAACUUAAUAUGUGAACAAUUACACUAUAUUUCUAAAGUAUAAAAUGAAAAAGUGAACCCUAAGUCUAACCUAAUUAAACACACUAUUGCUGCCACUCCCCUGCUGCUCUUCGAUUUCACUGCUGCCACUGCUCUGCCAUCAUCAAGCUUCAGCCACCGACUACCAAACGGGCUACCAUUAUGUACGUCGCUGACUUGUUGCCGCCAUUCAUCUUAGUCAUCGUUGUCGCUCCUCUACCAUCACGUCAAGCUUUAGCCCAGACAGCCGUCGUUGCUUUACCACCACUGUUAGUCUCCCGCCAAAAUCAAUAUCGUUCCUCAACGGCCUUCUAGAAUUUUCCUCUCAUGCUUUCCACGGUCGUUAUUCUCCUUCUUCACCAACAUCACUUGCGAAACGAGAUACCGAAGGAGUUGCAGAUAUGUUCUUUUCACACUACAUCUCUCUGAAUAUUGAAAAGUCUGCUCCUUUCAUAUUCUUCCUCACUUUAAAAACACCCAAAAGGAAAUUAUAAUCACAAGUAAUUGAAACGAUUUUUUUUUCUUUGGUUUGGCAUUUUCUUAGCGACUAAGCUGGGUUAAAUUAAGUGUUUCUUUUUUUUUGGGUUUGUUUAGAGUUAAACUGCUUAUCGUAAUUGUGCUUAUUUGUUGUUGAAUUAUACCCUUAUGAUUUUGGAACUUUUAUACGCAAGUUUUUGUUUGAUUUUUUAUUUACCAAAUACGAUUUUUACCUAAUGCGUUUGGCUAUUGGAAUUAGUUAAUUUUCUUGUAAUUUAAUUUCUGCAUAUCAAUAGCUCUGUAAGAUAGGUUUCAAUGCAGUCUAUCGGUGCUUAAUGGAGAUGUUUCCCUAGGUAUCAGUUUGUUCUAUAGAUUGAACUCAUAACUAAGGCAUUACUCUUUUUUUGGUUAUUUAUUUCUUCUUGGCUUGCAAUUGUAUACUUCAAAACAUGUUAAUGAUAUUUAAACGAGAUAUAAUUUUGUUAGUUUAUAUUUUUGAUGCUUCGAAUUGAAAACUUAAUUCUCUGUUGUCAAAUUAUAGCCUUGGGUUCGUGAUCUUAGGCAAACCAUUUAAGGAAAAAUGACAAUUGUUUGGUGAAGGUCUAGAACUCAUUUUUGUGAAGCCCUGCAUAAACUGUUGGUGCGACAUUUUUAACUUUAUUUUUUAUAUAAAGUCCUUUAGCAGUCAUGUAUGUGUAGAAUUUUUGUUAGCUUAUAUGGUUAUUAUAGAUUAUUAAUUAAAGAAUUAAUCAGGUGUUCCAUUUUGGGCUUCUUAGGAAAGUUACAAUAGGGCUCAUGCAAUUCUGAGGUGAUCUAGAGUAUGAAAAUAAAACUUGUCUCCUUCAACAUGAUUUUCUUAUUUUUACUUUCAAAUUGUAUAUUGUACUAGUUUAGUAUGUUUCAGAUGAGAUGCAAUCUUCCAUGUUCUUAUGUCUCUAUUUGGUGAGAAACUUUAAUGCAUAGAAACUAGAUCUAUUCUUGAUGUUGUAGUGAUAUACCCAUUUCUCAGGCUUAUGAGGUUUACCAUUGCACAAGUUUGUUUUGUGCAAAUAACUCCAUACCUGUAUUACUUUUGUAAGGAAUAUGACUGCAAGGCUCUUGACUGCAGGUAUGGUGUUAGUUUCAAAAUUGUUAAUUCCUUUCUAGGUAUUCUUAAUGGUGUUUUGUAGACUAUUUUAAGUCACAAAGAUAGUUGGUAAAUAAAAUCUAUUAAUAUGAUUGGAAUUGUAAAUGGAUCAGUCCUGUUAUGCCCCUUUUCUGCAGAGGAAAAUUAGAGAAUUUGAUAAUAGUUUCUUUUCCAUUAGAGACCUAAAUUUGUUAUCAACCUUAUGGCCUUAUUAUCCAACAAAAUCUAUAAUACAAAUAGCUUUUUAGAUGAUUUUUGUCUUUCUUAUGACAUCCAAGUAUGAGUUUCCUUUACUGUUGUGUAUUGGCUGAUAAAGAAGUAAACUACACUGAGGACAAUUCUUUCUCUCACUGAAAUCUUCACUUUUGUACUUUUUCCUUUUUUUUUAUGCUUGUAAUUCUUCUCCUUUUCUCUAUUCUAUUGUACAUUUGAUAAGUGCAACAUGUAAAUUGCUUUUGGUUCCUGGAUGCUUAAGGUUAUAUAAAUAUUUAUGUGAAUACUAGUGAAAGAUGUUUAUGUUGAUUCUUAGUUUUUAAAUCUAUUCUACUUGCUAUAGGUUCUUUGAUUAGAAAAUAGUAAAAUAUUUUUUUUGCCCCCUUAGAGAAUAGUAAAAUGCUUGUUAAACAUUGUUUUCUACAUGUUGCUAUAAUCCAGGGCUGCAUAUAAAGGGAUAGGUAGAUACUACAAUUAAGGGCAUGCUAAGCGAAUGGAGAGGCAACAACAACAAUCUGAAGGGUAAAUAAAAAUAAUGGUGGUGAUUGAAGGAACUGAGACGAAUUGCUGGCCUCUUACUACUUAGACUCUACAAGUGAUUUACCACUGGAAUUUGGUGGACUUUGAUUUUUUGUACAAGUAUUUUGAUGUUGGUGAAUACUUAUUUUAGGAUAUCUUUUGAAAAUUUGGGAUUGAUGUAGUUUAGAUGCUUUGGUGACAUAGUUUGUAUUUAACUGUAGUUUGAAUAUAUAUAAAAUUCCAUGUAUUUUAUUUAUUGGAUUUUUAAUUACUAGUAUUAUAUUUUGUAUUUAUUUUAUAUUGAUCAAUUUUAUUUAUAAAAACAAAUUUAUAGAAUUUGUUAAAUAAUAAUAAUAAAUAAAUAUACUAUUAAGUCAGUAAAAAUAAUAAUAAAAUUUACAAUAUUAAAAAUAUUUUAAAAUAAUUUAAUAGAAAUAAUACUAAUUUUCCCGCCAAAAAAUUCAAAAAAUUCCUAAAUAUUUAAAUAGUUUUGAUUUCCCACUAAAAUGUAGUGUGACGCGUGUAUGACUUUUAACAGCUAUCAUAAACUCAUGACGGGAAAAAUUCUGUCAUAAAUUAAUGACAGUGACAUAGAUUACAUAUAUUUUGUCUGUCAUGCACCCCUCUUUAUGACGGUUAUUUCUUGUCAUCUAUUGCAUGUUUUCUUGUAGUGUAAUAUAUACACAAAUCCAAAAGAUAGUGGAAAUGGACCCAUGAAAUCAAUUCUCUAAUAGUCAAAUAUUUCAACCUCAAGUAUGGGAUUUAAGGGCAUCAUGUUUCUUUUAGUAAUUGAUCCUAAUUUUUGACAAUUUUCACAAGUUUUGCAAAAUUCAUAUGUGUCUUUGAAUAUGGUAGGCCAAUAAAAUCUACAUUGUAAAAUUUUAACUGUAGUUUUUCUUGAAGAAAAGUGUUCACCACAUGCUUCAGAAUGACAAAAAUUAAUGACACUACUUACCUCAUUAUCAGGAAUGCAUCAUCGAAAAAUCUAAUCAGGGCAAUAUUUGAACAAAUAAUGAUCAUCCAAAUAAAAUUUCUUUACUUCAACCAAAAAUUUCUUCUUCUCUUGACUAUUCUAUUGCGAAGACAUUUUACCUGUAACAAGAAAAUUAACAAUGUUAGCAUACCAUGGUAUUGAAGUAACAUAUAAUAAACAUUCAUCAGGAAAUGAAUUAUUAAUGGGUGUUAUAUCAGUGCAGAUUUCAUAUGUGAGUCUUGAUAAAUGAUCAGCAACAAUAUUUUUGGCACUCUUUUUAUCUUUGAUGGUGAGGUCAAAUUCUUGAAGUAACAAAAUCCAAUGAAUUAGUCUUGGUUUGGCAUCAUGUUUAGUCAUCAAAUAUCUCACAAUAGCGUGAUUAGUAAAAACAACAGUUUUAGAACCAAGUAAAUAUUAACAAAAUUUGUUUAAUACAAACACCACAACAAGUAAUUCUUUUUCAGUUGUCAAAUAAUUCAUUUGAGUACUAUCCAAAGUCUUACUCGCAUAAUAAAUCACAAACAACAAAUUUAUAUUUGGUUUCCCAUCAUCAUUUUGCAAAGUCUGACAAGAAUCAAACAACAAAUUUAUAUUAGAAGUUGUUUAUUUGAUUCAAUCAAAUUAACUAAACAAAUAUCACUAAGUUCAUAAAAACUCCCUUUUUGAAUAUUCUCCUCUAUACAAUAUUCAAGCAAUUCCUUUUGUUCAUUAAUUUCAUCUUCAUUCUCAUUUUCUUCAUUAGGUUGCCUACACAUGUUGAAAACAUUCAAUUCCAGAGUCAUAUUUCCAAAUGAAAAAUUCAUUAAACCAUUCAUACAAUUAAUCAAAGAAUUAGCAGUUGUUAAAAAUGCUCGACUCAAAAUUACAAGAAUUGGUUUAUAAUUAUUUACAACAAGUUCAAUUUCUAAAAUAAUAAAAUCCACACGGUAUAUGAAUUUAUCAACUUGUACUAAAACAUCUUCCAUUAUUCCUUUUGGUACUUUACUGAUCUAUCGGCAAGUAAAAGUAUAGUUGAAGUUGAUUUUAACUCACCAAGAUUAAGUUGAAGAUAAACUGAAUAUGGAAGCAAAUUAACACUAGCACCAAUGUCUAACAAAGCAUGCUCAAUUUUGUGAUCUCCAAUGAUACAGGAAAUAGUAGGACAAUCAAGAUCUUUAUAUUUCAACUUAUUAUUAGUAGACAAAAUGGUACUUACCUGUUCAGUCAUUAAAUGACUUUUUCUUACCUUCAAUUUCCUUUUAAUAGUGCAUAAGUCCUUUAAAAAUUUUACAUAUGAAGGUACCUGCUUGAUUGCAUCUAACAGAGGAAUAUUGACUUUCACUUGCUUAAAGAUUUCAUAAAUUUCAUAAGAGUGAUUUGAUUUCCUUAGUUUAUUCAAUGCAUGCGGAAAUAAUGGUUCAGAUGGAACAAUAGUUAUUUCUUCACUAGGUGUAAGUUUAUUUAGUUCUUCAUUACCCUUUGAAUUUUCAUUGUUGCUAUCUUUACAAGGUUUGGGAAUAGGCCGAUCAAUAACCUUACCACUACGAAGAGUUAUAAUUGACUUGACUUAGUCCAUGGGUGAAUUUUGAAUUUUAGGACAUGGUUGUGGUUGAGCUGAAAAUUUUCCUUUUUCUUGAAUUGUGAGUUCAGAAGCAAUUUUAGCAAGAGUAUCUUUCAAAACAAAAAAGGUUUGUGCAUUUUUAUUAUUAAUAGCAUCUUGCUUUCUAAUCAGUGAAUGCAUUGUAUCUUCCAAAUUGUUCCAUGGUGGUGGAAUAUAUGGUGCAUAAGGCUAAGUAUUUUGAAAAUUUUGUGGAGGUGGUGCUUGUGAAGAUUGUGUAUUAUUAUUAUUCUUCCAAGUAAAAUUUGGAUGAUUUCUCCAACCAAGAUUAUAAAUCUGUGAAUAUGGGUUUAGUUUGUUAAAAGUGUUGAUGGCAUUAGCUUGAUCAUGCAAACAUUCUUUGAGUGCAGGCAGAGUAGGACAAUAAUGACUGAAAUGAUCAUUAUAACUACAAACAUCACAUGCAAUUUCUUGAAUAGAUUUUAUUUGAUCACUUUUUUUAUUUUUCAAAGCUUCAACCUGCCUAACUAGGAAUGCAAAUUUUGCUUGUAAAUCAUGAUUUUCCCUAAAGUUAUAGAUUCUUCCACUAGAUGGAGAUGGUUGUGGUUUAUUAGUCAAUUCAAAUGUUCCAACAAUAUCUUAAUGUUGUGCAUUUUCAACUAAUUGGUCAAGGUAAUCUAGUGCAUCUUCAUAUUUUUCUCUCUAAAUUCACCAUUACACAUCAUUUUUACAACUUGUCUACUUUGUGGUGUUAAGCCCUCGUAGAAAUAAGUGAUCAAUCGCCAAGUUUCGAAACCAUGUUAUGGACAUAUGUUAAGCAAUUCUUUAAAUCUAUCCCAACAUUGGUACAAUGUUUCUUUUUUUUUUUUUAGUUAAAUAAGUGAUUUGCCUUUUAAAAGAAUUGGUUUUGUGAGAUGGGAAGAAUUUUUUCAAAAACUAUUCUUGCAUAUUAUUUCAAGUUCUUAUUGAUCCAGAUCUAAGGUUUUGUAGCCAAGUUUUAGGUUUAUCUUUUAAUGAAAAGGGAAAAAGUUUUAAUCUAAAUAUGUUCAUGCUACAAUUUUGGUAUGUGUAUGUAUUACAAACUUCCUCAAAAUCUCUUAGAUGCAAGUAUGGAUUCUCAGAUUCUUAACCAUGAAAUGUUGGUAAAGUUGGAUAAUACCUGGUUUGAAGUUGAAUCAAAAUGCUUCUAGAGGAAAUACUAUACAUGAUGGUGCUCCGGUUCUCGUUGGAUUCAUGUAAUCUCUCAAAGUUCUUGGUUGAUUCUGAUCACGUUAAGAUUGGUUGUCACCCUGAACAACUAGAGGAUUAAGUUGGCCUAAAAUGUUUUCAUCUUGGAUCUCGUCUAUGAUUGGUGGUGGUGAUUAAGAUCUACAAAUUAACCUGUCACUUGAAGUCCGAGACUAACGUCUCAUGCAAUGAUGAUGUGUGAGUGUAAAAUUAUGUUGUAAAGAUGAUACACAAACAAAUGACUAACAAAACAAAAAAAAAUGAAAAUUACACAAAUUAAAAACAAAAUGAAAAUUAAAUAAACAAGAUAAAUGUACAAAAAAAACACAAGACAAAAAUAAAAAAAAAACUAAAAAUUAAUUAACUAAAAUUAAAAUAACUAAAUAGGCAAUAAACCAAACAUAUAAACAAAGUAAAAACCAAAAAUAAAAUAAAUGCAAAAAUUAAAUUACAGAAAUAAAUAAAAGAAAAAAAGAAAAGAAAUAAUUAAAGUGUAGGCUCUUUUUUUUUCAAAUUUUAAAAAUUACCAACCGAUUAAGUGAUUAAUUCAAAUUAAUGGGUCUUGUAAUUUUUAAAGUCAAAAUUCUUUUUAUUGAGUCCAAAUUAGGUCCAAAGAAAUCCAUUUAUGUUUCAAGAAAGCUCAAGUUAUAUGUCCGAAUUUGAGAUUUAUGGGAAAUUUUGGCAAGGGACCUAUUCAAAAAUUUUUUGUGAUUUUGUUGUCAAACCGAAAUUAUGAGAAGAAUGAGCCAGAAACGAGAUUUUUUUAAAGUACAAAUGAAAUUAUGAAAGAUUUCGGGAUAGAACAGAAUUUAAGAAAAGAAAAAGGGGGUAAAAGAAAAUUUACAAUAAAAGUAAAAGAAAAAAAAGAAAAAAUAAAACAAAAUAAAUACAUCUCCCGGCAAUGGGGCCAAAACUUUGACACAACUUAAAAGUGAUUUCUAAGAGUAUCUUGUUAUAUUAUAACUCGGUGAGUCCGAGAUCGAUCCACAAAAAAAGGAUUUAAUCUGUUUAUUUAAGUUUAUCAAAAAAAUAAAAUUAAAAAUUAAAAAUAUGCAACUUAAUUUUAGAAAAAUUAUGAAAUUGAGUUAGUUAGGAUUAUGGAUCCACUCCUAAUAAUAAAUGCAAUUUAACAAAUUUUUUUUUAUUUUAUUUCCCAAAAGAUUAAUUGUAUAAAUUAAAAUUAUUUUCCCAUUUAUUUUAUUAUGGAUUAAGAACUUAAUGUGCCAAAACUUAAUUUGUCUACAAUAAAUCAAAAUACCAUUUUACCAUACUUUAUACGAAGAUAUUAAGAAUUCAUCGUGCCAAACUUCCAUGUUUGUCUACAAUAAAUCAAAAUUUCAAAAUAUAAAUUAUGGAUAAAAUUAAUAGAAAAAAAUUUAAUUUGUACAAUUAAAAAUAGAAUUUGAUUAAACCGUAUUUUUACUAAGAGUUUCACCUUCCCCUAACUACUAAUAUUGAGCUAAACAUUUUUAAAAUAAAGGAAAUUAUUAAAAUUGAAAAAUGCAUAAUUAAAAAAAUAGAACUUGAAAAUUGAAAUAAAACUAAUUUUAUUGAUUGAAAAUAUAUAACAAAGAGAGAUGAGAAGAAGAAUUUAGGGGGAAAGAAGAGAAGAGAAGAGAAGGUGUGAAAAGGUGUGUCCUCCCCCUCCCCUCUCUAUUUAUACUAAUACAUAGUAAAUCCACACCACAUAAAUAAGUAAAUAUAAUUACAUCUUAGCCUUACAUUUGUCCCACUAAUAAAAUGUAAACCUAAUGUAAUCCACUCAAAACACAUUCAACACAUUCCACCAAUAAUUACUAUACCUAACAUGAUAAAAACUUACAGCUUUACAAUUACCACAUUUACCGUGGUGAAAACUUAAAAGUUUACAACAAAAGUCUUGGUUCCUCCUCAACAAUAACAUAAUUUCUCAGACUUCUAAAAUCUAAAUUUGACAUCUGCACAUUUGUUUGGAGCCUCCAAUUGCAUGAAAUUAUUAUUUUUACCUAAUAAACACACAAAAAUACACAAAAUCAAAUACUUAGAAAAAUAAUUAGAAAUUCACAAUAUGUUACAUAAUUACAAAUAUAAAUUACAAUAAUAGCACAAAAUAACAUUUUUACCCCUUAACAAACAUACAAUUUUUAACACUAAUCACCCAUUAUUAUCACUAAUAAUGAAUAUCACUUAUUCAAGAAAUAAUCUUUAACAAGUCAAGCAUAUUCAUUCAUUGUGUGUAUUUAAAAUUAAAAAUAAAAUCUCCGUACCUACUAGAUGAUUCAUUCAAUCUUCAUAUUGUCCCAUCGACUUGAUUUGGUCUGCUUAAUUAACUAACAAAUUAAAACCCAUAAAAUAAGAUUAAUUUCAUUCGGAUUCUUUCUUAAUCUCAUUUUUGCCAAGAUUUGUAAGAGAUUAUGACAUUUUUCCUUUAAAUGUAUUUAGGGAUAGGAUUUAAUUUAUUUUUAAUUUUUCUUCAUGGACAUCAAAAUAUAUAGAAUUAGUGGCUAACUAAAAUGGAAUAACUAAUAAGCAACUAACAGAUGUUAACUCUAUAAUAUGUCUCUCUUUCCCUUGUCUAUCACUGUUUUUUUUCCUUCUUCACACAAAUAAUCACCCCCAUGCCUUUUUUUAUUUUAAUUUAAACCCAUGAUUUCUUUUUUUAUUAUUUGAUUUGGUACAAUGAUCACAGCUAAAUUAAUUGUGAAACAAAAAUCAGAAAAAAUUACAUAUUCUCCCCUCAAGUAUAAACUAAAAAUAUUUAGAUCCAAACUCAAAUGGACUACAAUACUUAUCAUAUCUAAAUUUAAAAAGUUAAUAAAUUAAGGUACUUUAUAAUAAAAAGUUCAUAUGGCCCCUAAUCAAUUCAACUUAUUUUACAAAUCAUAAAUAUCUAUCAAAAUGAAAUAUUAUGAAUGUGGUAUGACAAUAUCAUCUUUAAUAAGUUGAGUUAAUUACCUAAUUACAAUCCAAGCCUUUCAAACAUUCCAAAAUCAUUCCCCACAUGGGAUUCUUCAUCUCCACCCCAUUAAAUUUAUUGGAGAAUGAGGUGGGGAUUGGGGUAGAUCUUCCCCCACCCCAUUACCAUUCUUACCCUGAAGUAUUAUUCCAUCAACUUAAAUAAUGGGAAAUACAACUGUCUUUCCGAAAUAAUGGGAAAUACAACUGUCUUUCCGUAACACUAGGCACGUACCAACAAUUUAGCUAAAUAAACAACUUGGACUCUAAUUUAUUCAAUAGCUAGCAAGACUUAUUCAAAGCAUAAAAGAAACAAGCAAAAGAAAUUAACCGGAACAAAAUAAAGGACGUGUAACAAAAACAUAAUUCAUUUAUUUAUCAAGGAAAAUGAGCAAAUUUGUGUAAACUCCUUAUCCCCAUUUCUAAUUUCUCAUAAAUUUUAACCAUAUAUCGAUGGAACAAAUCAUCCAUGCUUGCACUUCCAAAAUAAUUGGCUACUUGAAGGAUCCUUCUCUUUUAAUAACUUGCCUUACUUCUCCAACAUAAGGUGUAAAGAAAAGAAAAAAAUGAAUAAUUGAAUUACACCGAUUUUGAUUCUUCAAUCAACCCCUAAAUAAGUCCGAGAGAGGAGUAAGUCGUUUUAAUAUAUGUACAGUUUGGUUAGCGCUUCUUCCAAUUUAAUAGCUGUUCUCAUCCCUUUGACAUUGGAAUUUUGUUGGACCUGUGUGGGCUUGUUGAAUUUAACUAUGCUUGUUCAAUUGAGAGUUGAGCUUUUAACACCCGUUUAAAUAUCUUUUAAAACCUCAUAUUAUUUUAUCUUUACAAUUUUGACCUUACAAAUUAUUUUAUUAAAAUUAAAAAAAUUAUCUUCCUAAACCCUACUUCAUUUUUCAUUGUCAUAAAAAUACAAGGAUUUUGAUUAUGUUUUAAAUACCUGUAGAAAAAAGUGCUGAAAUGAUUUUAGAUUAUGAGAAAUAAUUUAAAUUGAAUUAUAAAUUAUUACAAUUUACAUAAGAAAGUGCAUUGAAUUUUAAAAAAAUUGCUUGAAGGGCAAAUGUUAAAUUUUUUUUUUUUGAGAGAAAAAGUCAAGUUCCUCGAGAUUUUGUUGAGAAAUAUAAAUAAAGGAAAAUGAUCUGAAUCAAAGUUUUUAGUAAUAUGGAAAGUGCUCAAUUAUAAGUUGAUAGAGAGAGAAAGUUCGGAUAAUUUAUCGAGAAAAAAAUCAAGAUUUAGUGUACACUAGGGCUGACAAACACCUAUUAGGAGGGGAGAACGAAGGUCAUUGUUAUCUUAUGUGAUAAGUUAACAGACAUUAGACAAUGGAGAAAGUUUCCCACAACUCCUCUAUUACUAUUUAUUAUAUUUUCAGGGGUCCCUCUAUGGUGCCGUAAUUUUGUUUACGGUAUUAAUAGUGUAACAAAUUUGUACCAUUAGAUGUAAUCAACGGUACACAUUAUUUUUAAUAAUGAAAAUAUUUAAUUAUUUCAAAAAUGUUAUAACCGGUUAACAAACCGGUUGCAAAACCUAAUUUAAAUUUAAAAGGAAAGAAAAUAGAGAUACAAUAAAACUCAACCUCCUUCUUUAUCUCAUAAAAUUCGUCAUCUGUUUAUCUCCUAUGUUGUUGUAUUGAAAUUGGAUUCUUGAAUGCUGUCUCAGUUCACGAAUGAUUAACCGUGUCAAAUCGUAAACUUGUUCUUAUAAUUCAACUUUUUCUCCAUUUAUUGCCACGUCUAUUUGAUAGGUAGGCUUUUAAAUUUAUUGCUCGAUGGUGACAUUAAACAAGGAAUCACAGAUUUGAUGUUCUUUGUUGUACUAAAUUCAUAUCAAAUCUUGCUUUGAUGCUAUAAUAUAUUUAGUUACUACCUUACCUUUUCUUUUUUCACAUUUGAAAACAAAUUCUUUUUAUUCAUAGGAUUACAUAAAGUGCGCAGCCCUAAAGUUUGAACUUCAAAGGAUAAAGUUGCAUUGCAGCAUGUUAAGCAGCAAAGCUUCUUCGCUGCAUCAGAUAGAAGACAAAAUAACCUAAAUCGGUGAAUCAAGUGCAGCCAAGACUUGGCUGAGUCAGCAGUUAACCACCAAUCGUUUAAGAAAGAGGGGCAAAGCAAGUUGAGGCCCACUUAUUAAUCUUAGCCUCUGAUUCCAUUCUCCUUUUCUCCGCCCUGAUUUGAUUAUCUCCAGCAGCGACGCUAAAGGUUAAACUGGCAUGAUCUUGCCCACAUAUGAAUGUAGUUUUUUUUUUUUUUUGAUUACAUGGAAAUGAACUAAUUACUACAGCUGAAGCAUGCAAAACAAGAUUAGAAGCACAAUACUUCUAGGAUCUGAAGGGACAAAUUUUUUUUUCAAGUUUGUUAUAUGUUUUUUUGUGAAGACCUGAAGAUUCUAGAGUCAGAUUAAUAAUUUUGCCUCUCUUAGGCUUUAUGCGGUGGGAAUGAACUUUCUCUCUUUUAAUUCUCUGUCAUUUUCUCAAUGAAGGCAACAAGAGAAAAUUCAAUCUUUCAAACUCUCAACAUUCAGAAUUUGGCUAGUCUAGUUGUCUACCUUGCAAGAGAUCUUUCCGUUGCACUUUACGAAUUUAUAUUAUUUUGAGGAGGGAAUUCAGCUGACUAUUAAUAUCUUACAAUUGAAAUUUAAAUGUCGGUCUUUAAAUUCUAAAGAUUAAAGACAAGCCUAAUAUGAAAAUACAGAUGUUAAAAUCUUCAUUUUUGUUUAUUGAUACUUUAUUUGUUUUUGGUGAGCUGAAGAAGAACAAUUUAGAUACUUAUGCAUUGGUACAAAAAAUGUAUAGUGUAGUUGAAGCACUUGAACAUAAUAUAACUCAUAUGUAAUCACACUCAUGGAAGGAAAAGAUGAACUAUUCUAGUAAAGAUGUUCAAAAUGGUACAAAUGAAUCAAGUGGUCAAAAUUUCGUGGGAAAGGGAGAUGAGUUUGGGGUGAAGAUCGCAGAGAUUAAGGACAAGAUUGAAGACGCAUGUGAUGAAAAUUUAUCAUUGAAAAACUUAUUUGCAUAUAGGAAACUGAAAGAGAACCAAAUCUUCAACAAUGUUGUUAAAAAGGUAUGAUAACAAACUAUUAUUCUACAUUUUUUUUCAAAAAUUUUUUGUACUAGCACAUUCAUUAAAUAAAAAAAAUAAAUAAAAUUCAUGUUCUUAUGCAUGUCGGAUAAAGCCAUGGAUGCAAUUGAUUUUGUGGAUUUGGUAUCAUCGGUUGAAGUAGAUGCAGUUGAGGAUAAAAAGGUGCGUCCUCGAAAGCCCAGUCGUUAUAAAAAAUCUCCUUAUGAAAAUUUCACCAAAAAAAAAGGCCGCCGCAACUUUUUCAUGAACAACUAGAUAAAAGAUAUUUUAUACGUUUGUAUUUUGAUGUUCUUAUUUGUUUUAAUUUCUUAUUAAUGUGAGUGUAUAAUUUAUACAGAGAGAAAAUUGUAAUGACAAAGCGACAUAUUGUUACCCGCUUCUUAAUGUCUUCUUUAGCUCCUAAUGUUUGGAUAUUUGAUGAGGUAUACUCUGUGUGUGUGUAAUAUUCAGAGCGUAAUAAGAUUAUAUGUAUUUAAUUUAUAAUUUAUUUUGCAUUUGGUAGUGAAUGUUUUAAUAAUGAUAUUGUGAUUAUUUUAUACAUAGAUCAUAAGUUGCUAUGCCGAGUACUUAACUAGAAAGGAGAGUUUGAAGCAAGAUAAUAUCGAAAUUUCGGUUCGUAAACAUAACAUUUGUGAAUGUUACAUGGGUGCACUCAAAAGAUGUGAAAAGGUCAGGAAUAUUAUCAUAUGUUCAAAAAGUAAAAAGUUAUUUACUAAAAUAUCAUAUGUUUUAUUAUUAUCAUUUGAAGUGUGUAAUGAUUAGUAUAAAAUUUCUGUAUUGUUCCACAGAUAUAUGUUCCUCUUUAUGAUGGGCUUGCAAAACAUUGGUAUCUUGUGAUAAUGAAUAUAAAAGAUAAGACUGCUGAGAUUUGGGAUUCUUUGCCUAAUUCUGAAAUAGAACCAAAUCAUCGUCAAGAAAUCGUUAAGCAAAAUGUAAGUUCAAAUUUUUUAUUUGUUUAUAUGAAAUUACUAGAUGCAAUAUAUAUUAACUAUCAUUAUUAUUAUUGCAGUUACAUGCAUUGGACCUAGUCUUGUUUCGUGAUAUAGCCUUUAACUUUCAUUCUGAUUGGUAUUUCGCUGACUUUGACAUUUUAUAUCCAAAUAAUGUGCCAAUUCAACCAAAUGGAAAUGAUUGUGGCUUGUAUGUGAUGAAGUUUAUGGAGACUCCAUGUGAGAUAUUAUUCCCAACUUAUAAGGUAACUUAAUCAUACAAUUUAUAUUUCUUAGUUUGCACAAAACUUUAAUCAAUAUUAAAUUGUUAUUAAUUCUAUUAUAUGCAGUAUGAAUCGGAUGAAGAAAGAUUUCGUCUUGCGCUACUCCUUGUAAAUGGUGAUGCAAAUGAAGUAAGAGAUAGUGUUAUACAAAAAGCACUAUCAUUCCGUGGUCCUAAGACGAAUGUUAUUGCAACUAGUAAAGUUAGAACCUGCUGUACGGCCAUGGCUUUAAUUGACCUUUGUAUUCGAUGUAAAGUUUUUAUUUGGAUUACUCAUUAAGUUUUGUUAGCUUUUGAGGUUAUGGUCUCUUCCAAUUAAAAACUUUCAAAAAAUAAUAGUCUGCUUUUUUUUUUUGUGUGUGUUUUAAGUUCAGCCUACAAGUGAAUGAUUGUAUGUCGUUAACUAAAAAUCUGAAAUGUCAAAUAUCCAUUCCAAUAUCUUUUAUGAAAAUUUUGCGGGAAAAAAUUAUCAAAUUUUCUUCUUAAAAUGAGUCUUGACAGAUAAUUCAACAGACCGGCUUUCUGUGUCAAUUGGCGAAGGAGCACACAAUGAUUGGAACUUUGCAAGCAAUCUUGAAUGGACCAUUUUGACUGUGGUUGGGGAUUGAUUUGGAUUGAUUUGCAACUUUAACUUCUGUUGAAGAAAUCUAUUCAUAUAUGCAUUCAUUCCCUCGCACCGUUGUGUAGUACACAUGUCAGCAAAGAAAUGACCCUAUAAGAAUGUUUCUGCUCAUCUAUGUCGUUUUGUAUAAAUUUUGUUCACCCAAUCAUUAUUUUGCAAACCUUCUUCCUCCACCAUAUUCCACCAUAAUUUAUCAAACUCUUCAGGUGUAAGAAAUUCAAAAAUACACUUUGUAAAUACUUUUAUAAAAUUAGGUUUAUUACGUACAUUAGAUUGUGCAUUCCUCUGUAGAUGCCAAACACACAAACGAUGACGAGCUUCAGGAAUCACCUUUUUAAUCGCUUUCCUCAUUGCUCGAUCUCCAUCAGUCACCACAGAAAUAGGCUUUUUAUUAUUCAUGGCAGACAAAAAUGUUUCCAACACCCACAUAUAUGUCUCAACUGUCUCAUCCACAAGUAAUGCACAUCCAAAAAAACAUGUUGCAUAAUGAUUAUUAACUCCCACUAACAUGACUAAUGGCUUACCAUAUUCAUUUGUCUUGUACGUACUAUCAAAAGCUAACACAUCCCCAAAGUGGUGAUAAUCUAAACGAGAAAUAGAAUCAGCCCAAAACAAGUUUGAAAGUCUAUUCUCCUCAUCUACAGUGUAUUUACAGAAGAAAUUUGGAUCCAUAUCAGCUUUUCCUUUUAAGUAUGCCAGAGCAGAUUCUGAAUCUGUUUCAAGCAUCAUAGACCGACGUUCAAUAUCUAAUGAAUUAUACAAAUCCUCCAGUGUGAAGCCCACAUUGUCAUAACCCCCAGCUUGAUUGACUAAAAAAUCCAUAAUUUGACUAGUCUUUAUACCAACAGUUUUCAUCGCAGUAGCUUGAGCCAUGUCACAAUCUUUAACUGAUCGAUGGGAUCGAAGGAACUUAAUCUCAUAAUUCAUUGCCAACUCAUGUGAGUGUUCAGGGAUAAACUGAUUAACAACCCAAGUACCAACCUUCUUAUUCAUCUUCACUCUAAAAGCAGCUGGACAUUUGACUCUCGUAACAGUCCUCGGUUCCCGAAUUCUAUCUUUCCUUUCAACUUACUGUUUAGCACGCUCGCCCUCCCUAUUACAAACCCAAAGUCUCACAUUGGUUUGACCAUCAUUAUCAUACCUUAUAUCAUUCUUACGAAUGCUGAAGCCCAUUACUUUCGAGUAAUUACUGUAAAAAUUCUCCAAACUAUGUAUGUCCAGAAAGCUUUAUUCCUCAGGAGUUCAAAUAAUUUUACGGUUUUUUAUUUGAAGUUUUCUACAUGAAGAUAUGGCUUAAAGAAUGCUGACUGCUCAAAAUCACUGAAGCAACCAAGUCUAUGAUUAUCAGCAAACUUGCAUGAUUAAACUGUACUGAUCUAGAAUAUAUGAGAUUUCUAUUAUAUUUUUUUGGAUAGAUAAAUGUGUCUAGUUACGGAAGAAAUUUACACAAUCAAAUUUCGACUUCGCUUCUUAAAGAUAUUUACGAUUUAGUGCACAAAGGUCACAACCGUCUAGAAACCACACAAGACCCAAUGUUUCUGAAUUAACUGAUAUCAAUUAACAAGAAAUAAAAUUACAAACUAUAUAUCUAUAGAAAUAUUUAUUUUUCAGGAGUUCAAAUAAUUUUACGGUUUUCUAUUUGAAGNNNNNNNNNNNNNNNNNNNNNNNNNNNNNNNNNNNNNNNNNNNNNNNNNNNNNNNNNNNNNNNNNNNNNNNNNNNNNNNNNNNNNNNNNNNNNNNNNNNNNNNNNNNNNNNNNNNNNNNNNNNNNNNNNNNNNNNNNNNNNNNNNNNNNNNNNNNNNNNNNNNNNNNNNNNNNNNNNNNNNNNNNNNNNNNNNNNNNNNNNNNNNNNNNNNNNNNNNNNNNNNNNNNNNNNNNNNNNNNNNNNNNNNNNNNNNNNNNNNNNNNNNNNNNNNNNNNNNNNNNNNNNNNNNNNNNNNNNNNNNNNNNNNNNNNNNNNNNNNNNNNNNNNNNNNNNNNNNNNNNNNNNNNNNNNNNNNNNNNNNNNNNNNNNNNNNNNNNNNNNNNNNNNNNNNNNNNNNNNNNNNNNNNNNNNNNNNNNNNNNNNNNNNNNNNNNNNNNNNNNNNNNNNNNNNNNNNNNNNNNNNNNNNNNNNNNNNNNNNNNNNNNNNNNNNNNNNNNNNNNNNNNNNNNNNNNNNNNNNNNNNNNNNNNNNNNNNNNNNNNNNNNNNNNNNNNNNNNNNNNNNNNNNNNNNNNNNNNNNNNNNNNNNNNNNNNNNNNNNNNNNNNNNNNNNNNNNNNNNNNNNNNNNNNNNNNNNNNNNNNNNNNNNNNNNNNNNNNNNNNNNNNNNNNNNNNNNNNNNNNNNNNNNNNNNNNNNNNNNNNNNNNNNNNNNNNNNNNNNNNNNNNNNNNNNNNNNNNNNNNNNNNNNNNNNNNNNNNNNNNNNNNNNNNNNNNNNNNNNNNNNNNNNNNNNNNNNNNNNNNNNNNNNNNNNNNNNNNNNNNNNNNNNNNNNNNNNNNNNNNNNNNNNNNNNNNNNNNNNNNNNNNNNNNNNNNNNNNNNNNNNNNNNNNNNNNNNNNNNNNNNNNNNNNNNNNNNNNNNNNNNNNNNNNNNNNNNNNNNNNNNNNNNNNNNNNNNNNNNNNNNNNNNNNNNNNNNNNNNNNNNNNNNNNNNNNNNNNNNNNNNNNNNNNNNNNNNNNNNNNNNNNNNNNNNNNNNNNNNNNNNNNNNNNNNNNNNNNNNNNNNNNNNNNNNNNNNNNNNNNNNNNNNNNNNNNNNNNNNNNNNNNNNNNNNNNNNNNNNNNNNNNNNNNNNNNNNNNNNNNNNNNNNNNNNNNNNNNNNNNNNNNNNNNNNNNNNNNNNNNNNNNNNNNNNNNNNNNNNNNNNNNNNNNNNNNNNNNNNNNNNNNNNNNNNNNNNNNNNNNNNNNNNNNNNNNNNNNNNNNNNNNNNNNNNNNNNNNNNNNNNNNNNNNNNNNNNNNNNNNNNNNNNNNNNNNNNNNNNNNNNNNNNNNNNNNNNNNNNNNNNNNNNNNNNNNNNNNNNNNNNNNNNNNNNNNNNNNNNNNNNNNNNNNNNNNNNNNNNNNNNNNNNNNNNNNNNNNNNNNNNNNNNNNNNNNNNNNNNNNNNNNNNNNNNNNNNNNNNNNNNNNNNNNNNNNNNNNNNNNNNNNNNNNNNNNNNNNNNNNNNNNNNNNNNNNNNNNNNNNNNNNNNNNNNNNNNNNNNNNNNNNNNNNNNNNNNNNNNNNNNNNNNNNNNNNNNNNNNNNNNNNNNNNNNNNNNNNNNNNNNNNNNNNNNNNNNNNNNNNNNNNNNNNNNNNNNNNNNNNNNNNNNNNNNNNNNNNNNNNNNNNNNNNNNNNNNNNNNNNNNNNNNNNNNNNNNNNNNNNNNNNNNNNNNNNNNNNNNNNNNNNNNNNNNNNNNNNNNNNNNNNNNNNNNNNNNNNNNNNNNNNNNNNNNNNNNNNNNNNNNNNNNNNNNNNNNNNNNNNNNNNNNNNNNNNNNNNNNNNNNNNNNNNNNNNNNNNNNNNNNNNNNNNNNNNNNNNNNNNNNNNNNNNNNNNNNNNNNNNNNNNNNNNNNNNNNNNNNNNNNNNNNNNNNNNNNNNNNNNNNNNNNNNNNNNNNNNNNNNNNNNNNNNNNNNNNNNNNNNNNNNNNNNNNNNNNNNNNNNNNNNNNNNNNNNNNNNNNNNNNNNNNNNCCAGAAGUUUCUAAAUUAACUGAUAUCAAUUAAAAAUGCCUAAAAUUACAAACUAUAUUUCUAUAGAAAUAUUUAUUUUUCAGGAGUUCAAAUAAUUUUACGGUUUUCUAUUUGAAGUUUUCUACAUGAAGAUAUGGCUUAAAGAAUGCUGACUGCUCAGAAUCACUGAACCAACCAAGCCUCUGAUUAUCAGCCAACUUCCAUGAUUUAACUGUAUUGAUCUAGAAUAUAUGACAUUACAUAAUAUAUAUUGUUGGAUAGAUAAAUGUAUCUAGUUGUGGAAGAAAUUUGCAGAAUCAAAUUCGGACUUCUCAUCUUAGAGAUAUUCAGGAUUUAGUGCACAAAGGUCACAGCUGUCUUCAAACUACACAGGGCCAGAAGUUUCUAAAUUAACUGAUAUCAAUUAAAAAUGCCUAAAAUUACAAACUAUAUUUCUAUAGAAAUAUUUAUUUUUCAGGAGUUCAAAUCUGUAUUAGUUCUUUUUUUCAACCUCUUUCUCCAAGAAGCACGACUGGCAGACAUCAUAUUCUCAGUUCUCUUAUGUUUCUGCGUGCCUUUUUUUUUUUGGUUUGGACAAAUAAUCGAACAAGUGUUUGAUUUUAAAGCAUUGGUCAUUACAUGGUUACAUAGCCAAAAUCUCGUCAUAACCAUUUCUCUACACAACAACAAAAUAAUCAUAAAAAUUCUAAAUAUCAAAUUACAAAGAACAUAUCAGUACUAACCUUGUUCAUCAAUAUCCAUCGCUUUUUGUAAUGACAGCUCCCAGAUUUACCUUGAAUAUAAAUGAAUGCUGACUGCUCAAAAUCACUGAAGCAACCAAGUCUAUGAUUAUCAGAAAACUUGCAUGAUUAAACUGUACUGAUCUAGAAUAUAUGAGAUUGCAUACUAUAUAUUUUUUGAUAGAUAAAUGUGUCUAGUUACAGAAGAAAUUUACAGAAUCAAUUUUCGACUUCGCUUCUUAAAGAUAUUCACGAUUUAGUGCACAAAGGUCACAACCGUCUAGAAACCACACAAGACCCAAUGUUUCUGAAUUAACUGAUAUCAAUUAACAAGAAAUAAAAUUACAAACUAUAUAUCUAUAGAAAUAUUUAUUUUUCAGGAGUUCAAAUAAUUUUACGGUUUUCUAUUUGAAGUUUUCUACAUGAAGAUAUGGCUUAAAGAAUGCUGACUGCUCAGAAUCACUGAAGCAACCAAGCCUCUGAUUAUCAGCCAACUUCCAUGAUUUAACUGUAUUGAUCUAGAAUAUAUGACAUUACAUAAUAUAUAUGUUUGGAUAGAUAAAUGUAUCUAGUUGUGGAAGAAAUUUGCAGAAUCAAAUUCGGACUUCUCAUCUUAGAGAUAUUCAGGAUUUAGUGCACAAAGGUCACAGCUGUCUUCAAACUACACAGGGCCAGAAGUUUCUAAAUUAACUGAUAUCAAUUAAAACGGCAUAAAAUUAGAAAAUAUAUAUCUAUAGAAAGAUUUAUUUUUCAGGAGUUCAAAUAAUUUUACGGUUUUCUAUUUGAAGUUUUCUACAUGAAGAUAUGGCUUAAAGAAUGCUGACUGCUCAGAAUCACUGAAGCAACCAAGCCUCUGAUUAUCAGCCAACUUCCAUGAUUUAACUGUAUUGAUCUAGAAUAUAUGACAUUACAUAAUAUAUAUGUUUGGAUAGAUAAAUGUAUCUAGUUGUGGAAGAUAUUUACAGAAUCAAAUUCGAACUUCUCAUCUUAGAGAUAUUCAGGAUUUAGUGCACAAAGGUCACAGCUGUCUUCUAACUACACAAGACCAGAAGUUUCUGAAUUAAAUGAUAUCAAUUCCUCAGGAAAAAAAUUAGAAGCUAUAUCCCCCUAGAAAGCUCUAUUUGUUAGAAGUUCAAAUAAUUUUACAAUGUUCAAUUUCAAUUUUUCUACAUUAAGAUAUGAUUUAAACAAUACAAACUGCUCAGAAGCAUCAAAACAACCAACUUAAAUGAUGUAUUAGUUCUUUUUUUCAGCCUCUUUCUCCAAGAAGCACGACUGGCAGACAUCAUAUUCUUAGUUCUCUUAUGUUUCUGCGUGCCUUUUUUUUUUUUUUUUUGGUUUGGACAAAUAAUCGAACAAGUGUUUGAUUUUAAAGCAUUGGCCAUUACAUGGUUACAUAGCCAAAAUCUCGUUAUAACCAUUUCUCUACACAACAACAAAAUAAUCAUAAAAAUUCUAAAUAUCAAAUUACAAAGAACAUAUCAGUACUAACCUUGUUCAUCAAUAUCCAUCGCUUUUUGUAAUGACAGCUCCCAGAUUUACCUUGAAUAUAAAUUUGUUUCAAAACCGAACAACUUGAUUAAUUGACUAAGAACUCUACUCGAAUUUAGUCCGACUGAUUGAACAAAAACUCCGCUUAGAUUUGAUCCUUGAUGAGAUACUGUUUAUUCUUUGCAAAGAUGAGUUUGAAUUGUGUUUUGCCGGAACUUAUUCUACCAACAGUCAAAGUGGCUAACAAAUCGUAUUUGUCAAAACAAAACCGUCUAUAUCAUGGGGUUGGCUCAAUUGGGAGAAAUUUCAGUGACCACCCUUAUAAUUUUAAAUAUUCUCACAAUUUCACUUGAACAACAUAUUUUGUUUAAUUCCACAAAAUUCAUACGUACGUUUAAAUACAUUUUAAAAUUUAUUUUACUAUGUAUCCUACGCCAUUCAUUAUUGGUUUUUUGUAAUUUUAUCAAGUUGUAAUUUUAGGCCAAACAUGAAAGGGUUUCAACAUUUAAUUAAUUUGAAAAUUCAAUGUGAAACUCAAAAUUGCUAAAAUAUUACUUAAAUCAUAUCCUUAAUGUUAUAAGAUAACUCGAUUAUUAUCAUGUAAUCAAACUAAUUUCAAAAUCUAUCGAUCGGAUAUAGUAUGUACUGUUAGAUUAUUUUAUUCUAAUGCAUGGCCAUGGAAUAGCCUUUGAUUUCUCAUGGUAUUCCAUACCAUUUUUAUUACAUUUUACCAGUUGUCUUUUAUAAUACUAUUUUGUAAAAGAAAACUAAAAUUGACUACUCGAAAAUGUCUUUAUAUUUUUUUAUUACAUUUUACAUUAAAGUUGUAGUACAUUAUAAAUGCUAAGUUUAAUUUUUAAUAACAUAACACCUUAAUAAAAUCAACAUCUUAAGUGUGAUGUAUGAUGUAAAAUGAUAUAGUACUUCAAAUAGGCUACAAAAUUAAUAGUAAAAAGACCACUCACGCCUCUAAAUUUUAUUUAAAUGGUCAUACAAAACUCCUUAAAUUAAAAAAUAUAAUACAUAACAUAAGAUAAAAUUUUAUAAAAUAUUUUCAAUUUUAAAAAUUUUAUUUUUAACAUUAUUAUUUUUCAUAUUCUUUUAUUAUUAGUUUGUCAUAUUCUUUUUACUAAUAUUAAAAUCUACUUGACAUACUAAUAAAAUUAAUUAAUUAUACCUAACAUUCACAAUAAUUUAUAAAAUUAACAAUAUCUUAUUUAAUUAUGUCUAUAUUAAUAUCAAUCUUAAGAUCAAUUUUUGGAUUAAUAGAUUUUAGUUCAUUCGUCAAGAUAGACUAAUAAUAACUUAAUAUUAACAAAAUUUUUAUUGUACAUGUUAUUUUAUCAAUUAUAUUUAUUGUAACACUUUAUUUGUAUCAUAUGAUUUUUAUUUAUUAUUUUUAUCCUAUUACUAUAUUUAUAUUUAUUUAGAUUGAUUUAGUCAAAAGGUAUAAUAGUCAUUUACGAAAUUAAAAGGGUCUAUGUGACUAUUUAUGAAACUAAAAGAACAUGUAUAAUUAUUUUAGCAAAUCUUAGGGGUGUGGGUGGUUUUUUCCGAAAUUAAUAUUGAUUUAAAAUUAAAAAAUUAAUAUUUACCUGCAACCUAUAAUUUACCUGCUAUAUUUUAAUUAAUUAUCUAAUUAUCCAUUAUAUUAAAUGAAUGAUUCAGAUUAAAACUCUUAUAUCUAAGGGCCCACAUUAGUCCCACUAUCAAUACUGUAAAAAUAAAUACAGCAUCAUAAAAAAAUCUUAUUUUCAGCUAUUUGAUUAAAUCCAAUGGUUGUCAAUUCUCUAAUAUUUGUCAACCCACAUAUAAGGUAAAAAAAAA